CGGACAAGCCGCCGGCGUGCCCGCCGUACUGCUGGUAUGGGCUGCCGCCGCCGUACCACUGCCCCUGCAGCGCCGAGGAGGACCCCAACUCGUGCGUCAUCUGCUAAAAUCAGCGCGCGCCGCCGAUUCCCUCCUCUGUAUAUUUUGUAGCUGGCCGUGUGCUGCGCUGCCGAUCGAUCAUGCCUUCGACGGUGAUCGACGGCGCACGCUAUACAUAAGGUCAUGUAUCCGGUUAGUCCCUUACCCGGCAGGUGUGCAUCGGCUGCGUUUAUAAAGUGCAGAUAUGGAAUGGAAUCAGAGUGUGGAGAAAAGAUCAAAUAGAACUGCUUGCUUGGAUUUUUCAGAGAAAGUUCAUGGAUUGGUCCUCAAUGGUGAUAAGAACAUGCUGAAAUAGAUAAACCGUAGGUGCGGCAGAUCGAGCGAGCGAGGCACAAUGAGAUUGAUAAAAAAUCCAGGCGGCUUGCUAGAUUGGUCUCGCGUGCAUCUCCUACAUUUACCAACGGAAACUCUGAAGCUGUCUGGCUGUGCUCCACCUGAGACUCUGAGAGUCGCUUUCAGUCAGUCGGUUGAAAACGCGAACAUGUUUUCGAGCUUUUGGACCGGAUUUAAUGAUGCGCUUGUGUUUACUGCGACAGCGAGUAAGCCCCAUUGGCACUUCCCUCAUUACAACAUAAUACGUACACAGUAGUGGUACAUUAUUAACAGUCCAUCUCAUAAGACAGGCAUUGUUAACUCCACGUCUUAAUCUUUGCCCUAACUUCAUAGAGUUUUCAAUAAUGGCCAACAUCUUGUGCGUUCUACCCACGGCUGCCAAGCUGUCGCAUUUUAUCCGCUCAUUAAUAUAUUUGUUUGACUUUGGCUCUGUUAUAACUUUACACCUUUUACGGUUCCUUGUCUAAACCACACUCUUAAAUCAGGUGAUAAGGUAUUUGUCCAAAAACAUCAAAAAUAUUUUCUCUCUUUAAGGAACAUACUCUAAUCAUGCGAUAAGGAGUACUUCUUUUUGUGAGGACGAACAAAAAUCAUACCAACAAGUUGUACCCACAUGCAAAAAAAUAGUACUACUCUCCAACAAGGCAACACAUAUGUGUCCGAGUUUUCCACCCCCAAAUAGCUGUUGCUUCACCUUAACAAGUUUAGACGAAAAUGGUAAAAACUAUGAAUAUAUAUGUCUCGAGGGAACAGGUCAACAGCUGAUGUGUGAAGCGUAGCAAAAAUAGUCAUAUGGAGUAAAAUAAGUCACAGGGUUACAACUAAAGGUAAAAGGUAAAUGAAAAAAGAGAUAGAGACAUUGGAUUCAGAUUAGUAAAUUCCAACAAAAUGACAACACGGGUCCCUCAUUUUACUUUUCCUUGGACGUGCCCAAUUCUCUCCUCAUAUUUGUUUACUUGCACAAUCUAAAGGCACCAGCCUAAAAUAAAUCUACUCGUAGCUAUCAGUGACAACUGCAGGUUUGUCCUCGCGUGUACCGAUGUUGUUGCAUUGCAUGCAUCACUAAGAAUUCUCCUCCCAUUAUUCUACAAACCUCACCCGUAGCUACUUUCUCCGUGAAAAAGAACGGAGGAGUUGAACGUUGAAACUUUCCCGCGGAGCAUNNNNNNNNNNCGCGCCCUAAGAAUAAUGCAGCAUACUGUCACACACUCCUUUUUCACGAUAAACCUUGCUUGCCAAGGUAACGCGGCGUCCACAUCCUGCCGGGACGAAUCGCUAUCGCUUCUAUAUUUCUUUUUUGUCUGGCGACGCCACUCACGCACGCAUGGAUUUGGAUUGGAUUGGGUUGGGUUCGCCUUGCGCACAUUGCCUUUAGAGUUGCUUUCAGUGAGUGGUCUCGAUGAGAACGCAAAAGGUAUAGAGAUUCCAAAUACCAUGAUUAGGAUGGUGGAAUACAUUGUUAACCGCCCAUCUCGUAAAAUAUACGCUGUUAAACUGCGGGUCUUAAUCGAUGCCCUAACUGCAUGGAGUUUUGAAGAAUACCACACGGCUUCUGUGUUCUAUCGCCAGCUGUGAAUCCAGAUACAUUUCAUCCGUCCAUCAUCCGAGUAUAUUUCAUUUGUUUACAUCUUUACAGUUGGCGUUUGUGAUAGCUCUAAAUCAACCCAUCUGAUUUGUUUUCCUCAUUUUAAGAGCAUCUACAACCUCGUAUGACAAGUAUGGCCUUUUAAACACCCGCGAACGUGUCCACGUGAAAUGAUCGGGCAUGACUUAAAUUAGCAUAACUGCAUCCGAACAUCUUAUACUAGAUUCUUAUAUUCAUACAAAAACAUGCAAACUAAAAAUCCUAGGUACUAUGUAGAUCAUCUAGCUACUCCUCGUCGGAGAUGUUGACUAUCUUCGUGCCCUCCGAUGAAUACGAGCGCGGUAGCCUGGGGCGGAGCUCUCCGUAGGGCGAGGUGCUCGCCCUACCUUGGUUUGUGAGAUUUAUUUACGUAUGUAGGUUAGGGAGAAAUCUAAAGAAUAAUGUUGUAAAAUCAAAGUAAUCCACACCAAUACCCUUUUUUACGAAAUCACACUAUUGUUAUCGUAUCAUACUACACACAAUCACCAUAGUACAACAUAAACACAAACAUAAUAACAGAAGGAUAACCUAGAAACAUCCUAGUGAAAACUAUCUUGACAAAUCUGUGGAAACAUCCUAGAAACAUAACGAAUGGCAAUGGAUGAGAUGCGCAUGGAGGCAGAGCAGAUCUGAUUUCUUCUUAUGAUGGUGGCUAGGGUUGAUCUCGACUCGGCUCAUCACCGCAAACCGCUGCGGCACACACAUCGUGGUGAUGCGGACAACAGAGGAGGAGCGUGCGGAAAUCACUUCUCUUCUCAAGCUCUGAUAACAUGUAGAAGAGAAUCUUUUAUAAGAAGAUCCAACACCUCCUUGAGUAGUAGGGUGAAAUUAAUCAUCCCAUCGCAUCCCUUAUGACAUCUACAUGGGCUUUUAGAGAUUUGCUAAAAUCAUUAGAUGGGUCCAUCAUAUAUUUCAAUGGACUAAGGCACUCUUGUUUAACGGAAUUUGAGGGUGCUCCUAAGUGCGUCAUUUGUCUCGGUCAGUCCCUAAAAAAAUUCAGCCCUAAAAAGAAUUUGGUUCGCUUGUUCUAUGGUUAACCGGUCAACGGUUCACCAGUUGACCGGCCAACCAUUGACUUUUCAAUAAACAAGGAAAAAAUAUAUUUUCCAUGUGGGAAAACAAUUUUAAAAACUCAUCAAUUUGAAAAAUUGAUAUUGAAUUUGAAAACAAACUCAUUAAUUUGAAAAAAAAUCAUCAAUUUGGAAAACAUUUCUUAUAUAUUAAAAAAUAAAAUCAUCGAUUUUUAAAACCAAUUCAUUGAUCUUUAAAAAAACCAUCAAUUCUGAAAAAAAAAUCACAAGGAUGAAAAUUUUCAUCGAAUUUGAAAUAAAUUCAAUAAAUUGUAAAUAAAACUUUAUCAAAUUCGAAAAAAUAAUCAAGUAAUUUUAGAAAAAAACAUUGACGUUAGAAAACAUAGUUGACAUUCUUAUAAGAAUAUUCAUCAAUUUUGAAAAUAAACUAAUUUGAAUACAUGUUCAUAAAUUUUGAAAAAAAAGGUUCAUCGAUUUUGAGGAAAAACUUCAUGAAUUUGAAUAGAAUCUGCACAUCCAUGUAAAAAAGAAAAUGGAGAAAAAAUGGCAUACAUAAUAAAACGUCCGAAACAAACCACGAACGGAAGAAAAAAUAACAACUGUUUCACAACAGGGUUAUUGUUUGCCUAUUUGAACGAAAUAAGAAAAAAUAAGAAAAAAUAACAAUUCAUUGACAUUGUAAUGGUUAGUGUUGUUUCCUUCGAACCCUUAUGCUGGUUCGGCACUCUUUGCGUGAAAUUGUCAGGGUUUCGUACAGGCGAGCCCCAGAGCGGGACAAUUGAGCCACCCCACUGCGCCCUCGUGAAGCAGCCGCUUUUGGGAACCUCCAGAAAGUUCCCUGCUACGAUUUUUGUUUUUAUACCGAUUUAACGGUUUUAUUUUGUGAUUCUUUUUUUCUUUUUCUUUUUUGUUUUCUUUUUUCAAUUUUUUUUACUUUUUGUUCCGUUUUUAACUUCAUAUUUACUAGAUUUAAAAAUAUUUUACUUAUGUUUUUCUUUGUUUUACAUUUUUAUUUCUUUCAUAAUUUUUUUAUUACCCAUACAUAAAUAAUGUUUGUGAUUUUGAAAUAUUGUUUGCCUAUUUGAAAAAUGUUUGCCUUUUCCAACUUUUGUUCUCAGAUGUUUAAGAGAUGUUAUUUUUAAAAAACAAAUCAUAAUUUUUUAAAAAAAUCGUGAUUUCAAAAACUUACCACGUUCAGGAAAAUGCUUUAUUUUUUUAAUUUUCGUUAGGGUUUCUAAAAAUGUUUUGAAGUUGAAAAUUGUUUCCAAUUUUUCAAAUUUAUUUCCAAAUUCAAAAAAUGUUCAGAUUUUCAAAUUGUGUUCGGGUUUCAAAAACAUUUUGUGUUUCAAAUUUUGUUCCUGUUUCUAAAACUUGCUAGAAUUUGCAAUUUUUUACGUGUUUUCGGAAAAAAUGGAGUUUCAAAUUGAAGAAAAAGAAAACAUAUUAAAAAGAAGUAGAAGAAGAAAAAUAAAUAGAAAAAGUAUGGAAAAAACGAAGUGCGACCUCUACCAUACGAAGCGAACAGAAACACACUCUUUGCUCGCUCGUGAAACGGAAGAAAUUGAAAACGGACGAAAAAAGCCCGUCAAAAAGAGACUCUGUGCAAAUUAGCAGCUACUUGACACAGUAAGCGUCACACAGGAACUUCCCGAAGCCGGUCUGCUGUUCAUUUUUCUUUUGUCGUAGUUUACAAAAAUGACGGUCUGCUGUUCAUUUUUCUUUUGUCGUAGUUUACAAAAAUGAUAGGGGUAUAUAGCCCGCCCCAGAUUAGAGCGCUUGCAGCGUUGUUACCAAAUGCAUAUUGACGGGUGAUAAAGGCGUCGAAUAGGAAAUGCCGGAAUUUGCCCUAGUUUUCAAAAAUUUGUGGAAACACAUGCGGCUUUGACAUAACUUGCAAAAUUCAUGUGUUUCGAUGUACUCCCUCCGUUCCUAAAUAUAAGACCUUUUAAAGAUUGCACUAUAAACUACAUACGGAUGUACAUAGACAUAUUUUAGAGUAUAGAUUCACUCAUUUUGCUCCGUAUGCAGUCGUCUAAUGUAAUCUCUAAAAGGUCUUAUAUUUACAUAGGAUGGAAUUCAUCGCAUGCGACAUCCAGUACAUAAACCUUUGCGGACGUCGCGAACGCGUCCGCGUGCGUCCCCUUUGCACGUACGGACCGUCGCUGUUGCAUGCAUCAUUUCGUCGCCACUAAUAAUUCCCGCUCCAUUAUUGUUCUACAGUACAACGGUGGAGUUGAAGGCUGAAACUUUCCACGAGAGCAAAUCGCUACAGCGUACAGCCUACACUUGCAGUGGCUUUGUAUGAUUGGACGCCGGCCCGAACGGGAAUGCGUGCGUGCGUCAUAGGCUCCACGUACUGCUGACGCCCGCAUGCACUUGGCCACUUGGGCAGGGUGGGGGUUGGGAACUCGGGAUUUGCUUCUCUCUCGCGGCGAGCGCACGUUUCCGCGUCGCUGGUGGAGAUGGAUGGCCGGUCUUUUCCGCCGGCCGAUUCGCCGGAGAUAUACGCUCGAUGAUAUGCUAUGGCGUGUGCAGGCCUCUCCAAAUAGUGGAAAGGUGGCGACUAUCUUUCCUCAAGACGGUGCCAUGUAAAGUUGAAGCUGGUUUGGUUUGCUAGAGAUCGAGGUGGCCGUCCGGAUGCGCACCUGCUGAACUCAGCCUAGAUGCGCGCAUGCAUGCAUGGAAACAUUAUCCCUAGUCUAGCGCGUACGUGUCUUUUGUGUCUCCUGUUCCUCUUGUUGAUCGAAAUAUGCAAACUCGUAGACUGUUACCACUAGUACUCCCUCUGUAAACUAAUAUAAAAAAUGUUUAGAUUACUAAAGUAGUGUUUUAAAUGUUCUUAUAUUAGCUUACGAAGAGACUUUCUAAGUUGCUGUUUGCUACUUAAUUACUGGUACUAACAAGGCUAUGACAGAGUACUUGCUCGCAUCGCAUGUACUAGAACGCUUGUAUGGCUAGUGCUGGUGGAUGCACACCAUACAUUAAUCUUCUCAUGCCGGGCAUGGAGUAGCUAUCAGUGUGGACUUCUGGACUCCACCACCUCUGUCCUCUCGCAUGGACCGUUCUUGGCCUUGGCCUGUGGCAUGCAUCACCUCCCAUCAUUAUUCUACAAAACCCACACCGGCCACACCGGUUUCUCCAUCAAAAAGAACGUGCUCGAGGUUUAAACUUUCCAGCCGAGCAUGGCUGACGGAGAUGGCACGGUGUCGAUUCACCAUGGAUUAUUGGGCGCAAGCCAUGCUAGAGCCUAGAGGCUGGAUCACGAUCGAGUGCGUCACACAGAUAGAUUCGUGGUGCGUAGCCACGUACGUAGACUUUUUGACGCCUUGCUUGCCAAAGGUGGCACUGCGUCCGGCCUCGGCGACGCUGCUUACGCACGCACGCACGCACGCACGCACUUGGGUUUGGGUUCGUUCGGUUGGCCGCUGCUCUCGCGCACUUUGCCGCGUCCGUUGGCGAUCGGCACGAAUAUCUUCCGGGGAUUAUCCUUUCACACAAGAUCGUCCGGAUUCUGCCGCGAAAUUCCCAAGGCACCGGCAAGAGGGACGGAGGCAGCACGUUCGGUUGCUAAAGAGGAGGCCGUCGGGGUGGGCGCUGAAGUCAAGUCAGCGAAGGUGCGCAUGCGGCCAACUUGAUUGUCAAUUUUUUGGGUUUCUUCUCACGCUGAUCGAUAUGAUCAAAUUCGGCAACAAGUGGGAAAUUGCAUGAGUAAGAGCAUUUACAACUACAUCUAUUAAAAUAGACCCCUCAAACGCCUACAAACGGCCGCGUCCACGAACAUAGACCGGUCACUUUCCUUUGCAUUCGUGUAUAUCAUAUCUGACACCCUAUAUCUAUAUAAAUCUAUGAAAUGUAGUACGCAGCUCACCAAACGAUCAAACCAACAUGAAACGGACAUACGAACCGAUACCAAACGGGCAUAAUUCACGUAAACAUCACCAAAAAAACAUAAUUAACACAGUUCAACGAUCCAACACAUUCUAACUACAUACUAAUAUGGGUUUCAAACAAAAAACUGCAUACUAAUACUAGAUUAUCUAAAAGGAGAGGGCGAGCUUCACCACUUUCUCGCCGGCUCUUUUCCCUUCCGGUCGCCCCGACGAUGUUGUAGCCGUCCUAAAAAGGAGGUGGGUCGACGUCGGAGUCAGCCCCGUCGGAGGAGGACGGCGAGGAGAUGACGAUGUAGGCUGACGCGGCCUUGCUUGCCCUUGAGCUUGGCCACCCUUGCCGCCUCGCUGCUGCCUCCCGCUCGGAUUCCUCAAUGCUGAGCCGGAGCUGUUCAGCGUUGAUCCUCCAGAGCCGCCGAGCGUUUGUCUCACCGUGGUUAGUGACCGAUGGUACACCCACUGAAGGAGAUGCUCCUCCUCGUCGGGCACCGACAACACACGAUGGUGACGGGCAGACUACGCACCUACGUCGGACCCGUCCCCAUCUCCCUUGCCCUCUACCUCUCGUGGCGGGCAGGCCGUGCCUUUGACUUUGGAGUCCCAAUAUGUGGUGUCGAUGGAGCGGGCACUAGAACCCACCGCUGCCAGCACGGAGCAGCGGCCGAAGGUAGAGGAGGCCAUCAGGUGGGUAGAGCAGACUGCGUAGGCCUCGUCGAUCCGCGCGCGGGGCGAGAAGGGUCGGCGUGAGCGCUGUGCCGAUGGCCUACACGAGGUCUCGCACCGGAGCCGGAGUUGUCGCCCAUAUCGACCCACGAGCGCUCGAGCGCAAUACGGAGCUCGAGCUCCCACUCAUCUCCGGAACAGCCGUUAGAGUGGCUGCCGGUGCUGGACAUGCUCGCUGGCACUACAAAUUGGACGAAUUGGGGAAGCACGAAGUCGGUGAUCGGAGCGGAGUGAAAUGAGCUAGGGUUUGUUCCGGACGAAAGGGGGAUUUUGUGGGGUCGGGAUGGGCCAACGUUGGGUCUGGCUGACGUCCCGGACGCGCCCGGGCGCACCUUGGCCGCCUCAUAUCCGUUCUAUAUUUGGAUUGGAUAUGAGGGGUGCCCGUCAGCCCGGACAUUUGUCCGCGGUUUAAGAGCUUCGGUUGGUCGGUUUUUUGUCACAUGUUAGUUACCGGACCUCGCAUUUGAGAUGGGUAGGAGGGGUCCCAUUAUAGAUCCUCUAAGAUCAUCUACAAGUGGACUGGGCAAAUCCAGGCCCUAUAUGUCCGCGGACGCGCCCACGCACGCAGGCGGACACGGCUGGACGCCCCCUCAUAUCUUACUCCCCGCAUCCACAUAUCUCAUAGUCAUAUCUGUACUCUUAAAUUCAUACAAAACUACGCACGUUGAUCACACAAAUAAUUGUCGCAUGUAAAUAAAAAUGUUGGUACUGAAUAUAAAUAGUCUUUACAUAAAAUUUAUUUGAAGUGCACAAUCAACCAUGUACUCUUUGGUUUCCAUGGUGGAUCCACAUAUGCUCCAUCACAUCAUUGACUAAUUGUCCGUGCAUCCAAUGAUCUCUGAAAUUCUAAUGCAUUUGUAGAAAGUUCAUAAGUUGAGCUGCAUUUUGAUCUUUCGGGAUUCCAACAUACCCUCCAAGUGCUUCAAAAUCAUUUGUUUGGAUUAAAUCAUCACCCUCAUCCUCGUCAUAUUGUGCAAAAUACACAACAUGAAGUCAUGAGCUAGCAUAUAGUUUCUGACUCCCACAUCAUUGCAGCCCCAUGAACAAUUCCUCAAUGAGCUUGCAGCACUACGAAUGCCCUCUCCACAUCCUUCCUAGAUGCUUCCUUCAUUGAUGUGAAGUGCUUUUGUUCGGUACCCUGUGGUUCGGAUAUGGACUUCACAAAUGAAGCCCACUGAGGAUAGGUGCCCUCGACAAGCUAGUAUCCAAUAUUGUAGUGUCGACCGUUGACGGUGUAGUGCCCGUCGGAGAUUCCCCAUUUGCAAAGCAUCUUGAACACCAGAUAUUUUAGAAGCACGUUGAUUUCGUUGUUUGAAUCGGUCAUUUCAAAUAAAGAAUGCCAAAUCAAUAAGUCAUGUGAUGCCUCCACUUUUAGUAUGAUGGUGGACUCUUUGAUGUGAUCUUGAUACAUUCCUCGCAAACCUUUGGGGCAGUUCUUCCGCUGCCAAUGCAUGCAAUCAAUUGAUCCCAGCAUUACUAGAAACCAUCUAGCCUCUUCACUAGCCAACAACUUCUCCAUGUCCUACAUAUUUGGCUCUCUAAGAUACACUUCUCCAAACACCUCGACCAUAACACGGGCAAACUUGACAGUAGUCUUCAGGCAUGUGCUUUCUCCUAUCCUGACCAUCUCACCAAUGACAUCUCAUGCAGUAUCAAGUGCAAGCAUUCUCAUAGCAGUCAUGCACUUCUACUUGGCAGAGAAAGAGACUUGACCGCAUCAAUUGUUGGGGAACAUCGCAUGGGAAACAAAAAUUUUCCUACGCGCACGAAGACCUAUCAUGGUGAUGUCCAUCUACGAGAGGGGAUGUGUGAUCUACGUACCCUUGUAGACCGUACAGCAGAAGCGUUGGUGAACGCGGUUGAUGUAGUGGAACGUCCUCACGUCCCUCGAUCCGCCCCGCGAACUAUCCCGCGAUCAGUCCCACGAUCUAGUGCCGAACGGAUGGCACCUCCGCGUUCAGCACACGUACAGCUCGACGAUGAUCUCGGCCUUCUUGAUCCAGCAAGAGAGACGGAGAGGUAGAAGAGUUCUCCGGCAGCGUGACGGCGCUCCGGAGGUUGGUGAUGAUCUCGUCUCAGCAGGGCUCUGCUCGAGCUCCGCAGAAACGCGAUCUAGACGUAAAACCGUGGAGAUAUGUGGUCGGGCUGCCGUGGCAAAAGUUGUCUCAAAUCAGCCCUAAAACCCCCACUAUAUAUAGGAGGAGGAGGGGGGAGCCUUGCCUUGGGGUCCAAGGACUCCCAAGGGGAAAGGUCACCCCCCCAAACCGAGUCCUACUUGGUUUGGAAGGUGGAGUCCUUCUUCCCUUUCCCACAUCCUUCUUUUUCUUUUCUUUUCUCUUUGAUUUUUCUUCCAAUGCGCAUAGGGCUCUUUUGGGCUNNNNNNNNNNNNNNNNNNNNNNNNNNNNNNNNNNNNNNNNNNNNNNNNNNNNNNNNNNNNNNNNNNNNNNNNNNNNNNNNNNNNNNNNNNNNNNNNNNNNUGUUUGUCAAUAUAUUAGUUUAUAUGAAAGCAGACUGGUAGUGAUUAGGUCAAUAUGUCAAUUACUUUAAAUCUUGCUACAUGGGUGUUGGGUCUCUAUACACACCACUAACAUCUUUUGUCUUGAAAUAAUCUUAUUGUCACCAUUUUCUGUUUGCUAAUGAAUAAAACAUCUUUUUUACAAGCUGACCAGUGUCAAACAAUGAUAAUUGCGCUUAAUUUAUGUUGUUCGGUUCAAAUGUUCGAGAUAUUGUUCCCAGUAUCCAAAGGUAUUGUCUCAUGUCCCAGAUGUUUCCAGUUCUAUAUAGGAGUGUUUUUUCUAUGAUGUUUGAUCCAAUGUUCUCUUUUUUUGCGAGGGUGAUCGAAUGUUCUCUGUUAGUACAUGACAGUGAUAUAUUUUCUCAGUUCAUAUUUUGGCCACAAUAAAAGUUCAGGGCUUUUUACGUAAGGACCAAAUUAUACAUUUGUUACACAUUUAAUUAUAUUAUUUAUGGUUUCCCAUUCGGUACUAUAUAUAAUCUUUGUUUGCCAACUUAAAUAAAGGAUUACUAAAGAUAUAUGUUAAAUGUUCAUUCGUAGUUCUGUUUUAUUUUCCAUCGAUGUUCAUGCCAUGUCGUACUUCUAUCUAAGGUACCCUUACCUUACUAAGGAAAAUUCAUAAUUAAACAUCUCGCCCUUUCAAAUAAAGGAGGAGAAGUCUAUCAAAGAGAAGAGCCACAGUUACCAUGGUGAUGCGGUCUAUUUUUGCAUAUAUAUGAACAUACAAACAUGCAUAUUCAACAAUAAUAUCACCAAAAAAAUCAAAAAUUAAAAACAAUAAAAAAACAGAGCCGUGGCGGCGGCGGCUCACAUCGAGGGCGGCCGGGGCGACGGCGAGGGCGACGGCGACGGCCNNNNNNNNNNNNNNNNNNNNNNNNNNNNNNNNNNNNNNNNNNNNNNNNNNNNNNNNNNNNNNNNNNNNNNNNNNNNNNNNNNNNNNNNNNNNNNNNNNNNNNNNNNNNNNNNNNNNNNNNNNNNNNNNNNNNNNNNNNNNNNNNNNNNNNNNNNNNNNNNNNNNNNNNNNNNNNNNNNNNNNNNNNNNNNNNNNNNNNNNNNNNNNNNNNNNNNNNNNNNNNNNNNNNNNNNNNNNNNNNNNNNNNNNNNNNNNNNNNNNNNNNNNNNNNNNNNNNNNNNNNNNNNNNNNNNNNNNNNNNNNNNNNNNNNNNNNNNNNNNNNNNNNNNNNNNNNNNNNNNNNNNNNNNNNNNNNNNNNNNNNNNNNNNNNNNNNNNNNNNNNNNNNNNNNNNNNNNNNNNNNNNNNNNNNNNNNNNNNNNNNNNNNNNNNNNNNNNNNNNNNNNNNNNNNNNNNNNNNNGGCUUGGGGGGCGGAGGGCGGCGGGUGAUGGCGACGGGGCAGCCUGGCGGCGCCGUGGAUGAGCUCGCGGCGUUGUCGGGCGUGGAUGAGCUCGCGGCGUUGUCAAAUCUGAAAAUUUCCAAAGUGUUGGCUUAUAUAGCACAAGCAUUGGUCCCGGUUCGUGGCACCAACCGGGACUAAAGGGUUGCAUUGGUCCCGGUUCGUGGCACCAACCGGUACCAAAGGCCUCUUUUCGGCAGCCCAAAGGGCGGGAAGCAGAGGCCUUUGGUCCCGGUUGGUGCCACCAACCAGGACUGAAGAGGGGCCUUUGGUCUGGGUUGGAGCCACCAACCGGGACUAAAGGCAUGUGCCUGCCACAGUCGCGGUGCGGUUGGAUGUUUAGUCCCACCUCGCCAAGCGAAGGGCUGCCGAGCGUGUUUAUAAGCUCCGCUGUGGCUGCAAUGUCGAGCUGUACGAAUUUAGAGACAAAAUUCAGCCUAAAUUCAAACAGCUAGUUAGGCUAACUAGCACUUUAAAUUCAAAGAGCUAGUUAGGCUAAUUAGCACUUUGAAUUUAGGUUGAAUUUCUCUCUAAAUUCGAAUCUAUUUUUUUAUUUUUUUUUGNUUUGUAACAAAAUUCUAAUUACUUAUUUAUUUUCUUCUAUGAUAAUUAUCUAGGUACAUAUUUUAAGGUGGGCCCCACGAGCACCUUUUAGUACCGGUUCCUGGCAUGAACCCGUAAAAGAGUUUUUUAGUUGAUUAUUUAUGCAGCUAUUUUUAGUCCCACCUCGCCAAGCGAGAGGCACUCGUAGCAGUUUAUAAGCCCUGAGUGUAGAGACGAUGAUGGGAGAAGCGCAGUGCUCACCUGUCUGUUACAACAUGCAUUUCAAAUGAACUACAAAAAGUUUGAAAGUUGGCAUGGUAUCAUCAUAAUAGUUGUGGAGAAAGUCUUCACUUCUUCUUUGCUUGUGUCCUUUCCUUAUUGCGCUGUAACCAUGGAUAAUCUUCAUCAUUUAUCAGGAUGCUUGGGUCAGCCUUGACUUUGAAGGGAGGAAUUUCAUGAAACUUUUCAUAAUCUUCGGACAUGUCUGUCUUGCCCUCCACUCCCAUGAUGUCCCUUUUUCCUGAAAGAACUAUGUGGCGCUUUGGCUCAUCGUAUGAUGUAGUCGCUUCCUUAUUUUUUUAUUUUUCUCGGUUUGGUAGACAUGUCCUUCACAUGGAUAUCCUGUGCCACAUCAUUGGCUAGGAUGAACGGUUCGUCAGUGUACCCAAGAUUGUUCAGAUCCACUGUUGUCAUUCCGUACUGUAGGUCUACAUGUACCCCUCCUCUUGACAGAUUGACCCAUUUGCACUUAAACAAAGGGACCUUAAAAUCUACUCCGUAGUCAAGUUCCCAUAUGUCCACUAUGUAACCAUAAUAUGUGUCCUUUCCCCUCUCGGUGGCUGCAUCAAAGCGGACACCGCUGUUUUGGUUGGUGCUCUUUUGAUCUUGGGCAAUCGUGUAAAAUGUAUUCCCAUUUAUCUCGUAUCCUUUACAAAUUGUAACAGUCGAAGAUGGUCCCCUGGACAACAAGGACAGCUCAUCACAAACAGUGUUUUCAUCUCUGAGACGUGUUUCCAUCCAACUGCUGAAAGUCCUGAUGUGUUCACAUGUAAUCCAGUCGUCGCACUGCUCCGAGUGUUUGGAGCGUAGACUGUUCUUGUGUUCAUCGACAUAAGGGGUCACCAAGGUAGAGUUCUGUAGAACUGUGCAGUGUGCUUCAGACCAAGAAUAUCCGUCCCUGCAUAUUAUUGUCUCCCCUCCAAGCGUGCCUUUUCUAGUCAGUCUCCCCUCAUACCUCAAUUUACGGAGACCUAUCUUCUUAAGGUCAGGAAUGAAGUCAACACAAAACCCAAUGACAUCCUCUGUUUGAUGGCCCAUGGAGAUGCUUCCUUCUGGCCUAGCGCGGUUACGGACAUAUUUCUUUAGGACUCCCAUGAACCUCUCAAAGGGGUACAUAUUGUGUAGAAAUACGGGGCCCAGAAUGACAAUCUCGUCAACUAGAUGAACUAGGACGUGUGUCAUGAUAUUGAAGAAGGAUGGUGGGAACACCAGCUCGAAACUAACAAGACAUUGCACCACAUCACUCCUUAGCCUUGGUAUGAUUUCUGGAUCGAUCACCUUCUGAGAGAUUGCAUUGAGGAAUGAACAUAGCUUCACAAUGGCUAACCGGACGUUUUUCGGUAGAAGCCCCCUCAAUGCAACCAGAAGCAGUUGUGUCAUAAUCACGUGGCAGUCAUGAGACUUUAGCUUCUGAAACUUUUUCUCUGCCAUAUUUAUUACUCCCUUUAUAUUCGACGAGAAGCCAGUCGGGACCUUCAUACUAAGCAGGCAUUCAAAGAAGAUUUCCUUGUCUUCUUUGGUAAGAGCGUAGCUGGCAGGACCUUCAUACUGCUUUGGAGGCAUGCCGUCUUUUUCGUGCAAACAUUGCAGGUCCUCCCGUGCCUCAGCUGUAUCUUUUGUCUUCCCAUACACGCCCAAGAAGCCUAGCAGGUUGACGCAAAGGUUCUUCGUCACGUGCAUCACGUCUAUCGAAGAGCGGACCUCUAGGUCUUUCCAGUAGGGUAGGUCCCAAAAUAUAGAUUUCUUCUUCCACAUGGGUGCGUGUCCCCCAGCGUCACUCGCAACAGCUAGUCCGCCGGGACCCUUUCUAAAGAUUACGUGUAAAUCAUUGACCAUAGAAAGUACGUGAUCACCGGUACGCAUGGCGAGCUUCUUCCGGUGAUCUGCCUCGCCUUUGAAAUGCUUGCCUUUCUUUCGACAUUGAUGGUUGGUCGGAAGAAAUCAAGGAUGGCCUAGGUACAUAUUCUUCCUGCAGCUUCCCAGGUAUAUACUUUCGGUGUCAGCUAAACAGUGCGUGCAUGCGUGGUAUCCCUUGUUUGUCUGUCCUGAAAGGUUACUGAGAGCGGGCCAAUAGUUGAUGGUUACAAACAACAACGCGUGCAGGUUAAAUUCCUCCUGUUUGUGCUCAUCCCACGCACGUACACCGUUUCCAUUCCACAGUUGUAAAAGUUCUUCAACUAAUGGCCUUAGGUACACAUCAAUGUCGUUGCCGGGUUGCUUAGGUCCUUGGAUGAGAACUGGCAUCAUAAUGAACUUCCGCUUCAUGCACAUCCAAGGAGGAAGGUUAUACAUACAUAGAGCCACGGGCCAGGUGCUGUGAUUGCUGCUCUGCUCCCCGAAAGGAUUAAUGCCAUCCGCGCUUAAACCAAACCAUACGUUCCUUGGGUCACGUGCAAACUCAGCCCAAUACUCUCUCUCGAUUUUUCUCCACUGCGACCCGUCAGCGGGUGCUCUCAACUUCCCGUCUUUCUUACGGUCCUCACUGUGCCAUCGCAUCAACUUGGCAUGCUCUUUGUUUCUGAACAGUCGUUUCAACCGUGGUAUUAUAGGAGCAUACCACAUCACCUUCGUAGGAACACUCUUCCUGCGGGGCUUGCCGUCAACAUCACCAGGGUCAUCUCGUCUGAUCUUAUACCGCAAUGCACCGCAUACCAGGCAUGUGUUCAAAUCCUCGUACGCAUCGCGGUAGAGCAUGCAUGUAUCUUCUGCACCUCCAAUCCUAGAGGGCAUACGACCUUCUUUUCUACGUAUGUACUGUCGGGCAAUUCAUUAUCCUUUGGAAGCUUCUUCUUCAAUAUUUUCAGUAGCUUCUCAAAUCCUUUGUCAGGCAAAACAUUCUCUGCCUUCUACUGCAGCAAUUCCAGUACAGUACCCAGCUUUGUGUUGCCAUCUUCACAAUUGGGGUACAACUUUUUUUUGUGAUCCUCUAACAUGCGAUCGAACUUCAGCUUCUCCUUUUGACUUUCUCAUUGCGUCCUUGCAUCGACAAUGACCCGGCGGAGAUCAUCAUCGGGCACAUCGUCUGGUUUCUCUUGAUCUUCAGCAGCUUCCCCCAUUGCAGCAUCAUCGGGCACAUCGUCUGGUUCCUCUUGAUCUUCAGCAGCUCCCCCCGUUGCAGCAUCACCGUAUUCAGGGGGCACAUACUUGUCAUCGUCCUCUUCUUCUUCGCCGUCUUCAAUCAUAACCCUUAUUUCUCCGUGCCUCGUCCAAACAUUAUAGUGUGGCAUGAAACCCUUGUAAAGCAGCUGGGUGUGAAGGAUUUUCCGGUCAGAGUAAGACUUCGUAUUCCCACAUUUACUGCAUGGACAACACAUAAAACCAUUAUGCUUGAUUGCCUCAGCCACUUGGAUAAAAAUAUGCACGCCCUUAAUGUACUCGAAGGUGUGUCUGUCACCAUACAUCCAUUGCCGGUUCAUCUGUGUGCAUUACAUAUAAUUAUGUGUGUCAAAAUUAAGAAAAUUAGACAAAUAUCUAUCUAAAGUAAGAAAAUCAGACAAGUAUCAUAAAGAAGAUAAGAACAAGAGGCUCAACACGGUGGUGCCGGCGACGAGAUCGGCGCGAGCUAUCAACGGCGGUGAAAACGGGGACGGGGAGUGACGGACCCCUAAAUCUAGACAAAUCUCGGGAAAAAUGAAGCUCCUAGGUCGAGAUUCGAGAGGAGAAAGCUUAACUAGUGUGGCUCGGGUAUUUCAUUGAACACCUCAUGUGCAUAGGAGGUGAGCUAGAGCACCAAAAUGCCCUCCCCUCGUCGGCCAAAAAAAACAGAGUGCUCUGCCGCGGCGAUGGGUAUAUAUACGCAACUGAUUUGUCCCGAUUCGUGGCAUGAACCGGGACUAAAGCCAACCCUUCUGUCCCGGUUCAUGCCACGAACCGGGACCAAUGGUUGUGGGCCAGCAGCGAGGACCAUUGGUCCCAGUUCGUGGCUCGAACCGGGACAAAUGGUUCUACACGAACCGGGACCAAUGCCCACGAGGCCCCGGCCGGCCCCCUGGGCUCACGAACCGGAUCUAAUACCCCCCAUUGGUCCCGGUUCUUGAAGAACCGGGACUAAUGGGUUGGCCAGGGCCGAACGAUAGCCCUGUUUUCUACUAGUGUACUUACUACUUCCCAAUGCCUUCCUCUAGGCCCAAAUAUGGUGAAGUGUUAUGUAGUCGACGUUCACAUAACACCACUAGAGGAAAAGACAACAUACAUCAUAUCAAAAUACCGAACGAAUAUCAAAUUCACAUGACUAUUAUUAACAUGACUUAUCCCAUGUCCUCAGGAACAAAAGUAACUACUCACAAAACAUAAUCAUAAUCAUGAUCAGAGGUGUAAUGAAUAGCAUCAAGGAUCUGAACAUAAACUCUUACACCAAGUAAUAUAACUAGCAUCAACUACAAAGAGUAACCAACACUACUAGCAACCUUACAAGUACCAAUCGGAGUUGCGAGACGAAGAUUGGUUACAAGAGAUGAACUAGGGAUUGGAGAGGAGAUGGUGCUGAUGAACAUGUUAAUGAAGAUGCCUCCCCUCCGACGAGAGGAGUGUUGGUGAUGACGAUGGCGACAAUUUCCCCCUCCGGGAGGGAAGUUUCCCCGGCAGGAUCGUCCUGCCGGAGCUCUAGAUUGGAUCUGCUCAAGUUCCGCCUCGUGGCGGCGGCGAAACCACGAAAAAGCUCUCGUCUGAUUUUUUCUGGACCAAGACGCUUGAUAUAGCAAAAGAGGGGGGCUAGUGGGCCGUCAGGGAGCCCACAAGCCCCCACUCCGCCACCAGGGGGUGGCGGUGUCAGGGCUUGUGGCGCCCUGGCAGCCCCCUCCAGUAGUUCUUUCGCUCAGUAUUUUUUAUAUAAUCCCAAAAAAAUCCACGUAACUUUUCAGGGCAUUUGGAGAUGUGCAGAAUAGUGGACUAGGAUUUGCUCCUUUUCCAGUCCAGAAUUCCAGCUGCCUGAAUUCUCCCUCUUCAAAUAAACCUUGCAAAAUAAGAGAAAAAAGGCAUAAAUAUGGUACCACAAGUAAUAUAACAGCCCAAAAAGCAAUAAAUAUCAACAUGAAAGCAUGAUGCAAAUUGGACGUAUCAGCACCAAUCCGGACAACUCUCAGUAGCCAACCGGAUUCGUAGUGGAGUAGUCAUUUGGAAUAGCUUCGAGUGAAACGUGGUAGCAGCAUCUACAUUGUUACACAAAGGUUUGCAAUGUACACACGGAUCAGAAUGUUGCAGAACCGUUGACUAAGAGGGUGUUUGGUUGGGCUUCCUACCAGUUUUCCACGCUUUGAAGCCAUCAGCCCAACAAAACAGCCAACUUUCGUAUAGAUUUUGACCCGCAGGUGCAGCUGUUUUACACGCACACAGGAGAAGCUGGUCGCGAGCAGCUUCUACCGCGUUCCCCUGCGGUGGAUCAAUCCCAUGCCCACUCUACCCCUGCCACUUUGCUGUAAUUACAGGAAAACUGUCACUCCCAUAUAAAUGUGAAAUCCUCUCGUUCUUCUCUUCUCCCCAACCAUUAUCCCCACAGACAGAGGAUGGAGCAGCAAGGGCGGCACUAGAGUUUUGCGUAGCCAUUCUCGUCCGCCACCGGAGACCGUGACCGCCGGCGCCCGCCCACCCUCGCCUCGUUCGCCCACUGUUGCCUCGUUCGCCCGCCAUCGCCUUGCUCGCCACCGGAGACCUCGACCGUCAGCUCCCGCCCACCAUCGCCCCGUCCGCCUGCCGUCGCCUCGCUCCCCAUCGGAGACCGCCCGCCCACGCGUCGCCUGCCACCGGAGACCGUCGCCCUCGCCUCGCUCACCUCCUCCCAGCGCACGUUUCCCUUCUCUCCUUCUCAGGAUCUCCACGGUCUUCCCAAGGUAGCCCCUUGUUCUUCUUUUUUCUUUCCUCCCUUCUUAUAUAUGAUUCUAUUAGCAGAAAAUACAUGUCUUCUUAUGUGAUUCUAUUAGCAGAAAAUACAUGCAUUCUUAUGUGAUUCUAUUAGCAGAAAAUACAUGUUUUGAGCAGAAUGUUUAACUUUGAAUAAAAUAGAUGGACAAAGCAAAUUGGGAUGCAUAUCAAACUAAAUUAUUUUAUGAGAUAUGCAAAGAAGAGACGGAUAAGCACAAUAAGCCAGGUGGUUAUUUGAGUCCCAAAGAUUACAACAAUCUUUAGGAGAAAUUUUUGAACAAACUAAGAAAAACGUACAAGAAGGCAAUUCAAAAAAAAUGGGACCAAUUGAAGAAACAAUAUGCUCGGUUUAUGGCGUUGAAGAAUUCUGCAACUGGACUUGGUUGGAAUGAUAAGAUGGGAACAAUUGAAGCUGAUGAUAGUUGGUGGGACAUUCGUCUUAAGGUGAGGAUGUUCAAAAAUUAUUUAUGAUUAAGUUUUCGAAUUGUUUAUGUCAUUGUGUUAAUUUGUAUGCUAUUUUCAGAAAUACCCACGACAUGCAAAGUGGCGGUACAUAGGCCCUCCCAACUUGAAGGAGAUGGAUGUUAUGUUUGAGAAUGCUCAUAUCACCGGGGAAAAAGCCUCCUUUCCAAGAGAGAUAUCCAGUAGCUCGGAUGAUGAUAAAGAGAGUGAAGAUUUAGGAACUCCUUUGAAAUCUUUCAAGAAAAAAGGAGGGCGAGGUAAAACAUUAGGUAAAUGCAAAUCUAAGUCCAAUGUAGAAGAUGAAGAUGACAAGAACCCAUUUCUUCGUGCGUAUAAGCAAACCUAGGGAAACAUAAAUUCAAGAUUGAGUGGUGAAGGAUCAGCUAACCAUGUUCCCAAAGUUACUACUCCUACCAUGGCAGAAGUACUUAUUUUUAUGGUGGAGUGUGGGGCCGAGGAAGGGACUCCUUUGUUCCACACCGCGACCAAGAUUGUGAUGAAGCCAGAGUAUCGUGAGUUGUUUAUGUUGAUUAAAACCAAGGAGGGCAGGUUUGAGUGGCUUACGAGGGAGCACGAAGCAAUGUGCAAGUAGCAAGUUGUAUUAUCAUUUCCAACAAAUGUUUUUGUCUUUUGGGAACUAUUUAUGGGAUUAGUUUUCAGUUUGAAUGUGUGUUGAUGUAGUGAACUAUUUAUGAGAUCUGUUGCUAUCAUGUAAUGAAAAAUGUUGACUCUAUGUGGGAUGAUGUUCAUCUCAUGUGUUUUAUAUCUCAUAUGUGAUGUUUGCUGCCAUUUUUUGGGCUGCCAUGUACUUAUACAUUUGUUGCUCUAUUUUGUAGAUGGAUGAAAGUGUUGAGAUGGUUGAUGACGAGGCUGAGAGGACUUUUCUUCUUGAAAUGACACACAUUUCAUAUGAAGUUGCUAUGAUGGGUGAAAUAGCUAACAAAUAUAGUAAGACUUACUUGAACAAAGCACCAUAUCAAAUUCCUCAACAAACUGGUUAUGAAUGGGUAAUGGAGAAUCUUGAUAAUAGAAAGAUGUGCUACAAAAUGUUUAGGAUGUACCGAGGUGUUUUUAUACCAUUGCAUGAUCUUCUAGUUCAUGAUUAUGGAUUGCAAUCAAUUAGAGGCAUGACAUCGUUGGAAUCAUUAGCCAUGUUCUUAUGGAUGGUUGGAGCCCCACAAUAUUUCUCUCAAGUUGAAAAUCAUUUUGCAAGAUCAACUGAAACAAUUCAUCGAAAGUUCAAAGAAGUGUUGGAUUGUUUGUGCAAGUUAUCAUCCAACAACAUAAAUCCCACUAAUUAUUAUUUCUCAACUCCUCAUGAAAGAAUUAAAGAUGGUCGAUUUUGGCCACAUUUAGCGGGUGCUAUUGGAGCAAUAGAUGGAUGUAACAUACCAGUUUCCGUUCCAGCAUUAGAUGUCAUUACCCACACCGGGGGACAUGGAUUUACUUCUCAAAAUGUGAUGGUCGUUUGUGACUUUGACAUGAGGUUUACUUUCGUCGUUGUUGGGUGGCCGGGCCCGGCAAAUGGCACAAGGAUUUUGAAUCAUACCCUUGAGAAGUAUGCACAUAAGUUCCCUGUUCCUCCACAUGGUACUACCAAACAAUACUCACAUUCAAAGCAAUUUAGUUUCAAAAUUUCUUUUUGUAAUGCUAACUUUGUUUUAGUUUUUAGGCAAAUUCUACCUUGUCGAUUCGUGCUAUCCAAACCGAAGUGGAUACCUUGCUCCAUACAAACACCAAACCUGUCAUAUACCGGAGUUUCACAAUAGGCGGAGAUAACCGACAGGGAAGUAUGAUGUAUAAAAUCAUGCUCACUCUUCACUUCGCAAUGCGGUAGAAUGCACAUUUGGUGUGCUCAACGAAAAGUGGCGCAUUUUGAAAAAGGUGCAAAAAUUCAAGCCUAGAAGACAAAAGAAGAUUAUUGUUGCUUGUAUGGUGCUUCACAAUUAUAUUCGGGACACCAAGUUACGUGACAAAGAGUUCGAUAAGUGUGACGCGGAUGAGGACUGCAUGCCACAUGUGGUGCGACAAACUGUACCACUACAAGGCGAUGGCACCUCAUCUUUACUUGAUGUGGUAAACAUGAAUGAUAUUCGUGAUAACAUUGGUGACUCUUUGUUUGCGGCGAGAGGAGGAUAACUAUCUUAUGGGAUAGCCAUUAAUAUAUGAACAAGUAAUGUCUUUUGGUGUAGAUGUAGGAAAUAGGAAGUACAUUUUGGUAUAAAUAUGUGGACAAUGAUGUAUGAACAAUGUUCAUGAUGAUGUAUGAACAACUAAUGUUAUAUAUGAACAAUGUUAGCAAUUAUCACACUUUAAUUACAUCCAAAAUACAUAAAACAACUAAAAAUUAGUGAAACGUGUCAAAAAACAGAUUAUUACCAUGAUAUCAGUACAUAUACACCGUCUCAGUAUCUGAGGGGUAUUCUAGACAUUUCCUCGAAAGGCACAGCUCAGAUAGGCAGUUUACCAAACGACAACACUGCUCACAGCAGCUUUUCCAUAGCCCAUAGCUCACAACAACUUUUCCACAGCCCACAGUCCAAACAAACAUCCUCUAAACCUCUCUCAUAAGCAAAACAUGAUCAAACCCGAGAACUCAUUGGGUGUUAAUCACAUAGUGAUGUGAACUAGAUUACUGCCUCUAGUGCAAGUGGGAGACUAUUGGAAAUAUGCCCUAGAGGCAAUAAUAAAUUGGUUAUUAUCAUAUUUCCUUGAUCAUGAUACUCAUUUAUUAUCCAUGCUAUAAUUGUAUUGAUUGGAAACUCAGAUACAUGUGUGGAUACAUAGACAAGAUAGAGUCCCUAGUAAGCCUCUACUAGACUAGCUCGUUGAUCAAAGAUGGUUAAGGUUUCCUAACCACAGACAUGAGUUGUCAUUUGAUAACAAGAUCACGUCAUUAGGAGAAUGAUGUGAUGGACUAAACCCAAACCGUAAGCAUAUUGUUUGAUCGUAUCAAUUUUACUGCUAUUGCUUUCUUCAUGUCAAUGUAUAUGUUCCUAUGACCAUGAGAUUAUGCAACUCCCUGACACCGGAGGAAUGCCUUGUGUCUAUCAAACGUCACAACGUAACUGGGGAUUAUAAAGAUGCUCUACUGGUAUCUCCAAGGGUAUCUGCUGAGUUGUCGUGGAUCAAGACUGCCAUUUCUCAUUCCGUAUGAUGGAGAGGUAUCUCUGGGCCCACUCGGUAAUACAACAUCACAAGAAGCUUGGAAGCAAUGUGACUAAGGAGUUAGUCACGGGAUCUUUUAUUACAGAAAGAGUAAAGCACUACUAGGGAAAAGCUUAUAGACAGACGCUUACUAGUAGCGCGGGUUUUUACCCCUCGCUACUUGUACUUACUGGUAGCGCUAGUUUUGACCCCUCGCUACUACUAACUUGAUAGUAGUAGCGAGGAUUUUUACCCCUCGCUACUACUAAGUGGUCUCAAUCGUGCUCCCCGGGACAUGCAAUAGUAGUAGUGUGGGGUAUAAACCAGCGAUACUACUAAGUUGAUAGUAGUAGCGCAGGUUUAUACCCCUCGCUACUAUUAAUUACAAGGUAGGUAAUGUCCACAUAUCCUCGGCCAAAUUCCUCCUCUCUCCCUCAGUCUCCCCCUCUCUCCAUAGGCUCUCCCAUGGUGCUCCUGCCCAAGCACACCACCUCCUCCAUGUCGCCCAAUGAGUGCCAAAUCGAAACCCACUCUCUCAUGAUUCCGCUUCUCCCUCCCACCCGCUAUUCCCUUCCUCACCCACCGCCACUGCCGGCCUCGCACAUCAUCGCCUCCCCAAAAUCCGGCGAACUCCACUCCCACCUCAGCCUCCUCCCCCUCCUUCCUCCUCCUUCUUUGUUGUUGGAGGAGAGGGAGAUCUAGUAGAGUGCCAUCCAUGGCGGCGGCUAGAUCCGCAAUGGAUACAACCAUCGGUUAGUUUCUCUUCCUACUCCUAUCAAUCUCUCUAUCUCUCUCUUUGCCUUCUAGUGAUUUUCUCUUUAUUUGUAGUAGUAGCAGAGGAGAGGUGCGAGGAUGAGUUGGGUGGGGAAGCACCAUCACCAUGGACAACUUCAUCCCCUCCAGGACCAGCAUCAGCCCUCGAUGGAGAGGACGUUGACGCCCAGCGGCAGCAACAACCUUGGAUGAAUUUAUUUAUUUUAAUUCCUAAUUAGUUAGUAGUAGCACGGGACCCUUACCCGCGCUACAACUAAGUAGUAGUAGCAUGGGUGGCAAUCGUGCUACUACUAGCAGAAGUAGUAGUCGUGCGGAUAGGACACGCGCUACUGCUAAAAGUUAGUUGUAGCACCGUAGUAGUUGUUGGAAAUAUGCCCUAGAGGCAAUAAUAAAAUGGUUAUUAUCAUAUUUCCUUGUUCAUGAUAAUCGUCUAUCGUUCAUGCUAUAAUUGUAUUAACAGGAAACAGUAAUACAUGUGUGAAUGAAUAGAUCACAAUGUGUCCCUCGCAAGCCUCUAGUUGGCUAGCUCGUUAGUUAAUAGAUGAUCAUGGUUUCCUGAUCAUGGGCAUUAGAUGUCAUUGAUAACGGGAUCACAUCAUUGGGAGAAUGAUGUGAUGGACAAGACCCAAUCCUAAGCCUAGCACUAGAUCGUAUUGUUCAUAUGCUAAUGCUUUUCUAAUGUCAAGUAUCUUUUCCUUCGACCGUGAGAUUGUGCAAGUCCCGGAUACCGUAGGAGUGCUUUGGGUGUAUCAAACGUCACAACGUAACUGGGUAACUAUAAAGGUGCACUACGGGUACCUCCGAAAGUGUCUGUUGGGUUGGCACGAAUCGAGAUCGGGAUUUGUCACUCCGUGUGACGGAGAGGUAUCUCUGGGCCCACUCGGUAGAACAUCAUCAUGAGCUCAAUGUGACUAAGGAGUUAGUCACACGAUGACGUGCUACGGAACGAGUAAAGAGACUUACCGGUAACGAGAUUGAACAAGGUAUAGGUAUACCGACGAUCGAAUCUCGGGCAAGUUCUAUACCGACAGACAAAGGGAAUCGUAUACGGGAUUGAUUGAAUCCUUGACAUCGUGGUUCAUCCGAUGAGAUCAUCGUGGAGCAAGUGGGAGCCACCAUGGGUAUCCAGACCCCGCUGAUGGUUAUUGGCCAGAGAGGUGUCUCGGUCAUGUCUGCCUGUCUCCCGAACCCGUAGGGUCUACACACUUACGGUUCGAUGACGCUAGGGUUAUAGGGAAUUAUUAUACGAGGUUACCGAAAGUUGUUCGGAGUUCCGGAUGAGAUCCCGGACGUCACAAGGUGCUCCGGAAUGGUCCGGAGGUAAAGAUUGAUAUAUAGGACGGAUGGUUUCGGACACCGGAAGUGUUUCGGGCAUCACCNGGAUCAGAUCCCGGACGUCACGAGGAGCUCCGAAAUGGUCCGGAGGUAAAGAUUGAUAUAUAGGACGGAUGGUUUCGGACACCGGAAGUGUUUCGGGCAUCACCGGUAACGUACCGGGACCACCGGGACCACCGGAGUUGGCCCCGGGGGACCACCGAAGGGGGCAACGACCCCGGGGGGUAAGGUGGGCCAAGUGAGGGUGGGAACCAGCCCCUAGGUGGGCUGGUGCGCCUCCCCACUCAGCCCAUGGCGCAAGGGAAAGAAAAAGGGGGGGCAAACCCUAGGCCAGGUGGGCCUAAGGCCCACGAGUGGGUGCGCCACCCCCUCCUCCCCCUCUGGCCGUCGCACCACCCAUCUGGGAGGGCUGCCGCACCCCCUAGGGUGGGAACCCUAGGGGUGGCACCCCCUCUCCCCUUCCCCUAUAUAUAGUGGGCACUUUUGGCCUUUGGAGGACACGGUUUUCCCUCUCCCUCGGCGCAGCCUUGCUCUUCUUCCUCCUCCUCUCCGCCGGUGCUUGGCGAAGCCCUGCCGGGAGACCUCGUCUCUCCACCGACACCACGCCCUCAUGUUGCUGGACUUCUUCCCCAACCUCUCCCUCCUCCUUGCUGGAUCAAGGUGCGGGAGACGUCACCGGGCUGCACGUGUGUUGAACGCGGAGGUGCCGUUGUUCGACACUAGAUCGGAAUCGUCGCGAGUACGACUCCAUCAACCGCGUUCUAGCAACGCUUCCGCUUAGCUAUCUUCAAAGGUAUGAAGAUGCUCUUACCCCUCUCUCGUUGCUGGUCUCUCCAUAGGAAGAUCUGAACAUGCGUAGGAAAAAUUUUGAAUUUAUGCUACGUUACCCAAAAGUGGCAUCAGAGCCAGGUUUUCUAUGCGUAGAUUUUAUGCACGAGUAGAACACAGAAGUUGUGGGCGAUGGUUUGUCAAUUUUCUUGCCGUUACUAGUCUUAUUCUUUUCCGGCGGUAUUGUGGGAUGAAGUGGCCCGGACCGACCUUACACGUACGCUUACGUGAGACUGGUUCCACCGACAGACAUGCACAUCGUGCAUAAAGGUGGCUAGCGGGUGUCUGUCUCUCCUACUCUAGUCGGAUUGGAUUUGAUGAAAAGGGUCCUUAUGAAGGGUAAAUAGCUUUGGCAUAUCGUCGUUGUGGCUUUCACGUAGGUAAGAAGGCGUUCUUGCUAGAAACCCAAAUCAGCCACGUAAAACUUGCAACAACAAUUAGAGGACGUCUAACUUGUUUUUACAGGGUUUGACAUGUGAUGUGAUAUGGCCAAAGUUGUGAUGUUGCAUGUAUGAUGUAUGAGAUGAUCAUGUUAUUUUAAUAGGUUUCACGACUUGCAUGUCGAUAAGUAUGACAACCGGCAGGAGCCAUAGGAGUUGUCUUAAUUUAUUGUAUGAGAUGCAACGCCAUGUGCUUACUACUUUUACUUCAUCGCUAACGGUUAGCCAUAGUAGUAGUGAUAGUAGUAGUUGGCGUGACGACUUCACGGAGACACGAUGAUGGAGAUCAUGGUGUCACGCCGGUGACGAUGAUGAUCAUGCGAUGCCUGAAGAUGGAGAUCGAAAGAGCAAAGAUGAUAAUGGCCAUAUCAUGUCACUAUAUGAUUGCAUUGUGAUGUUUAUCAUGUUUUAUAUCUUAUUGCUUAAAAAGACGGUAGCAUAAUAAGAUGAUCCCUCUUAAAAUUUCGAGAACGUAUUCCCCUAAGUGUGCACCGUUGCGAAGGUUCGUUGUCUCGAAGCACCACGUGAUGAUCGGGUGUGAUAGAUUCUAACGUUCGCAUACAACGGCUGUAAGCCAGAUUUACACACGCGAAACACCUAGGUUGACUCGACGAGCUUAGCAUGUACAGACAUGACCUCGAAUACAAGAGACCGAAAGGUUGAACAUGAGUCGUAUGGUUGAAUACGAUCAGCAAGAAGUUGCUCACCAUGGUGACUAGUCCGUCUCACGUGAUGAUCGGACACGGGUUAGUCAACAUGGAUCAUGUAUCACUUAGAUGACUAGAGGGAUGUCGAUUUAAGUGGGAGGUCAUACUUAAUUUGAUUAAAUGAACUUAAUUGUCAUGAACUUAGUCUAAAAUUUGUCUUUAUAAAUAUUGUAGAUGUCCAACGUCAACCUCAACUUCAACGCAUUCCUAGAGAAAAACAAGCUGAAAGAUGAUGGUAGCAACUAUGCGGACUGGGUUCGCAACCUGAAGCUCAUCCUUGAAGCAGCUAAAAAGGCUUAUGUCCUUAAUGCGCCGCUAGGUGACCCUCCCGCUCCCGCAGGAGCCCAGGACAUUCUAAACAUCUGGCAAGCGCGGAGUGAUGACUACUCUCUGGCCAGGUGUGGCAUGUUAUACAGUUUAGAAACAGAGCUCCAAAGACGUUUUGAGCAACACGGGGCAUAUGAGAUGUUCCAGGAGCUGAAGCUAGUUUUUCAAGCUCAUGCCCGUGUCGAGAGAUAUGAAGUCUCCGACUAGUUCUUCAGCUGUAAGAUGGAGGAGAAUAGUUCUGUCAGUGAGCACAUACUCAAAAUGUCUGGGUUACACGGUCGUCUGACUUCACUUGGAGUCGAACUUCCGGAUGAUGCUAUCAUUGACAGAAUCCUCCAGUCUCUCCCACCAAGCUACAAAGGCUUUGUGCUUAACUACAACAUGCAAGGGAUGGAGAAAACCAUUCCCGAGUUGUACUCGAUGCUCAAGUCUGCAGAAGUAGAAAUCAAGAAGGAGCAUCAAGUGUUGAUGGUCAACAAGACCACUAGUUUCAAGAAAGGCAAGGGUAAGAAGACCUUCAAGAAAGACGGCAAAGCUGUUGCCGCGCCCGGUAAGCCAGAUGUCGGGAAGAAGAAAAAGAACGGACCCAAGCCUGAGACUGAGUGCUUCUAUUGCAAGGGAAAAGGUCACUGGAAGCGGAACUGCCCCAAAUACUUAGCGGACAAGAAGGCCGGCAACGUUAAAGGUAUAUGUGAUAUACAUGUUAUUGAUGUGUACCUUACCAGCGCUCGUAGUAGCUCCUGGGUAUUUGAUACCGGUGCUGUUGCUCACAUUUGCGAUUCAAAGCAGGAACUGCGGAAUAAGCGGAGACUGGCCAAGGACGAGGUGACGAUGCGCGUCGGGAAUGGUUCAAAGGUCGAUGUGAUCGUCGUUGGCACGCUGCCUCUACAUCUACCGUCGGGAUUAGUUUUAAACCUUAAUAAUUGUUAUUUAGUACCAGCUUUAAGCAUGAACAUUGUAUCAGGGUCUUGCUUAAUGUGAGACGGCUACUCAUUUAAGUCAGAGAAUAAUGGUUGUUAUAUUUAUAUGAGUGAUAUGUUUUAUGGUCAUGCUCCGCUGGUGAAUGGUUUAUUCUUGAUGAAUCUCGAUCGUGAUGUUACACAUAUUCAUAGUGUGAAUACCAAAAGAUGCAAAGUUGAUAAUGAUAGUCCCACAUAGUUGUGGCACUGCCGCCUUGGUCAUAUCGGCAUUAAGCGCAUGAAGAAGCUCCAUACUGAUGGACUAUUAGAGUCUCUUGACUUUGAAUCAUUUGACACAUCCAAACCGUGCCUCAUGGGCAAGAUGACUAAGACUCCAUUCUCAGGAAUAAUGGAGAGAGCAACCGACUUAUUGGAAAUAAUACAUACUGAUGUGUGUGGUCCAAUGAACGUGGAAGCUCGCGGUGGUUAUCGUUAUGUUCUCACUCUCACCGAUGAUUUGAGUAGGUAUGGGUAUAUCUACUUGAUGAAGCACAAAUCUGAGACGUUUGAAAAGUUCAAGGAAUUUCAGAGUGAGGUUGAGAAUCAAGGUGACAGAAAAAUUAAAUGUCUACUCUGGUCGUGGAGGAGAAUAUUUGAGUCACGAGUUUGGCACACACCUAAGGAAGUGUGGAAUCGUUUCACAACUGACGCCGCCUGGCACACCGCAGCGCAACGGAGUGUCUGAACGUCGUAAUCGCACUUUAUUAGAUAUGGUACCACUACUGGAAUUCAGUUAUUUGCCGUCAGCCUCUUCUUUGCCGUCUGCUGGCUAAUGGCAAAGACACUAUUUGCCGUCAGUCACAAGAAAACGGACGGCAAAGGGAAGACUGAUGGCAAAGAUACUAUUUGCCAUCAGUCUGGUCUUUGCCGUCUGCUGGCUCAAGGCAAAGAGCAGGAGGGCAGACGGCAAAGAGCACGGGGCGGCCCACCACACACCCCCUCCCUCCUCAUAACGGUUGCUCUCUUUGUCGUCUGCCUUACACCUCUUUGCCGUCGGGGGGCGGACGGCAAAGAGAGGGCACCCCUAACGGCCGUCUCCCCCACCCCACGUCCCCCUGUCUCCGACAGUUACUCUCUCUGUCUCUCUCACCCCCCCUCUCUGCGAGCGCCCCCGCCUCCCUCAUCGUCACCCUCCGCCCGCACCCUCGCCCUCGCCCUCCUCGCCGUCCUCCCUCCGCCCGCACCCUCGCCCUCGCCCUCCUCGCCGUCCUCCAUCUGCCCUCACCCUCCCAUCACCGGCCAGACCCCCUCCUCGCUCAGCGGCACUCCUCCCUCCACCGGCUUGGAGCAGCAACCCCAUGGCAAUGACGAGGUCACCCGGACGCCAUUGACUCCCGAGACCAGCGUCGGAGCCAGGAGCAGCAGCCCUUCGACCGAUUCCUCUCGCCCAAAUCACAAGGUGAGCUCCAACAAUGGAUUUCUACCAAUGUUUUUUGACUUUGGAUAAGUACUAGUGGACUGGACAGAAACUUGUUAUGUGUUGAAUAUCCCUUAAUUAGUUUAUGCCACCACAAUCUUGUUUUAGUUUAGGUUUAGGUUUAGNNNNNNNNNNNNNNNNNNNNNNNNNNNNNNNNNNNNNNNNNNNNNNNNNNNNNNNNNNNNNNNNNNNNNNNNNNNNNNNNNNNNNNNNNNNNNNNNNNNNNNNNNNNNNNNNNNNNNNNNNNNNNNNNNNNNNNNNNNNNNNNNNNNNNNNNNNNNNNNNNNNNNNNNNNNNNNNNNNNNNNNNNNNNNNNNNNNNNNNNNNNNNNNNNNNNNNNNNNNNNNNNNNNNNNNNNNNNNNNNNNNNNNNNNNNNNNNNNNNNNNNNNNNNNNNNNNNNNNNNNNNNNNNNNNNNNNNNNNNNNNNNNNNNNNNNNNNNNNNNNNNNNNNNNNNNNNNNNNNNNNNNNNNNNNNNNNNNNNNNNNNNNNNNNNNNNNNNNNNNNNNNNNNNNNNNNNNNNNNNNNNNNNNNNNNNNNNNNNNNNNNNNNNNNNNNNNNNNNNNNNNNNNNNNNNNNNNNNNNNNNNNNNNNNNNNNNNNNNNNNNNNNNNNNNCUCCUCCUUCUUCUCCUCUUUCAUAUUAUCCUUGCUUUAAUUAACCCAACAAUGACAUAAUUAGCCCAUUUAGCUCCAAAAUACCAUAAUAAGCUCAAAAUGGCAUAAGAACCUUGGUUAGCUCAUUAAUAUUAUAUACUUAGCUUGUUUUCCUCUAAAAUGACAUAAUUGGAAUAUUUGUGUUGAUCGGGUGGAUUUACAUGUGAUAGUUGUCUCGUCGCUGUGAGGUCUGCUGUGCGAAGACCUGCCCGUGCGUUGUACGAGCUCCGCCCCUGCAUUCGUGGGUCAGUACAAAUUUCAUCUCCUCCCCGCCCCUUCAUUUACUGUGGCUCGGUUUCCGGAUGAAACUUUCUAGAUUUAGGUAAUUCAAUUAAUUUAUCAGUAUGCGUGACCAGUAUGCGUCUCCCGUUCGAAAGGGCGACAUCUAUAAAUAUGCAUGUCUUUGCAUAUUUAUAACCGCCAUCCUUUCGAAUUGUCCAACAUUAUCCAUGGACAAUCCGAGUAUGUUUAGAUUGGGUUCGUUUUCCCGCAUGCUGUGCUCUGGAUCCGAUGCGGAAUUUCGUCAGUGCCUCCCUGUUGUUCUCCGGAUGCACAUCCUCUCUGUUUAUUGCGGAGACGUGUAUCAGGAGAACAGCGGGGAGGUGCUGCCGAAAUUUUGCGUUGGAUCCAGAGCAGAGCAUGGGAAAAUGAACCCAAUCUACACAUACUCGGGUGGGAUUAGGACCUAUCUUUACCUAUUAGCGUGUACGUUGCCUGGACGUAAUAAAAAUGGCGAAAUAUGAAUAUAAAUGCUAAAUUAUAUAUCUAAAUAUAUUUCUUCUGUCUUUAGUAGCUACGCAAGAUGAGUGAUCGUGCGUGGAUGUAUACCGGUCACCCUAGUCAGAAAGAGAUGACGAAAGAAUGGUUUUUAAAAACAAAGGAAUUUGUGAAAGCCGCAUUCGCAAAUGGCCAGGAAAGAAACUAUUGCCCCUGUCCUGGAUGCGACAACUAUAAAAAGACGACAGAGGCUGUAAUGAUUAAACACCUGCAGAGGAGGGGUUUUAAGCCUAAUUAUACGGUGUGGACAUUUCAUGGUGAGUCUAUACAACGCACAAGAGCUGAGGUGGUCCGUCGUCGCACGGACGAGCAUGGUACUGGGAUCGAAGACAUGGUGCAAGACUUUGAUGAUGCUCGGGAUUCGGAAGAUGAGAUGGAGGAAUCUGCAAAGGCCUUUUAUGAAAUGUUGGAGUCUUCAAAACGUCCUCUCCAUGAGCACACUGAGCUCUGUCAGCUGGAUGCAAUUGCACAAGUAAUGGCUCUGAAGGCUGAGUUCAACUUGGGAAGAGAAUGCUACGACGCGAUGAUGACACUAUUUGCACGUUUCCUACCCAAAGGCCAUGUCAUGCCUGCAAACCUGUACCAGUCGGACAAAAUACUUCGUGUACUUAAGAUGCCCUAUGAGAAGAUAGAUGCAUGUGAGAAAGGAUGUGUCUUAUUUAGGAAGGAGUAUGCACACUUGGACUAUUGUCCCAAUUGCGAGUCUUGCAGGUAUCUUGUGGUAGACAACGGUAUGGGUGAGAAGAGGCAGACCAAAAUCGCAGUUAGUGUUCUUCGGUAUAUGCCAAUCGUACCAAGACUUCAACGUCUUUUCAUGGUCGAAGAGACAGCCAGACAGAUGACAUGGCACAAAUUGGGCAAAAGAACCGAACUAGAUGCGGAUUGGAAUAAGAUGAUGGUACACACAUCGGAUGGGGAAGCGUGGAAACAUUUCGAUGGAUUGCAUCAGGAUAAAGCGGGAGAUCCAAGGAAUCCUCGAGUCUACGUCGCCACGGAUGGUUUUAAUCCCUUCGGCAUGACGGCAACCCAAUACAAUUGUUGGCCUAUAUUUGUCAUUCCACUGAAUCUCCCCCCCCCCGGGCAGAUUAUGCAAAGAAAGAACAUAUUUCUGACGUUGAUAAUUCCAGGGCCCAAUUAUCCGGGGAAGAAUAUGAAUGUGUACCUGCAACCGCUUAAGGAUGAAUUGGAAGAAGCUUGGGAAAAUGGGGUCAAGACAUACGAUGCCGCUAGAAAAGAAAACUUCAAAAUGCAUGUGUGGUACAUGUACUCUAUGCAUGACUUGCCAGCGUAUGCGCUAUUCUCUAGAUGGUGUGUGCAUGGAAGGUUCCCGUGCCCCCAAUGCAAGGCAGCUCUUCAGUUUCAUUGGUUGCAGGAGGGUCGGAAGUAUUCUUGCUUUGACUUGCAUAGACAGUUCCUGGAUCCGGACCAUCAGUUCAAAAAGACAAGAAGAACUUUACCAAAGGUAAAGUUGUCAAAAACUUGGCACCACAUGCGUUCACAGGCCAACAGAUCCUAGAUCACUUAAACGCCCUCGAACCUGAUCCAGAGCGUCCAGGGUAUUUCAAGGGGUAUAAUUCAAAACAUGCCUGGACUCACAAGCCAUGCUUCUGGGAUCUGCCUUACUUCAAAGACCUCCUUCUUCCACACAAUAUCGACAUGAUGCACACUGAAAAGAAUAUCGGAGAGGCUAUUUUUGGUACAUUGUUCGACAUAGAUGGGAAGACAAAGGAUAAUAUUAAGGCUAGAGUCGAUCAAGAGACACUAUGUCAUAGACCGUUACAAAACAUGCGAGAAGGCAAAGGAAAGCAGAAGUGGUCGAAGCCAAAGGCCUGGUUCAAUCUUGGAAGGCCAGCUAUGAGGAAAAUUAUCUUGUGGGUCAAAAUGCACUUGAUGUUCCCCGAUGGGUAUGCAGUGAAUCUAAAGAGGGGAGCGAGUCUUGAAAAAUUAAAAAUCUUUGGUCUCAAGAGUGAUGAUUGGCACAUAUGGCGAGAGCGGGUAAUGCCGGUGAUGUUACGUGGCUUUAUUCCUGAGGAUGAAUGGCUAGUACUGGCGGAGCUGAGCUAUUUCUUCCAUAGUUCUUUGUGCGAAAGAAUUAUUGCCUGGCGUGGUAGAAGACAUGGAGGAGUUUGCACCGGAGUUGUUGUGCAAGUUAGAGAAGAUAUUUCCAUCGGGCUUCUUUAAUCCAAUGCAGCAUUUGAUUUUACAUCUACCGACCGAGGCAAGAUUGGGUGGGUCCGUGCAAGAUCGUUGGUGCUAUGCAACUGAGAGGAUGCAGAAGACCCUUCGAGCUAAAUGUAAAAAUAAGCGUAGAAUUGAAGCAUCGAUGGCUGAGGCAUUCAUUACUGAGGAGGUGGCAAACUUUGUGACAGCACACUACGAAGCCAAAAAUCAUCAUUUGCAUAAUCCGAAGCCUCGGCACAAUGAUGGAGACCCUAAAAAAGGUGGGUCCAACCUCAGCCUAUUCAAAGGGAAGCUCGCACCAGCCGGUGCUUCAAAACCAAUAACGUUGGAUAUCGAAGAAUGGCGGAACAUUUCGUUGUAUAUCUUCAACAACCUAACAGAAGUGCGGCCGUACAUCGAGUGAGUUUUCGGCACAUUUUCCCGUAACUUCUAAUUCAUUUGAACUGAUCUUAUUCCCGGAUAUUUCAAACAGCCGUUACGUCGUCAAAUUCUCGGAUGGAGCGGUGAUCGAAAAUGAUUCCGUCGAAGAGUAUGAGCUUCUGUCAAAGACAGGAGGCGGCUAUCCCGGUUUCAUCUCUUGGUUCAAACAAACGGUAAUUAUCAAUAAUGGACCAUUUCAUUCUUGGUCUAACUUGCGGCUAAUGCAACAACCGUUUCGUAUUAAACUUGUAGGCUAAUUCAGAGUCUAUGGACGCCGACUUGAGACAAGUCGCUAAUGGUUUUGACUAUAAGGUCCGUUCAUUUGAGAAAUACAACAUCAACGGGUAUCUCUUUCGUACCUUUGGCAAAGAGCUAUCUAUGCCCGACCGGAAAUCUACAAAUUGUGGUGUCUCUGCUAUCGGCGAAGGUGUUAUCGAGUAUUAUGGAAGAGUUGAAGCAAUUUAUGAACUUCAAUUCUAUGGUGAAAACCCACCGAACGUCGUAGUCUUCAAAUGUUAUUGGUUCCAGCCGAAAAAGACUAGAAGGACUCAUGAACAUAUAGGACUAGUCGAAAUCAAUCCAAACACCCAUUUAGAUGUUCCCGAUGUCUAUAUUACGGCUCAACAGGCGACCCAAGUUUUCUAUCUACCGUGGGCAUGCCAAACGGAUAAGAAUCUGGAAGGUUGGUAUGUUGUUUAUGAAGUGCCGCCACAUGUCAGACCACCUCUCCCAAAUGAACAGGAUUAUGAACCUCACAUUAACCCAGACACAUAUGAUGGAGAAUUCUUCCAAGAAACACGUCUUUCCAAGAAACGUUUCAAGAACCGCCGUGCUUCAUCCAAGAACAUGGAAGUAGACAGCGACAAUGAAUCCGACUCCAGCCCUGAGCCGGAACCAGAAGACCUGGAACUCGUAGAGGUUACUGAUGCGGAUGACCUGUCAAUGCUUCAACGAUUAAAGGAAGGCCUUUCACAACUUCACGCCGUUGAACCCGAUGAGCACGUCAUUCAUGAAGACAUGCGUGAUAGUGAUGAUGAUGAUGCAUUUAUUGAUGAUGAUUAUUAGUUUGUAAGAUUCAAAACUUAAAUUAUAUAUAUUUUAAUCUUUAUUAUUCAUGUACAUAUUAUUAUUCAUGUCAGUCAUUCAAUUUUUUUAUUUUGUACUAAUUUCUUUUAAUCUUUAUCAUGGCAGGUGUUGAAAGAUGGUGGGCGCGGGUCAAGAUCGCUCGACGAGUUCUUCCCAGGCGCCCCGCACGAGGGGUGGUACUACCCUUCCACCCCUAUCUCUCCGUAGAGCCUUGGUAGACAGUCUUUCGACACCAGCCGUGGGUUCUUCUUCGUCGGCGGCAUUGCCCGCUGGGAGAGGUGCUGGUCGGGGAGGGAAGAAGGGGAAGGGUACAGGGAGAGGUGGUGGGCGCGAAAGAUCCAGGAGGACUGUUGAGCCGUCCUCGCCACCACCACCAGCUCAUUCACCCGAGCAUAGGACUAGUAUGGUCGACCCGUUUGCGGAGGAGGCUACGGGGACUCCGGUCCAGGAGCCUCGUGUUCACGGGCAUUCGUCCCAUGAGACUCCGGUCCAGGAGCAGCCUUGGGUCGAGGUGCACUCGGCCCAGGAGCAGCCGAAGGAGACUACGGUUCCGGAGGCUUCACCCGACGAGGAGAGGCCCGGAUGGGAGCCUUGGCCGGAUCAAACCGAGUUGCCGGAUUGGAUCGAGGGUCCGGGUGGCUCAGGGGGCGGGGAUGGCGGGGAUGAGCUUACGGAUAGCGAGGGCGAUGUGCAGGUGGACGGGGCCCCGGCUACCGUGUACAAGCGCGGUAGUACACGUCUCCCGGUCGCCCCAGCUACCCGCGAGCAGAGGCCGGUGAUUAAACCUGAAGGAGAUAGGUAAGUACAUUUACCCUUUUUUUAGCUUUUGCCUUCAAGUUUGUUCAAAUAUCUAAUGCGCUGACCUUAUCAUACUGCAGGGGAUGGGUACACCCUCUUGGAGUCCGCAGGCCGAACUCCGUCCUUGGUGUGCUUUGCCGGACAAAUUUCCCGGGGUUUGUCACGUUGCCUGGUGAGGGUCAGGUUCCUACACUAGGAUUUACCUGGGAGCACUACCAGGCUGCGCCGGCCCCGCCGGAGGAGAUUAUAGAUGGUGUCUUGUGCCACACAUAAUUAGCCCAUUUAGCUCCAAAAUACCAUAAUAAGCUCAAAAUGCCAUAAGAACCUUGGUUAGCUCAUUAAUAUUAUAUACUUAGCUUGUUUUCCUCUAAAAUGAGAUAAUUAGCCCAUUUAGCUCAAAAAAGACAUAAUUAGGUAAUUUAGCUCCAACAAGAGGAGAAGAGGAGAAGAAAUANNNNNNNNNNNNNNNNNNNNNNNNNNNNNNNNNNNNNNNNNNNNNNNNNNNNNNNNNNNNNNNNNNNNNNNNNNNNNNNNNNNNNNNNNNNNNNNNNNNNNNNNNNNNNNNNNNNNNNNNNNNNNNNNNNNNNNNNNNNNNNNNNNNNNNNNNNNNNNNNNNNNNNNNNNNNNNNNNNNNNNNNNNNNNNNNNNNNNNNNNNNNNNNNNNNNNNNNNNNNNNNNNNNNNNNNNNNNNNNNNNNNNNNNNNNNNNNNNNNNNNNNNNNNNNNNNNNNNNNNNNNNNNNNNNNNNNNNNNNNNNNNNNNNNNNNNNNNNNNNNNNNNNNNNNNNNNNNNNNNNNNNNNNNNNNNNNNNNNNNNNNNNNNNNNNNNNNNNNNNNNNNNNNNNNNNNNNNNNNNNNNNNNNNNNNNNNNNNNNNNNNNNNNNNNNNNNNNNNNNNNNNNNNNNNNNNNNNNNNNNNNNNNNNNNNNNNNNNNNNNNNNNNNNNNNNNNNNNNNNNNNNNNNNNNNNNNNNNNNNNNNNNNNNNNNNNNNNNNNNNNNNNNNNNNNNNNNNNNNNNNNNNNNNNNNNNNNNNNNNNNNNNNNNNNNNNNNNNNNNNNNNNNNNNNNNNNNNNNNNNNNNNNNNNNNNNNNNNNNNNNNNNNNNNNNNNNNNNNNNNNNNNNNNNNNNNNNNNNNNNNNNNNNNNNNNNNNNNNNNNNNNNNNNNNNNNNNNNNNNNNNNNNNNNNNNNNNNNNNNNNNNNNNNNNNNNNNNNNNNNNNNNNNNNNNNNNNNNNNNNNNNNNNNNNNNNNNNNNNNNNNNNNNNNNNNNNNNNNNNNNNNNNNNNNNNNNNNNNNNNNNNNNNNNNNNNNNNNNNNNNNNNNNNNNNNNNNNNNNNNNNNNNNNNNNNNNNNNNNNNNNNNNNNNNNNNNNNNNNNNNNNNNNNNNNNNNNNNNNNNNNNNNNNNNNNNNNNNNNNNNNNNNNNNNNNNNNNNNNNNNNNNNNNNNNNNNNNNNNNNNNNNNNNNNNNNNNNNNNNNNNNNNNNNNNNNNNNNNNNNNNNNNNNNNNNNNNNNNNNNNNNNNNNNNNNNNNNNNNNNNNNNNNNNNNNNNNNNNNNNNNNNNNNNNNNNNNNNNNNNNNNNNNNNNNNNNNNNNNNNNNNNNNNNNNNNNNNNNNNNNNNNNNNNNNNNNNNNNNNNNNNNNNNNNNNNNNNNNNNNNNNNNNNNNNNNNNNNNNNNNNNNNNNNNNNNNNNNNNNNNNNNNNNNNNNNNNNNNNNNNNNNNNNNNNNNNNNNNNNNNNNNNNNNNNNNNNNNNNUUAUUCCCAUUUUGCAGAUUGGAUGUACUACAUGCAUGGAAGCUGGCGUUGGAGUGCUUCAGUUUCCGUUUCUAUUUGAGUUGAUGAACAAUGUGUUGGUUCUUUGUACGUGUUGAUGAACAAUAUAUGUGCAACUAUAUGUAUGUAUAUAUGGAUGAAAUUUUGUAUGUGUUGGUUCUUUUGAUAUAUGGGAUGUACGUUGAUGAACAAAUGUCAUUGAUGAGCUUUAUAUGUAUAUCAUAUAUGUGUUGUGAUCUAUUUAUGAUAUAUGUGCUAUGAAUUAUAUGUAUAUGUGAUGUGAAAUAGAAAAAAUAAAUAAAAAUGUGACAAUAUAGGCUCUUUCCCGUCUGCCAGCUGAUGGCAAAGGUCUUUGCCGUCUGCCGGCCGACGACAAAGGUGCCACGUGGCGCCCAGCUGUGCAACCUGGGCAGUAGCAGGUGGCCAUAUAGUCUCUUUGCCGUCUACAUAGAGGAGGGGCCAGACAGCAAAGAGGAGGGCACAGAGGAGGGGGCAGACGGCAAAAGUGGAGAGAGGGGGAGGGCAGGACCCGGCAGACGGCAAAGAUUGGCAAGCGGGCAGACGGCAAAGAUGGAGGGGGGAGGAGAAGGCUGACGGCAAAGAUGGAUGGUCAGGCCAACGGCAAAGAUGGGGGAGGCAGACGGCAAAGCCUCCGUUAACCCCUAACGGAGGCAACGCCUUUCGGCUGCCGUCUCAAGAGCUUUGCCGACUGCUCCUAAGGAAAGCUGACGACAAAGAGCUUUGCCGUCCGCUUUGGGGGGCAGACGGCAAAGAAGGUCCUAUGCCGUCGUAGGCUGACGCAGAAAUUUUGCCGGCCGUGAGAUUCUUUGCCGUCUGUGGUAUUGUCUUUGCCGUCCGGGAUAGUGUCUUUGCCGUCUGUGAUGGCAGACGGCAAAGAAGUUGAUUCCUGUAGUGUACGAUCUAUGAUGUCUCUCACCGACUUACCGCUAUCAUUUUGGGGAUACGCAUUAGAAACUGCAGCAUUCACUUUAAAUAGGGCACCGUCUAAAUCCGUUGAGACGACACCGUAUGAACUAUGGUUUGGCAAGAAACCUAAGUUGUCGUUUCUUAAAGUUUGGGGCUGCGAUGCUUAUGUGAAGAAACUUCAACCAGAAAAGCUCGAACCCAAAGCAGAGAAAUGCGUAUCCAUAGGAUACCCUAAGGAAACUAUUGGGUAUACCUUCUAUCUUAGAUCCGAAGGUAAAACCUUUGUUGCCAAGAACGGAUCCUUUCUAGAGAGAGAGUUUCUCUCGAAAGAAGUAAGUGGGAGGAAGGUAGAACUUGAUGAGGUAAUUACACCCCCUCUCGAACAGGAAAGUAGUGCAGCGCAGGAAGAUGUUCCUGUGGCGCCUACACCGACUGAAGAGGAAGUUAAUGAUGAUGAUCAUGAAGCUUCGGAUCAAGUUACUACUGAACCGCGAAGGUCCACAAGGGUACGCUCCGCACCAGAGUGGUACGACAACCCUGUGAUGGAAAUCAUGUUGUUAUACAACGGUGAACCUUCGAACUAUGAAGAAGCGAUGGCGGGCCCGGAUUCCAACAAAUGGCUUGAGGCCAUGAAGUCCGAGAUAGGAUCCAUGUAUGAGAACAAAGUAUGGACUUUGGUGGACUUGCCCGAUGACCGGCGAGCCAUAGAAAAUAAAUGGAUCUUCAAGAAGAAGACUGAUGCAAACGGUAAUGUAACCGUUUACAAAGCUCGACUUGUCGCAAAGGGUUUUCGACAAAUUCAAGGAGUUGACUACGAAGAGACUUUCUCUCCCAUAGCGAAGCUGAAAUCAGUCCUAAUCAUGUUAGCAAUUGCCGCCUUUUAUGAUUAUGAAAUUUGGCAAAUGGACGUCAAAACAGCAUUCCUUAACGGGAACCUUAAGGAAGAGUUGUAUAUGAUGCAACCAGAAGGUUUUGUCGACCCUAAGGGUGCUAACAAAGUGUGCAAGCUCCAGCGCUCCAUCUAUGGGCUGGUGCAAGCAUCUCGGAGUUGGAACAUUCUCUUUAAUGAGGUGAUUAAAGCGUUUGGGUUCAUACAGGUUUACGGAGAAGCCUGUCUGUACAAGAAAGUGAGUGGGAGCUCUGUAGCUUUCCUCGUACUAUAUGUAGAUGACAUAUUAUUGAUGGGGAAUAAUAUAGAGAUGUUGGAGAGCAUAAAGGCCUAUUUGAACAAGAGUUUUUCAAUGAAGGACCUUGGAGAAGCUGCAUACAUAUUAGGCAUCAAGAUCUAUAGAGAUAGAUCGAGACGCCUCAUAGGUCUUUCGCAAAGUACAUACCUUGACAAGAUAUUGAAGAAGUUCAAUAUGGAAAACUAAAAGAAAGGGUUCUUGCCAGUUUUGCAAGGAAUGAGAUUGAGUAAGACUCAGUCGCCGACCACGGCAGCAGAUAGAGAGAAGAUGAGUUCUGUCCCCUACACUUCAGCCGUGGACUCUCUAAUGUAUGCCAUGUUGUGUACCAGACCUGAUAUAAACCUUGCCAUAAGUUUGGUAGGGAGGUACCAAAGUGAUCCCGGUACGGAACACUGGAUAGCGGUCAAGAAUAUCCUUAAGUACCUGAAAAGGACUAAGGAAAUGUUUCUCGUUUAUGGAGGUGACGAAGAGCUCGUCGUAAAGGGUUACGUCGAUGCUAGCUUCGACACAGAUCCGGAUGACUCUAAGUCUCAGACCGGAUACGUAUAUAUGUUGAAUGGUGGGGCAGUGAGCUGGUGCAGCAGCAAGCAAGAAGUCGUGGCAGCAUCUACAUGUGAAGCGGAGUACAUAGCUGCUUCAGAAGCGGCUCAUGAAGGAAUUUGGAUGAAGGAGCUCAUCACCGACCUUGGAGUGGUUCCAAGUGCGUCGGGUCCUAUGACACUCUUCUGUGAUAACACUGGAGCCAUUGCCAUAGCAAAGGAGCCCAGGUUUCACCGGAAGACGAAGCACAUCAAGCGCCGCUACAACUCCAUCCAGGACCAUGUCCAGAGUGGAGUGAUAGAUAUUUGUAAAGUACACACGGAUCUGAAUAUUGCAGACCCGUUGACUAAACCUCUUCCACGAGCAAAACAUGAUCAGCACCAUAAUGCUAUGGGUGUUCGAUACAUCACAAUGUAACUAGAUUAUUGACUCUAGUGCAAGUGGGAGACUGUUGGAAAUAUGCCCUAGAGGCAAUAAUAAAAUGGUUAUUAUCAUAUUUCCUUGUUCAUGAUAAUCGUCUAUCGUUCAUGCUAUAAUUGUAUUAACAGGAAACAGUAAUACAUGUGUGAAUGAAUAGAUCACAAUGUGUCCCUAGCAAGCCUCUAGUUGGCUAGCUCGUUAGUCAAUAGAUGAUCAUGGUUUCCUGAUCAUGGGCAUUAGAUGUCAUUGAUAACGGGAUCACAUCAUUGGGAGAAUGAUGUGAUGGACAAGACCCAAUCCUAAGCCUAGCACUAGAUCGUAUUGUUCAUAUGCUAAUGCUUUUCUAAUGUCAAGUAUCUUUUCCUUUGACCGUGAGAUUGUGCAACUCCCGGAUACCGUAGGAGUGCUUUGGGUGUAUCAAACGUCACAACGUAACUGGGUGACUAUAAAGGUGCACUACGGGUACCUCCGAAAGUGUCUGUUGGGUUGGCACGAAUCGAGAUCAGGAUUUGUCACUCCGUGUGACGGAGAGGUAUCUCUGGGCCCACUCGGUAGAACAUCAUCAUGAGCUCAAUGUGACUAAGGAGUUAGUCACACGAUGACGUGCUACGGAACGAGUAAAGAGACUUACCGGUAACGAGAUUGAACAAGGUAUAGGUAUACCGACGAUCGAAUCUCGGGCAAGUUCUAUACCGACAGACAAAGGGAAUCGUAUACGGGAUUGAUUGAAUCCUUGACAUCGUGGUUCAUCCGAUGAGAUCAUCGUGGAGCAAGUGGGAGCCACCAUGGGUAUCCAGACCCCGCUGAUGGUUAUUGGCCAGAGAGGUGUCUCGGUCAUGUCUGCCUGUCUCCCGAACCCGUAGGGUCUACACACUUACGGUUCGAUGACGCUAGGGUUAUAGGGAAUUAUUAUACGAGGUUACCGAAAGUUGUUCGGAGUUCAGGAUCAGAUCCCGGACGUCACGAGGAGCUCCGAAAUGGUCCGGAGGUAAAGAUUGAUAUAUAGGACGGAUGGUUUCGGACACCGGAAGUGUUUCGGGCAUCACCGGUAACGUACCGGGACCACCGGAGGUGGCCCCACGGGACCACCGAAGGGGGCAAUGACCCCGGGAGGUAAGGUGGGCCAAGUGAGGGUGGGAACCAGCCCCUAGGUGGGCUGGUGCGCCUCCCCACUCAGCCCAUGGCGCAAGGGAAAGAAAAAGGGGGGGCAAACCCUAGGCCAGGUGGGCCUAAGGCCCACGAGUGGGUGCGCCACCCCCUCCUCCCCCUCUGGCCGUCGCACCACCCAUCUGGGAGGGCUGCCGCACCCCCUAGGGUGGGAACCCUAGGGGUGGCACCCCCUCUCCCCUUCCCCUAUAUAUAGUGGGCACUUUUGGCCUUUGGAGGACACGGUUUUCCCUCUCCCUCGGCGCAGCCUUGCUCUUCUUCCUCCUCCUCUCCGCCGGUGCUUGGCGAAGCCCUGCCGGGAGACCUCGUCUCUCCACCGACACCACGCCCUCAUGUUGCUGGACUUCUUCCCCAACCACUCCCUCCUCCUUGCUGGAUCAAGGUGCGGGAGACGUCACCGGGCUGCACGUGUGUUGAACGCGGAGGUGCCGUUGUUCGGCACUAGAUCAGAAUCGCCGCGAGUACGACUCCAUCAACCACGUUCUAGCAACGCUUCCGCUUAGCGAUCUUCAAAGGUAUGAAGAUGCUCUUACCCCUCUCUCGUUGCUAGUCUCUCCAUAGGAAGAUCUGAACAUGCGUAAGAAAAUUUUUGAAUUUAUGCUACGUUACCCAAAAGUAGUAGCGCGGCCCCCCGCGCUACUAAUAGGUCAUUAUCUCGUGCUACUACUAUGGUUUUCCCUAGUAGUGAAGAGACGUGAUGAGAAUGAGAUUGAACUAGGUAUGGAGAUAACGACGAUCGAAUCUCGGGCAUGUAACAUACCGAUGGACAAAGGGAACUCCAUACGGGAUUUCCUAAAUCCUUGAUAUCGUGGUUCGACCGAUAUAGAUCUUUGUAGAAUAUGUAGGAACCAAUAUGGGCAUCUAGGUUCCGCUAUUGGUUAUUGACCGUAGAUAUGUCUCGGUCAUGUCUGCAUAGUUCUCGAACCAACGGGGUUUGCACACUUAACGUUCAAUGAUGAUAUAGAUAUAGUUGAGUUAUUGUGUUGGUGACCGAAGGUUGUUAGGAGUCCCGGAUUAGACCCUAGUAAUGAAGAGGAGCUUCGGAAUGUUCUAGAUGUAAAGAUUCAUAUAUGGUAAGUUGGUAUUCGAGUUUCAGAAGAGUUUCAAAAGGUUACCGGUUUUGUGAUGGAGGUUCCGGAAUUGUUCCGGGGGUCGACCGGAGGGUCCAACUGCCCCGAAGGUCCCCGUGGCCUAUGGGAGGUGGCGCACCAGCCCAUGGUGGGCUGGCCGCCACUCCCACCUGAGGUGCGUGCGGCCAAGGAGGUGGGCUGGCCUAAAGGAGGCUGCCGCCCCACUCUCCUUGGGUGCCAAGGCAUCUUGGCCGCCGCCCCAAGCCUAGGGAAAACCCUAGGGUGCCACCCCUCCUCCCUUCUCCCUAUAUAUAUUAGAGGGGAGGGGCAGACAUACCUGAAAGCCACAUCGCAUCCCUCAUCUAUCUCUUGUAGUACUUCUCCCUCGUUCUUGUCAUGGCAACGCUGGGCAAAGCCCUGCCGGGACAGCUCCACCACCAGCACCACCACGUCGUCGUGCUACCGGAGAACUGAAGCUACUACUUCACCUUCGCUCACUGGAUCGAGGUGGUGAAGGCAUCAUCGAUUUGCACGUGUGCUGAAUGCGGAGGUGUCGUCCGUUCAACACUUGAUCGGGACGUGAUUGGAUCGCGAAGACAUUUGACUACAUCAACCGCGUUUCUUAACACUUCCGCUUAGUGAUCUACAAGGGUAUGUAGAUGCACUUCCCUUCUCGUAGCUGUUCAUCUCCAUAGAUUGAUCUUGGAUGUGUGUCGGAAUUUUUUUGUUUACCAUGCAAUGUUCUCUAACAUCGCGAAGACGUUUGGAUAUUUUCAUAUGAAAGCAUUAACGUUUGUGUAUUUGAUGCCUUAUGGUCGUGUUAUAUAGUUGAUCUAGGCAUACGAACAUACAUUGGUAUUGUCCUCUCUUUCAUUUCCUAUGUUGUAUUUGGUACUGUGUAUUAAAAAAUAACUUAUUUUAAUCUGGUCUCAUUGGAGAUCAUCAUAUCAUUUCAGUCUGAUGUUUACUUUUUUAGUAAGCAGGUGUAUUUUUCACCCUUAUGAGGUGUACCACGAGAUCAUGAAACUUUAGGAAAUACGAACCUUUAGGAUUUAUAUAGUUUCAUUAAGUCGGUAGGUAAAUUGUGUAAACCAUAUAUUAUUGUUGUAAGUGACAAAUUCAUAAAGUUAUGGUGGUUUCUAUUGUUCAUGGAUGUCUUCUAUGCAUUUUAAUUUACAAAAACAAUAUCUUUGAUAAACAAAUAUGGGAAAUCAUGGCAAUUUUGUUGAGUUUGGCAAUUUUCUUGAACCUCUUAUUAUUUCUGGACCCUUUUUCUUUUAAGUUUCCUUCAAUUAGCUUGAUGUGCUUACCUUCUUUUGUAUGACUAUGCCAUUUGUAGUUGCAUAUUGAGCAUGUCUCUCUCUAGAGAAGAUAUGGGAGAAACCCACGUGUAUGAAUAUGAUCUGAGUGUGCUCUUCUUUAUUUAGAAGCUUGAGGCGACUUAUUAGUAUGAAGUGGCGCCUAUGAAGUUGAUUGCCAAGGCACUGGAAUGAAACCACUUAUUAGUAUGCUUGGUAGCUAUGCAUCCGUAGUUAUCUCCUUUAUGACGUUCCUGCUUUUAUUACUCCCUUUCCUAUAUUCGUGGUUUUUAUAUCGAAGUUCAUGUCGAGUGUGUGUGCCUUUCGUAUUGAACUUCAUCUCAAGUGACUUAUCAUUUGUUGUUUUGUGAACGCACUAAACUUGAUGCUAUCUUAUAAUCUCAUAUGAUAUUGAGCGUUACUAUGCCUUGAUCAUGUGACAAUUGAAUAUUUCUUUUUCUGUCUAUUGUUAUCUUGUAUGAAUACAUAUAUAUUAAAUCUAGAUUUCUACUAACUCACCAUUAGCUUCUUGACCAAAAGGAUUGCACCUGCACCCUCAUGCCAAGGCACGAUCCUGAACUAGUUAAAACUAGAAGCACAGGCGAAAACAACAAACAUAGAAGCAUACACCGCUGAUUCUGAGUCAAUAACAUUGUACAUACACUCUGCGUUGAGCAAACGUAGCAGGGAUCCGAUCAAAGAAAAGGGGAAUUUCUACUUUAAAUGCAAGACUUGGAGAAUACAGACCAUAUAGUAUCCAUCAGUAGUACCACUAGUGAGCUAGUGACCAUAUAGUAUCCAUCGGUAGUACGAGUAGAAAACUGGACAUUAGUCCCGGUUUCAGAGGAACUUUAGUCCCGGUUGUGCAACCGGGACUAAUCCUUCGGGACUAAAGGUCCCAUUAUUUAGUCCUGAUUGUGUUACAAACCAGGAUUAAAGGGGGUCCACGUGACCGUUGCGCAUCGCUCAGGCAGGAGGACCUUUAGUCCCAGUUGGUAACCCCAACCGAGACUAAAGAGAUUCACGCGUAUUUUUUGAGGGGUUUUGGAGGGGUUUGGAGGGGUAUAGGGUUUUCGAGGGGUUUAGCGGGUCUUUUGAGUUAGAAACCAAAUCCAUGUUUUUUACUAGUGUCUGCGCGUCGGCUAGCUAUCAAUAACAAUGAAGGAACCGUUACACAAUAUCGUCAUGAAUAUGAAGUGACACUGUUCCUCGACGCUAGCUACUAAUAGCAAUGAGAAGUGACAUAUAUAUAUUCGACGCUACUACAUGUAAUACACAUUCAUUCAUAUAUACAAUAUAUAUCUCUCAUGAUCCCUACUAUCUAAUUACCAUCAUCCACUAUCACUUGAUGAUGUUAUUCUUUGGUUGGUGAUAUGACCUUAUCAAGGAAGAAUCCCGCCAAUUCCUCUUGAAUUGCUUGUAUGCGAUUCUCUCGUAGGAGUUCAUCCCGCUUCCGUUGGAUCUAAUUUAAACAAGGCGGUCAAUAUGAAACUCAAUAAAAUUGAUGUUAAUAAAAUAAAAUUAUGAAUAUUGUUUACGUACGACAAGUUUUUCAAAAUUUCUGACCGUCUCGCAGGUCGUCUGACAAACGAACUCGCAAACGUAGUAUCCACAUAAGUUAUUCCUGUCUCCCUGCCUUCGACACUAUAUACGAUAAUAGAAUUCAAUAAAAAAAUCAAGCAUGAUAAUGGUAUUGAAGUAGAAUAAAAGAGAUGCGCGGACCUAGCUAGUACUGCUUACAGUGACUUGUUGAAAUCACAGCUCCUUUCCCCAUUCACCCCAAGUCUUGUUGGUGAACUGUUUCCAAACCCUGCCCGACAAAGCAAAUGAAUACAUAAAUGAUUUUUUAGUUACUUGAUAUUAGAAAAUGAACAAAAGUUAUCGAUAUAGUGCGAUAAUGAUUGAAAUUACCUCUCGACCAUUUGCUACAAGUCCGUGCAUGUCUCCAUGUCUUUGUAUUUCGAGUCCAUGACAAGGACGCUUCCUGCAUCCAACUGAAUGACUAGCAGAAUAAAGUGGAACAUGCGCACACAUAACUCAUCAAUUACACUUAACAUCGAGUAAUUAGAGAAAACAGAAUUUGUUCAAGACAGUAUAACACUCACUUGAAGAUGUAAGGAAAAAAGUAUUUCCCCUUUGGUUUGUUUUUCAAUUAACGCCCUUAGCAAGAUCUUCUCUAUUUCCUUGGCAUUCUUUUCUACUGUCACUUCAUGAACAGUAUUUGGGUUAAUGAACCCAAUGUCAUAGAUUCGUCCUCUUCUGCAUCGGAGGAUCUUCAUUCUACAUUAUAUAUAGUGAGGAAAAUUAUACAUGCAAUAAAUGAGUUGAGAUAGAGACUUAAUUACAAAAAUGAUACUUACAGACAAUAGCAACUCACGAUAACUUUGUCGAUGGCGUCUUGAUUCAAUAACUAAAAAAAUCCUCAAAUUCAAUGUAAAUCACCUCGUCUCCAUUGAAGAAAUGUUCAUCUUUAACUCCCACAAUGAGACGAUAGUUGGUCCCAUCCUUGCAGGCUUUCAGGUACCACUCAUGAAAGUUUCACAUUCGUGUUGGUAGAAGCGGGACAUUCUCAGGUUUGAUGAGAGGAAUCACGUACCGGUAUGUGUAUACAAUCUCAGCGAUGGGGAACUCUUCCUACUUGUCUAAGUAUCGACCAAGAGUGAAACCAUUAUCAUGGCCUCCUGCCUUGGCAUCAUAAACGAUACCAGUAAACUGAGGAGGGACCGAUUAGUUUUUUGUUCGUCGAGCUGGGAACUGUUUUCCCACUUGAUCUACUACUUCCAGACUGCUUAUGUUCUCUAUGUGACUUAACAAUCGAUCGGUCAUAGUCUCAUAGCGGCGGGGGCGACGGUGGUCGCGUAAGGUUUUUCAGACAGCGUUUCGCUUUUUCGGAUUUAUUUUCUCUGGUUCCUGGUGUCAUGUUGGUGCCAGAUGGCAUCUCACUUCGUCCUGCACAACCGUCUUGAGUUCCUCAUCACUCAUUUAGUAUGUUAACUUGCGAGGAGCCUCCUUGACGUGUGUAGUUGUUGCGGGUUUCUUCGCAGUUGUAAUAAUAGUCGUCGGAGUGGUGGUUCUCUUACGCGCGUGAGGCUGAGGCGACGGAGGAGGCGUAGUUUGCUAACUCGUCGGAGUGAGCUGAUGCGGCGGUUGAGGAGGCGGAGUCAGAUGACAUGGCCGAGACAGCUGAGGAGGUCGUGUCAGCUGACGCGGCGAACACAGCUGAGGCGGAGGAGUCUGCUGACACUGAGCUGGAUUGCUACUAUGAGGAAUCUGCUAAGGGUCAAGUCCGGCGGAAUGAUAUGUUGACACGGCGUCCAGUGUGGAAGCACGUUGUGUUCCUUUUUACAUAGAAUAUUAGUCCUCAAGGCAUCUCCUAGAUAAGUCUCCCCUUCACCUGUAGGUUACUCUAGGUUACUCAAGCUCCUGCUGCUCAAAUCCAUUGGUAACUUUAUCCACCCCGACAGAAGCAUGGCCUUCUAGAACCGGAGAGCAAUGGUAAGUAGCAUCAGGUCCAGGAGCUAAGACAUAGCCGACCUCCAGCCUCACAUAUAUGUUCUAGAAUUUCACAUGUAGCUCACAAUUUUCCCUCUCCGUGAUAUCAUACACGGGGUAGCGAGGAGCCGUGAUAUCAUAUGUGGGCCGAACGAGCUCCGUGGAAGCCACGCUGCUUUUCCUUUGAAAUAGUGAUGGGCCGGCAGCAGUAUUGAAUGCAGGAUGAGAUGGGUCGGUGGUAGCUUCAUACGUCUCCAUCGUAUCUAUGAUUUUUGCUUGUUCCAUGCAAAUAUUAUACAACUUUCUCAUAUUUUUGGCAACAUUUUAUAUGAUUUAUUGGACUAACAUAUUGAUCCGGUGCCAAGAGCCAGUUCCUGUUUAUUGCAUGUUUUUUGUUUCGCAAAAUAUCCAUAUCAAACGAAGGCCAAACGCGAGAAAACUUUACGGAGAAUUAUUUUGGAAUACAUGUGAUUUUGGGGAGGUGGAACCAAAGUAAACGGAGGCCCACGGCCUCCACAACCCACCAGGGCGCGGCCCAUACCCCCUGGUGCGCCCUGCCCUCUAGUGGCCACACCAUGAGUCGAUUGGGGCUCUUCUUCACGCCCAAGAAAGAUAAUUUAUGCAAAACAAACAUGUAAAAAUUUCAGCACAAUCGAAUUUAAGAGAUGGUGAAGAGCUAGAAACUAGGGAUGCGAAACAAAAGACAACAGAGAGGGAGAUCCAAUCUUGAAGGGGUUCCUACCCCUCCGCCACAAUGGAGGCCAUGGACCAGAGGGGGGAACUCUCCUCCCAUGUAGGGGGCUGGCCAAGAAAUAAGAAGAAGGAGGGGGAUCUCUCUCCCUCUCUCUCGAUGGCGCUCGAUCGAGUGUCGCCGGGGCAAGGAGCGUGACGGCGAUCUACAUCAACAUUCUUGCCGCCGUCAACACCAACUCUCUCCCCCUCUAUCACUAGUAGGAGAAAGGCUAGCAGUAGCACUGGUUUUGAGCAUACUAGUAGCACUCAUGCCAGCUCUACUGCCUCGAAGACGUUUUUGUUUUUAUCCCUUUUGUUUUUUGGGUUUUUAUCCCGACGGCCUUGCACGCACUCAACGAAUAUUACCGGAAUCAUGUGUUGUUUCGAACACUAUAUAUAUAUAUGAUUGCUUCUCAAUGCGUCGAAGACGUUUCACAUUGAGCUUCUUUCCUUUCUUUUUAGUUGUCUCUAUUUUUCUUUUCCGGCAUCAUGGAGUACGAUCUUUCUUAGAUAAUGUAGCUUGAUUCUUAUGUACACGUUGUCGUCGUUUACUCACGACAGUAGCCAUGGGUAGACUAAUCAUGAUUGGUGGGAACCGAAGGACGCCGGCAGGCUCCGUGAACGGGAUUGGUACAAGCGAGAUAGACGCACGAGGUACCCAGGUUCAGGGCUCUCCGUGGGAGAUAAUAACCCUAGUCCUUCCAGAAUGGUUGAUGAACCAGAGAGAUUAUAGUGUGCUCCUUGAGUUGUUCGAAGGAGGAGGAAGAAGGAGCAGCCGGCUCGCCUCUACCUCUCCUGUAUGAGUGGGUGUAUGUGUGUGCGUAGUUGGCCGACCCUCUGCAUGAAGGGGGAUCGGGGGGUUUUACCAAGAGUGUAAAAAACUAUUGGGAGAUAGAAAAAAUACCAGGUUCUUCGAAGAUUGCUGGGUAGAUGAUAAGCCUCUCAAGCUGGCUUACCCAAGAUUAUAUCUGAUUUGUUUUCACCAUAAUAUUAUAGUAGCAUUGGCUAUUGAGAAAACAUGGGAAAUUUUUUCUUUCCACAAAACUCUGCAUGGAGAGAAUUUAGCUAUGUGGGAAAGCCUUAAGAUUAGAUGUGAAGAAAUUCCAAUGUCUAGAGGGAAAGACCAAAUCAUAUGGAAGCUAACUAAAGAUGGGUAAUUCACUAUCAAAUGCAUUUUUUCCUAGUUAGAUCUGAGGUGGGUUUUCCUUUGAAUUCCUUGGAAAAUCAAAGUGUCGGCAAAAAUAAAAGUUUUAUUGUGGCUGAUUAAUAAGAAAAGUAUCUCACUAAGGAUAACCUUAUUAGGAGAGGGUGGAAGAGGGGGGAUGGUUGUGCUUUGUGUAUCUGAAGGAAACAAUUGGUCAUUUAUUAUUUACAUGUCCUAUGCCAAAAUUGAUGUGGAAUCCAUUGAAAUGUUCUUUUGAUCCUAGAGCCACUCCUUCUAAUUUGGAUUGCUUCUCCAGAUGGAUCAAAACGUUUCCAAAACAAGACAAAGGCUUGUUCUUGGUUGGAAUUGGAGUUGUUUUCUGGUCCAUUUGGAGAUCAUGAAAUGACAUCUGUUUUGAAGAAAUGAAGUGGUUGAUCCAAUGACAAUUGUGAUAACAAGAAACUAAAAUAUUUAAUUGCAAUAUCUAAAGAUAUACCUUCAAGCUCUCACCUCCACGGCAACGGUGCCAGAAAAAAGCUUGAUGUCUACUACGCAACUUUAUUCUUGUAGACGUUGUUGGGCCUCCAAGUGCACAGUUUUGUAGGACACCAUCAAGUUUCCCUAAAGUGGAUGACCUAAGGUUUUUUAAUCCGUGGGAGGUGUAGGAUGAAGAUGGUAUCUCUCAAACAAAACUGCAAUCAAUACAACAAAUCUCUUUGUUGUCGCCAACACACCCAAUAAAAUGGAAAAUUGCAUGGGUGCACUAGUUCGGUGAAGAGAUGAUGAUACAAGUGUAGUAUGGAUAGUAGGCAAUAAAUUUUUAUAAUCUUAAUAAAUAAAAACAACAAGGUAACAAGUAGUAAACAAUGAGCAAAACGUUAUAUAAAUUCUUGAAAAUAAGGCAUAGGGUUCAUACUUUCACUAGUGCAAUCUCUCAACAAUGCUAACAUAGUAGAAUCUUAUGGUCAUCUCUCAACAUGCAACAAAGAAUCACUCCAAAGUUCCUAUUAGCGGAGAACAUAAUAGGAAGUUGUUGUAGGCAGCGAACCACCUCAAAGUUAUUCUUUCCGCUCAAUAUUUUUGGCUAUUCCUAUAGGUGUCACAAACAGCCCUAGAGUUCGUACUCGAAUAACACCUAUGAUACAAAUCAAUCAACCCUCAUAUCACCUAGGUACUCAGAUGUCACCUCAAGUAUCCAAGGGUUAAUUAUUCGACAUGCAUCAAACAAUUUCAGAUUCAUCAUGUUCGAUCCAACACAAAGAACUUCAAAGAGUACUCCAAGAUUUCUAUCGAAGAACGUAGGAUGAAAGCAUGCAAUCAAACUCUAUGCAUAGAUCCCCAAGGUCACCGAAUUCACAAGUUGACACCAUAAUGUAUAUCAAGUGAAUCAAUAGAAUACCCCGUUGUUACCACAAGUAUCCACAUUCAAGACAUACAUCUGUCCUCAAACCCAAAAUUUUCAAUCCAAGAUAACGAGAUCUCAAAGGAAAAGAUUCAAUUCAUCACAUCAAUAUAUCAAGGGACGAACACCAUAUGAUCCAACUAUGUUAACAAAGCCCGUGAUACAUCAAGAUCGUGACAUCUCAAGAACACAAAGAGAGAGAGAGAUCAAACACACAGGUACUAGUACAUACCCUCAGCCCCGAGGGUGAAUUAUCCCUCCUCGUCAUGGCCUUCGUUGGAAUGAUGGAGAUGGCCACCGAUGAUGAUUUCUCCCUCUGACAGGGUACCAGAAAGGCUCCAGAUGGGUUUUUUCUUUGAUAGAGAGAGUUGCGGUGAUACAAUUUUUUCAACGUUGAAAUCACGCGCAACGGAGCCGCGUGGGCCCCACAAGCUAUCAGGACGCACCUAGGAGGAUGGGCUCACCCUAUUAGCUUGCGGCGCACAUGUGGCUCCCCUCUCGUGUUAAUUCGCUCCAAUAUUGCUCAUAUGUUAAAAGAAACAUCAAAAGUUUCGGUCGACUAUGAGCACUUUCAUUUUAUGCAAAAAACAACAGCAACAUGAUAAUUCUGCUGAAAACAGUAUCAGACCGAUUUAGUUCUAAUUAAAUCAUAUAAAAUACAUCAAAACCAUACAAAAAUAUUAUAAACAUAGAUAAAUAUAUCAUGAAUAUUUUAUAAAUUAUUAUUACGUUGGAGACCCGGUGCGACAGCGGCGCGUCCAUCUGCUCCGGGACCGGGAGCAGGAAGGGUCCCUCGGGAUGGGCUCUAGAUUGACGCCUAAGGUCACCUUAACGUGGUCAGUUCAUAGCCGUUACGCCACGCCAUCAAAAUCAGGACCCACUUGCCAUAAUCGAGAUUAAAAUGAUCAAAGCGACGGGUUAGUGUUUCCUCUAAAAGAUUAGGCCUAGCACGAGUGGUUUGGGCAGAAAUUCGUAGAACAGUGUUUUCUAUAAACCAAGACGUCAAUAUGAUGAUUUCCUGCAGUUCACUCGAUUAGAUUAGAUUAGACUGCCAUCGCAACGUAGCAAUACAGAGACUUCACACAUGGCAUGCGUCUGUAUCUGUUGGAGGUUACGGCACUAGCGGACCUUGUCACCGCGCAUGAGAAUUCAGGCUUUCGGCAGGGCUGGUCAAUGGACCAUGCGGAUCUUGACUUAUAGUACUCGUGACGCUCAGCCAGGUAGCAGUGGCUAUCAGCAAGAGCCAGUGCACGCUGACUCCAGCUUUGUCCUGGCACGGACCGUUGCUGGCGCCGCAUUUCUCCUUGGAUCAUUCCACAAGCUCUACAAUACAAGACCGGGCAUGCAUGCAGUAGUGCUCGAAGUUGAAUCGUCCCAUACCACGGUUGGUGCAAGAGGAUAUGCCAUAAAGUUUUGGUUCCUUGCGCGGGGGCCGUGCUCAACCCUUUCCCUGUGGAAGAGAAGACCAACAUGCAUGCAGUACUGUCCACAGUUGAACCAUUCCGGACAUGGUCACCAUGUCCCCAAGACCGAGCAUGCCGUGUCCAAACUCCAGAGACGGAUCGAUCGUGGGCAACGAUGCGCCGGAGACCGUAUCCCAUGACCACUUUUACUUCUGCGUUGAUCGAUUCCCCGCCGGAGACAUCGUACAGUUUUUGUUCCUAAAGCGGGUGGCUGGUCCUGGUCGGAGGAGCGCUCAACUCUUCAACCAGCUUACCUCCCCAAGUCCUAAGUGAUCAGUCAAUUUAUAGAUCUACAUGAUUGAACCAGAUGGUUCCUUUAAUAGAAAUCGGAUGGAGAGGCUCCCCUUCUUAUGUUCAAGCAGAGAAUUCUACAUGAUUUUGAUAAGAAACAAAUACAGGUCAUUUGAAAUCAUUCAGUAAGAUCCAACCAAUGCAUGCGCCUUACCAAGUGGGUCCAGCUUGUCAGUCUAGCAAAAAUAUAUUUUUUAAACUGUCUAGUGAAAAUAAUGAAUUGUAGCAUAAGUAUGUCACAAGACAUAACAGCUAAUAAAGUGUAAAAGAUAAGCAAACCUAGUUAUAUAAAGUAAAAGAAUGUCACACUGUAAUACUAGUAACAUAAAUAAAGAAAUAAAUAAGAAAACCAAAACGGUAGGUGACAGGUUUUGUUUUUGUGCGGGAUAGAAUUAGGCGACAUUUUUUUAAUAUUUUUUUGCGGGUUAGAAUUAGGUGACAGUUCCAUCUCAGUUGGACCAGAUACAUUGACUCAUCCCCAGUUCGAUUUCAGUGCGCGUGUCAUCCUUUUCCGGUGGUAAUUUUACAGUGUCCCGGUCCUAUGUGGAAGCCCAACCGCAACGUUUAUUAUGCUCACUCCUCUACAGUUGUCUGGUUCAAGUGCUCGCACUGCCACUUUUCCAGCAACACGACGGCGGCGACCAAGGGAGGAUUCGUCAUCGGUACACGUUAGAGUGUUUUUCCGUCUUCGUGGAGCAGUAUUGAUAUUUUUAUUUUCCGGCGUCGUGCUGCCCAUUCUGUGGCCGAUCCCUGCAAGAUCUGACGCACUCGGUGAGCUAAGCCGGCUAGGAGGGUGUGAUGUCAAGUUUUCAACGUCAGGUCAGGUGAGAGCGAUGCGCCCCUCCGUUGUUCAAAUCGGGCGGCUUAUUAGGUCUUGAUCCAUCUCCACAAUACCCACUGGGCUCAUGAAUUUCGGGUCGGGCCGUCGGGGCCCUGCAGCAAAUCGGCCUCUCCAUUGCGUGUUGUAUUUUUCUUCCAAGGGAUUAGAUAAACAGCUUGGAUUGUUAGUGUAGGCAGGCAGUGUACGUGGACCAGGACGCACGAGAAUUCAGGCCUUCAGCAGGGCUGGUCAAUGGACCAUGUCGGUCUCGGACUCAUGCCGCCGCCUCCGCCUCCGCCAGGUACUACUACUAUCUACUAGUAGGAGUACGUGGACUCGUGCUUUGUCCAGAUACGGACCGUCGCUGCAGCAUCAGCAACACCGCCCUGUUUGUUUCAGAAGUCCCGAAACUUUUUUCAGUCCCAACUUAAAAGUUCCUAGUCCCUACCCGUUUGUUUUUAGGGACUAAAUAGGGACUAGAGGUUAUUAAAUGACAUGCAAAAAGAUCAUGUUAUCCUUAAUAAUAUAGUAGUACUUAUUAAAUGACAUGCUAAAAGUAAGUGCGUUGUUGGAAAAAGUGUUAAAAAGUUUCAAAAAGUCCCUUCCAUAAGUACUUCUCCAAAUAGUCUCAAACACCCCACUUUAAUCCCUAAAAAUCCAUCCUGUUUGUUUCACAUGGGACUUUUUGAGACUUUUUUUAGUCCCUACCUCAAAAAGUCUAUGAAAACAAACACCCCCUAAUUCUCGUUGAAUCAUUCCACGAGCUGUAGAAUAGAAGACUGACCGGGCAUGCAUGCAUGCAUGCGCCGGUGCCCGAAGUUGAACCGUUCCUACUAGCUAGCACUGUUGGUGCAACCCUGCAGGGACACGCCGUAUAGUUUUGGUUCCCUGUCGGACGGGUGCUCAAACCCUGUCCUGUGGAAGAGAAGACCGGUCAUGCAUGUAUGCAGUACAUACUGUCCAGAGUUGAACUUGAACCGUUCUUCCGAUCAUGGUCACCGUGCCCCCGAGACCGGGGCAAGCAUGCCGUGUCCAGAGUCCGGACUCCAGAGACGGAUCGACCCCUUGCGCAGCGAGGGGCGGAUUUGGUCCCAGGUGAUGAGUCAAUGUGCUCCGCAACCGCAAUCAAGCAACCACGGCCGGAACCGGAAGCGUGCGAGGACUCCGGCGGGUCGUUGCGGGCUCCCCACCAACACGAUGAUACGUCCCUCUCGGCCUCUCGGUCUCCGGGUCUCCGCGCACAUACACACGGCUCCGAUCCCCACCUCUACCUACUGGCCCGGCCACACACCCGCGCCCACCCGAGUGCAAGCGCAAGCGCAAGGGCCACCGGUUUUUGCUGUCACUUGGGCAUUCUCCGCAGCUUCGCCGGUCGCCGCUCCACAUCUCUCUGAAAAUAGCCCGACCGAGACUUUUGCUCUCCUAUAAAUAAAUCCACCGGCCACUCCCCUGUCUCCCACAUUACACCGCGCCUUCUUCCUCCCUUGCCCAUCGUCAAGACGAACCGCCGCACACCGCUCCGUUUCGAUGGCGGCCAUGAAGGUGGUGCUCAAGCUCGACCUGCACGACGACAAGCAGAAGCAGAAGGCGCUCAAGGUCGUCUCCACUCUCCACGGUAAUAUGAUAGCCUCCCCUGCUUUAACUCCACACUAGUUCUGUUCUCAUCCAUAUUCUGAACUUCGCACCUCUGACGACGACGACAACCGCCACUACCCCAGGUGUCGACCAGAUCGCCGUGGACACCAAGGACGACAAGAUGACGGUGGUCGGCACCGUCGACCCCGUCCACGUCGUCGGCAAGCUGCGCAGCAAGCUCUUCCCCACGGCGCAGAUCCUCUCCGUCGGCCCGGCCAAGGAGGAGAAGAAAGACGACGCCAAGAAGGAGCCGGUCCCCGCGUACGCGCCGUGGUACCCGCCUCCGCCGCCGUACCACCCGCAACCGUACUACUACGGCCACUGCGCCGGGGACGACCCCAGCUCCUGCGUCAUCUGCUGAUCGAGCUUUACAGUUUGUUUGUCACCGGCCGUCCUGCCAGCCGGUCGAUCGGCGGCGUUCGUUAUGUACCUGGCGGUGUAAGGCGUGUAAGUUGCGCCGGUGAUUCGGCAGAGGUGCAUCUGCUUAGUGUGUAACGUGUAGAUACAGAUUACAGAUUUACAGUAUAUUGUUCAGAAAAGAAUAUCAUCGAGUUGUUAAAAAAGAACUGUGGAGAAGGACCAGAUAGAACUGCUGCAGAUGUUCUUUCAGAGAAAGUUCAUGGAGUGCUCCAAAUUGGUGAUGAGGAAGUGCUGAAAUAAACAAAUAAACUGGAGCUGCAGAAGCGAGUCAGGCACAAUGAACUGGAUGAAAAGUUCGGGCGGCCAGCGAGAUUGUUCCGUCGUGCAUCUUUUCAUUCACCAGUAGAAACUUUGAACUCUGAAGCCCACUUGAGAGUUGCUUUCAGUCAGCCAGUCAGUCAUCUCGACGACAAAGCGAAAGGUUUCCAUGCUUUUGGACUGUUUUUAUUACUCACGUGUGUUUUCUUCGACAUGAUUAUGACCUAAUAAAAUUGCUAACCGUCCAUCUCACGAAAAGUACAUUGUUAAUUGCAUGUCUUAACCGCUGCUCUAACUUCAUACAAUUUUCAUUUUGUAUGAUUGUAUCGAACAUCUUUGUUUGAAGGGACCGAGAAACUAGUGGAAUAGUUGGAUGUUUUAUUGAACCUUAUUGGCCAGCAUAUAUAUAUAGAAGUACAAGGUUGAAGAGCAAGAAGCUUCUAUUAGAGCACCUCUAGCAGACCCCGCAAAAGAGCGAUCCGAAAAAUGGGUUUACACAUCGCUGCAGAGCAAUUUUGCGGGGCCACUUCGUGUGUCAAAGAUCAGACCCCGUAUAUGAAACUGUAAAAUUUAAAAAAAGGGUUCGCUGGAAGAAACUACUGCAUCAUUCAUCAAAGUACAACAUGGUUCUUCAUCGAACUACAUCCUUCUUCAUUAAACUACAUAAUUUCUUCAUCAAACUAUAUAAGUCCUUGGAGGCGCUCGCCUGCGACGCCGUGACCCCUUGCUCGAGGAAGAUCUGCUCGAUCUCGAUCUCGCGGCGGUUGCGCGCGGCGUCCUCCGCGGCCUCCCUCACCGAAAGCUCCAUGAUGGAGCGAUGAGGUGAUCCUCCUGCCCCGGAGGGAGGUAGUCCUCGGGGCCGAUGACCCCUCCACGCAGCUAGCCGACGUCGUUCUCGAGCUUGACGGCGAGCGGCCCGAGCUCCUCCACCCUUCUCUUCAUCGGAGUGACGGUCCGCGAGGACGAGGCACCCGCAGACGAACUUCCAGCAGCAGAGGAGCCGAUGCGUCGAGCCGCAAGCUCGCGCUCAUACUCCUCGAGCUCGCGACGUCCGAAAGCCGGAAGCCAUAGUUCAGCCACCUCCGUGAUCCCCGAUUGCGUGCGGCGUCGGAGGCGCGGCGGCGACGGCGGUCAGCGUCAUCCCCUCCAUUUCCGUGGUCGUCCAUGGUCGGGACGACCCGCUGGUGGGUUUUUUUCUCGCUGACGACGAGUUGAAUCGCGGCGGAGGAUAGGGUUUGACCCGUAAAUGCGUUGUGAAACCACAUAUAUGCUGUUAGAGUAUAUAUCUCCAUAUGUGGUUUUGGUAAUUGAUGACAAUUCCUAUGGACUAAUGGUUGCCUUAAGUUAUAUUUAUAGGAUUUAUCCAUAGGCACUUCUUGAAGUCCAUCUGUUGGGUUCAAGGAGUUUAUAUGAUGACCAAGAUGGUAUUCAAGGUAUUAUCCAAAGAAUGGUCAUAGAGACACAAGGUUGAUCAAGAUCUCAGACAAAGAGUAAAUCAAGAUGAUCAACACACAAAGCGUACAAGAUGUAUCGAGGGGGAUCAAGUGAUCCCAUGGUAUGGUAAGCAUUGUCCAUUACGUGUUUGUGUACUAACCCAUGGUCUUCGUGAGAGUUUUAUGUGGGGGUUAUGUGUGUUUUCAUGGGCUUGCGUCAAAAGGAAGAUAUCAUACAAACCAUGAAGGAUGACGUAAAGUGGUGAUCGUCAUCAAGAUUGUGGUGUGCAAGUUCAAGUGGAUCAGCACGAAUGUAUCAUGCUUGAAGCUUGCCGUCCAUUGUGGUGGUAAUGGACUUUGUGAAGAUAUGCUGAAGAGUGGCUCGCCCAUAGUGAGUAUGAAGGAGCAAUCAACUAGUCUUCAUCAAGCCAACGCAAUCAAGAAAGGUGGUCCAUCUUAAGGAAGCCAAGAUCAUCAUCAUCUAGCUCAAGAGGACGAGGUGCAAGGUAUAGGUUUGCCCUUGAUAGGUUUUCUGUUUUAGGAUGGAUUGCCGUUCUGUCAAGGGGGGCUCUCAAGUGAGUAGCUCGAUCGUAUCGUUCGUUGAGAGCUCAAACCAUUUCCAUCCUUGCAUCAUACUUCCCGGUUCUUAUUUGGUGUUUCUCUUUGUGAGUUUUAGAGCUUAUGGUCAUCUUCAUGACAAGCUCGAGUUCAUCGAAAACGGAGUCCAUAUGCAUCUACUAUGAUGUUUUCGAUGUUGGAGUUUUUGCCGGUUCUUCAUUCAUAGGGGUCUCACAUCUCUAUAUCAUUGGCAUUUUCAUAUCUGCAUGGUCAUAGAGUUCAUCAUUUCACCCACAUAGCAUGUGUUGUUUGGAUAGCUCUUGUCGUCCUGAAUCCAACAAGCUUGGGUUUGCACGAUUCGGAGCUCCUAUGCGAAAGUUAUGGUUGUUUCAGUGGCGAGCGGUAGUACCGCUGGACCUAGCGGUAGUACCGUUGGCCCUAGCAGUAGUAACGCUAGAGCUGGCGGUAGUACCGCUGUCCUAGCGGUAGUACCGCCCCUGGUCAGCGGUAGUACCGCUCCAGGACUUUAGUACCGUCAUCUUUGCGGUUGUACUACGUCGGACUUUUGCGAAGACUUUCUUGGCGGUGGUUGGCCCGGUAGUAUCUUUGCGCUACCAUGGGCUCAUCGGUAGUACCGCUGCAGCCAGCGGUAGUACCGCUGGGCUCGGGCUGUAAGUGGGGGUAACGGUGUGAUUCCUUCCCCCACUAUAUAAAGGGGGUCUUCUUCCCCCUUGGUUUUAUCUAUCCGUUGAGCUCAUGUUCUACCUCCAUUGUGGACCUUCUUAGAGCUUGCUUACUCCCAAUCUCUCCAAUGAUUCUUGCUUGUUCUUGAGGGAAAAGAUAGAGGAGAUCUAGAUCCACAUCUCCACCAAUCACUUUCUCCUCUAUGUGAGGGGAACCCCUUGGAACUAGAUCUUGGAGUUCUUUGUGAGCUCCUUGUUCUUCCUCUCAUAUUUCUUCAUAGCUUUUGUUGUUGUGGAGGGAUUUGAGUGUGAGGGACUUGACCACUUCGUGUGUUCUUGCCAUUGCAUUAGUUGCAUCGGUUUGAGUUCUCCACGGUGAUACGUGGAAGUGAGAGGUUGAGAAGCUUAUUACCCUUUGGUACUUAGUACCCUAGAGAUUGUUCUUCGUGGAUGCUUUGGCGUCCUAGAAGCUUGGUGGUGUCCUGGAGCUCAAUCAUUGUGGUGUAAAGCUCCGGGCAAGCGUCGGGCUCUCCAAUUAGGUUGUGUGGAUUGCCCUGAGCAAUUUGUACAGGUACCGGUAACUGCCCCCAAGGGUUGCCAUUUGUACGGGUUCGGUGACCGCCCUCAAGGGUCCCUUAGUGGAAUCACGGCAUCUUGCAUUGUGCGAUGGCGUGAGGAGAUUACGGUGGCCUUAGUGGCAUCUUGGGGAGCAUUGUACCUCCAUACCGCUCCAACGGGGAUUAGCAUCCGUAAGGGUGUAAACUUCGGGAUACAUCAUCGUCUCCGCGUGCCUCGGUUAUCUCUUACCCGAACCCUUUACUUAUGCACUUUACUUUGUGAUAGCCAUAUUGUUUAUUGUCAUAUAUCUUGCUAUCACUUAGUUGUUUAUCUUGCUUACCAUAAGUUGUUGGUGCACAUAGGUGAGCCUAGUUGUUUGUAGGUUUUGUGCUUGACAAAUUAAACGUUAGUUUUAUUUCGCAUUUGUUCAAGCCUAAACCAUAAUUAUUUUAAAGCGCCUAUUCAACCCCCCCCCCCUCUAGGUGACAUCCACGUCCUUUCAUAUGCUGGCUCGAGGGGUCUUUUUCCGGACCGCUAUAAAAUUUUAUGGGCCGGAUGCGCGAUACGGGGUCUGUUCUGGCCACUAAAACGGACCGAACCCAUAUACUCGUCGGAAUUUUACGGGUUUAAUCCUUUUAUGGGGUCUGCUAGAGAUGCUUUUAGAGAUAAGGUAAGAGAUGGAUUACAAAUUCUAGACUAUCAAAUGCAUAUAGAAAUAUCUCUAACAUUUACGCAGUCGUAGUGUUAGCGUUGCGAACAACAUAAGCGUCGCGGACUGAAGAGAAUAACAACCGAAUCAAGACCAGAUAAAACUGUUGCAGUUGUUUUUUCAUAGAAAGUUCAUGAAGUGCUCCAAAUUGGUGAUAAUAAAGUGAUGAAAUAAACAAAUAAACUUGAGAUGCAGGAGAUUGAGCAAUUCAGGCAAAAAGAGGAUGAUUGUUUCACGGGGCCAGAUUGUUCCAUCCUUAGAGCAACUUCAAAAGACACGUGCUAAAAAAAUUAUACAACGCUGAAAUAUCGAUUUUUAGGAGGCGGGAAUGCAUUUGCUCGAACAAAUAGAUAAAAUAAUACGUCGCGGUAGCUCCAGCAGGUAUGUUAAAUUUACAACCCACGUGUCCUGUAGAAGCACCAUAUCAAGAAGAUCAACACACACAAAAAUCAACAAUAAAAUUUCUAUUCAUAAUAUACUUCAAGCCCAACACCACAUGCAAGUUCAUAUAAUACGAAUGAAAAAUGCUAGUAAAUAAAAAUACGUCUAGACUACUCUUGGUCCUUCUUGAUGGUGUAGUUGGACCUCGUAAGAAACACGUCUGCUCACCGAUCAUCGUUCGGGUCCAGUCCAAGUUCGACAUGUCCAUCUUGGAAAUAGCCAAUGCCUUGCGUCUAUGCUUGUCUAGGCGUUCGGCAGCUCGUUGCACCCUUCUGUUCGCGUAGAACUUAUGCUCGGCGAUGAUGUUCUUCGGAUGGAAGCGGCGCCACUCCGCCAAUGGCGUCCUCGUCCCUCUGGGAAAUCAGCACGCGGCUGUCCGGACAGCACUGGGUGCAGCGGUCCGCCUCGAUGGCCAGACGCAGGAUAGGCGCGACAUCCCACACCCGUUCGACCAUAGAGACGUCAUCCAAGUUCAUUUGUGAACGAGGCCGUCAAAGUUGUCACGCCGCUGUGUCGUACGCGCGGUGGCCUCAUGGGCGAUCUCGUAUGUGCCGAGGCCGAGGCGCGUGUUACAGAAACAGAUCUCAACGUUGAAUAUGUCGGACGGGCGUUUGCGGACACGCGAAAGCCCGAGCUGCUUCGGGUGCGCCGUGGCAUGGCUGGGCGCGGCGGCGACGAGACGCUGGGCGACAGAGCACAAGGAAAAGGCAGCGGGCAGGAUAAGCAAUAGGACAUAACGCAUGCGGGAUGAAGUGGGCGGAGCGUGGGCGAGUGCGCGUCAAAAUUGACGCGGGAGCAGCCGCCCUUCCCCGUGCGCGAAAACAAUUUUAGCGUGCCGCGGUUUCGCGCCUUCGUUGGAGCAUGUUCAAGGACCGUCCGCGCUCUUUCUUUCAGGCGUUUGUUGGAGUUGUACUUACAUUUAUCAAUAAAAACUUUGAAGUCUAAAGUCCUCCGGCUCUGCUCCACCCGAGAGUUGCUUUCAGUCUUUUUAUUCGAACAUGACCUAACGUGUGUUUUCUUUGGCAUGAAUAUGACCUAAUAAAUUUGCUAACCGUCCUACUCAUAAAAUAUACUCCAUCCGUUUUAAAAUAAGUGAUUUAACUUUAUACUUAACUUAAUACAAAAUUGAGUCACUUUAUUCGAGACAAAGUGAGUCUAAAUCGCUGCUCUAACUGCAUAGGAUUUUCAUUUUGUAUGAUUGUAUCGAAUAUCUUUUGUGUUCUACGGGCAUGCAGUGAGGAUUUUCAUUUUGUAUGAUUGUAUCGAACAUCUUUUGUGUUCUACGGGCAUGCAGUGUUAAAUCCUUUCGAACAUGGUGGGGUUGCUGCAGCCGUGCAGGACGGAUCGUCGGUACUAGGCCGUAUGCCUAGGUGACCUUUUCUUGUGCGUUGAUCGACCCCCCUGCCUUGACCCUGGAGCUGGAGGCACGGUUGCUAAAGCGGGGGCCGGUCGUACGGCCCACAACCCUGUCUCUUCUGAUGCUGGUCGGUGAACUCUGCAGCUCCUCUCCUUCCCUCUGCACCGUGAAGCAUCCACCGGUUUUGGAGUAUUCUAGUUGAAGCUCUCGCACCGCAUCACCACUUUAAGAGCAACUUCAAUCGCCUCGAUGUACGGCGCUUUUAUCCGUUUCGCUUGAGUCGGUUAUUCGGUCGACGUUUGUCCUAUUUAACAUUUGAGUUGACGCAGCUUUUAAAAUUGGUGAUCCGUCCGUACACAUAUUUAAAAAUGCCCACGACCGUAGAUGAAGCCAGUGACCAUGCCGUUUCUUAAAGUUCAUUCAUACACCAAUGCCAGCGUCCGGCAUACAAUGCCAACUUUGGAAAACACCACACAAUUCAUGCUGGCGCAUUUACCAGCGGCCUACACACAAGUCAGCACACAAAAAGGGACGGGUGUUCGACCAUGUCAUUCGCGGCCCUAAUCAUGCCAACACAUUUGCCAACAUACAAAAAAGAUGACGCUCGCCGCCUUAGAUCACUCGCCGUCGAACUUGAGCAUGUCGACCUGCAUCUUCUCGAAUCACGGCCUCUUUCUUGGCGACACGGUGUUAAGAUCCACAUUCAUGAUCUUCACUAUGGUCACCAUGUUAGUGAUAGCCACUUCUUUUGCCUUGGUCUUGGCAUUGGCGACUUCCAUCUCUAGCAUCUUGGCUUGCUUCUUCGUCUCCAUCUCAAGCAUCGUCACUUGCUUCUCCACCUCCAUUUCAAACGUCCUCCUUUGGAUCUUCAUGAACACAUUCAUUUGCUCUUCAUUACCUUGCGACGCUUAUCCUCCCUUGAGUCCUUUUUGGUCAUCAUGCCCUCCAGGGUUGGCCCUCUCGUCGUCGAUGGCCGUCGGCAUUCCGUCGAACAGGUUACGGGCGCUGGAGAGCACGUCGGCUGACAUCUCCCGCGCGCGUUUCCUUGACCCAUUGGAUGACGAGCCACCGGCUACCGGUGUGGCGUCGAGGUCGAUGGGCUCGAGCGCGGGCGUGGAAGGCACCACCACGCUCACCUAUGGCGAGCAUUCCCCGAAGAGGCGAGAGGCUUGCGGGUAGACGUGAAAUCCGGAAAUCGGGUGAGUCGUCGACGCGCGGGGAGACUCUAGCGGCACCAUACGAGAAAACACAUAUGAGUCUCUCCUGGCCGCGGCCAUGACAACGUUGACGAUCCCGUGCUGGCCAGUGUUUAACCCUAGGUACAAUAGCGCCUCCCUCGUUGCCGCCAUGACGCGUGCAACGGUAUCCUCCCAUUGCGCUACAACGGCUAUGACUGCGGCGCCCGCUACUUUGUCCCUUGCGUCCACCGCGUGUCUCCGGUCCUUUCUCUUCGCCGACUCCCUAGCUCGUCCUCGGGCGUCCGCUCCUUCUUCUUCUUGGACGUGGUGGCGGUCUUGCGGGGGCGCGAGGCUUGUCUUUGCGGAAGGGCCGGUCGUGAUGCCGGACGAGGCGAGGGAGGCGAGGUCGGCGGCGGCAUCGAGGUCAUCGUCCAUGGCGAGUGGCCGGGAGCACGCGCGGGCGGAAGGGUUUACGAAAAGUGGAGGGAAAUGGUGGAGGCUUCACCAUCGACCGGCGGGCCACGAGGAGUAGUUGGCGCGCGGUGCGUGCGUCCGUCUCGUACCCGCGCCGACACAAAUCAGGCCUUAAAAUAGACCGAAAAUCGAUUGGUAGACGGACAUAAAAUGGACGCGUGUUCAUUUGAGUUGACGCGUUAAGAUGUUUUUUUAUCGCCAUGACCCAAGCGGAUGCACGUGAACGAAAUGGGUCUACGUGUUGGAUUUGCCCUAAGCGUGGAGCAGCAGGAGGAAGAAAAAUGGCAGAACUUACGUAGUAUCCAAUGAACAGUGGUGGUGACCGAGGACCUAGAAUUGUCAUCUUCUUUUUUUCCUGGCCAAGGUUAGCGGCUGGAGUUCAGGACCGGACUGACCACUUGCCGUCGCUGUUGUCAUAAUAAUGGUGAUCUGCACCUGUAGGCAGGCGGGACAAGGGACGAAACCAGCGGCAGCACAGCCACUCUCAAAUCCACUUCGGCUUAGCUUAGCUCCCAAUUAAAGUCAGUCAGUCAGUCAAUGUGCUCGCAAUCAAGCCCGACGUGGACGCGUACCAACACUGCGGCAGGCCACGGCCGCGCCCCACAGGCCACCCCGUUGACGCGGUGACCGCGCCCCGCAUCCCUCGCCGGGUCUCGACGCGCAUGCACACCGGACACGGCUCCGCUUCCCGCCACCAGUGGGCGCGCCCUAGUCCAGUCGCAGGCCACCACAGAACAGAGGAAGCGACCGAGACAACGAGGUCCGGCUCCGUCUCUCCCGGGCGCGGUUCCACCGGGUUUUUCCGUCACGCCGGCCAUUCUCCGGAAGCUUCGCCGUGAGGCUACUCACGUGCGUGCCUGCGUGCCCCGCCGUGCGGCAGCCUAUAAAUCCACCAGCCUGCCCAGUGCUCAGAGUCACACUCUCCCCUGUCUCCAAUAUCAAACCGACCUUUCUUCCUUCCCCGUCGCCGAUCGAGACGCCGAUUCCCUUCAUCCCCCGCCCGCCAACGUCCGUGAUCCAUGGCGGAAAAGAAGGUCCGUUGCUUACAGUUUGGUUGAUCGAACUGGGAUCUAUUUCUGUUCUGGUUUACUCCUAGUCUUUUAGCUGCGGCUCUUGGUUGAUUGCUGUGCUCCGGUUUGCUCAUCUUGUUUUCUUCUUUGAUGGCCGCGGGAUUCAGGUCGUGCUGAAGCUGGACCUGCACGACGACAGGCAGAAGCAGAGGGCGCUCAAGGCCGUCUCCACUCUCCACGGUAAGAACCCCCUGCUUCUUCUUCUUCUCCGGGUUCCGUCCUAGUCAUGGAUGGAGGGGAUUGCCAGGAUUUCCAUCAUGUCUCAUCUUGACAUUUCCGAUGACCACGACUGUCGCUCUUCCUCAGGUAUCGACCAGAUCGCCGUGGACAUGAAUGACCAGAAGAUGACGGUGGUGGGCACCGUCGACCCCGUGGACCUCGUCGGCAGGCUGCGCAGCAAGCUCUUCCGCACGGCGCAGAUGGUCUCCGUCGGCCCGGCCAAGGAGGAGAAGAAGGACGCCGCCAAGAAGGACGACGGCAAGAAGGAGGGCGACAAGAAGGAGCCGGUCCCGGUGUACACGCCGUGGUACCCGCCGCCGCCGCCGUACCACCCGCACCCGUACUACCACAACCACAGCGCCGAGGAGGACCCCAGCUCCUGCGUCAUCUGCUGAUCGGCGCGCGCCGCCGGUUCCCUCCUCCCAUUGUGCAUUCCGUAGCUGGCCCUGUGCUGCCUGCCGGCCGAUCAUGCCUCCCUGCUACGGUGAUCGACGGCGUGCGCCAUACAUAAGGCCGCGUAAGGAUUUUUGCGCCCGUGAUGCGGCUGUUGUUCCUGUGCAUCUGCUUAGUUUAUAAAGUGCAGAUAUGCAAUUUAUUACAGUGUGUAGAAUUAUUAUUUUUCAAGGGACACAGUGUGUAGAAUUACCACCAGUACUAGAUAGAUAGGACUGCUGGAGUUGGAUUUUGAGUGAAAGUUCACCGAGGGCUCAGCUCCCCGUUGUGAUAACAAUUAACGAAGGAAAUAAAUAUAUUGUAUUAGUUGCAAGAGAAUUGCGAAAUUCAGGUGGCUGGAAACUCUGAACUCUUAAGCUCUCCGGCUCUGCUGCAUCUGAUAGUUGCUUUUCAGCGUGUCAGAGAUCUCGAUGACAGAGCUAGCAAGAUUUUGGACUGCUUUUCAUCAGUCAUUCAUGUUUUGUUCGACAGCCAGUAAACCCCAUCUGCACCUCCUUCACGAGUCCUAACACAUGAUUGCGACCUAAUGCAUUGUCAAUUCUCCAUCUCACGAAAUACACAUGAUGAAAUUGUUUACUGCUAGUGUUAAUCUUGCUCUCACCGCAUGUAGCUAUCAGUAAUAUCGGUCGAACAUCUUUUGCUUUCUUCCGACGACCGCAGAGCCGUUCACAUUUGACCGUCCACUAACCUAUUUGGUCGACUUUUUGUGUCCAUUGCUCUGUGCGUUCCCCGCUUGGUACGACCACUUGCUCCUCCUGAAACGGCGAAGGUGGAGCAGUGAGUUGUCUGGAUCGUAUCCGGCGUCUCGGCGGACCACCAAGGCGGUUUUUAUAUUAGAGAACUCCUUUUCAUAAUCGUUGGAGGCCAUGGAUAGCGUGAAGAACAUGGUGCAAGGAGGAGAUGGGAGUGGUGGUGUUAUGAGAUUCUUUACCCGGCGUCGCUUCAAUGCAGACACUAAGAGCUCGAUUCUGCUCUAUGCCUACGUCAAUACGGAGCAGCCGUUCUACAGCGGCAUGACUGCAGGUAGGUAGGGACGGGUGGGAAGCAUUGCUGGCUUUUGAACUCUGGAUCAAUUCACCAGAGAGCAGCAACACAUGUACGUGCAAGCUAGCUAGACAAGCUAGCAAGCAAGCAGCUGGAUGGAUUGCGUGGCUAGCUUGCCGUAUGUCCUUAGCUUCGGGCUGGCUACGAUCGCAUCGAUCUCUCUCGGCAAAACGGCUUUGUAAACGUGAAAGCAAACACUGAAUCGAUGGAUUGUUAAAGGCUUGUAUCAAGCCUUGCUUUUCUUUUCUUGUAUUGCUUUGCUCUUUCUUGAUCUAGUGUUUACAUCGUGGGUUACAUGGUAUAUAAAGGAGCUAGACAGUCAAGAGCUAACCUACUCGGUUCCUACUUGGAAAUACUACUUCGAUACAUACACAUAUUCACGUCAGGUUUAAUCCUAAUAAGCACGCGGGCAAGAAAGGAGCGUUUUGGAUGGACACGACUGGCAGAGGCGGACGUGACAACGGUCCGGACGCUCACGAACCUCCACCCCACACCCACCACCAAGUUGUCUCCGGUAUGCGGGUAAAAGCACGUCCAGACCGUCCUGUAGACCGAUGCAGGUUCGUGAUGGAUGACAUCCGGGAUCCGAAUUACAUGGUUCACACGUAUAUGAACGGUUUGCAUUGGAGAUGUCCUUAGGACAUCUCCAACGCGCCCUCUAAAGCAGACACAUCAUCGGCAUUGCCUUCGCCGUUCCUUGCAGUAUUUCAGGGACCGCCUUCGGUGUCGUCGGCUCGUCAAAUGCUUGACACCAACUCUCCUCAUUGGUCACGUCUUCAACCUUAACCUCUUCUUCGGUGCUUUCUAGACUGUCAUUCAGAUCAUCGAGGGCACAUCUUUUCAACCCGAGCGAUACCAAACUUCGGUCUAACUUUGACUUCCAAGCUCUUGGCGCUUGCUUCAACCCGUAAAGUGCCUUCUUGAACUUGUAAACUUUCCCUUCUUCGCCUUUCUUCUCGUAGCCGAGGGGUUGUUCCACGUACACUUCUUCUGUGAGAUCAUCGUUGAGGAAAGCGGAUUUAACAUCCAUAUGAUGAACCUUCCAAUCCUCUUGUGCUGCCAAAGCUAGGAACACUCUCACCGUCUCUAGUCGAGCAACCGGUGCAAACACCUCAUCAUAGUCAACUCCUUGACGUUGUACGUAGCCCUUUGCAACGAGUCUUGCCUCGUACUUCACAAUGGCACCCUCCGUGUCCUUCUUUAACUUGUAAACCCACUUCAAACCUAUCGCCUUUUGGUACGGAGGUCAGGUUACCAAAGUCCACGUGCCAUUGCUCUCAAUCGCCUUCAUCCCCUCAUCCAUGGCGUGCGUCCAGCUAGGACUUUUGCUCGCCUCUACGAAGUUCGCCGACUCCUCAACUCUGAGCAGACAUAGUCUGGAGUACUCGAGCAUAACUGGCUUUGUGUACUUGUAGACCUUCUUGAGGGUUUUGUAGCGACGAUGCCCUGAGGAGUCCUUUGUGGCUUGCGAAGGGGGCGACACAAAUUGUGUCGGUGUUGAUACACUUGAGGAAGACGGCUGAGUCCCGGGCGUGUCAUCGACAUCCGUGUCGUCGGCGUAGUUGUCGUGACCGUGACCAUCAUCUUGAUUGUCGUCAUCACUAUGCGCCUCGUUGUCAAUGUUGUCAUUGAGAUCUCCGCUUGUGUCGUGCACGUCGUUGUCGCCAUCUCCUUGCGACCUAUGCGCGUCGUUGUCAGUGUCGGCACCAUGAUGAUCACUACCAUGGUGUGUUGGAAAUAUGCCCUAUAGGCAAUAAUAAAAUGGUUAUUAUUAUAUUUCCUGUUUUGAAGAUAAUCGUUUAUUAUCCAUGCUAUAAUUGUAUUGAAUGGAAACAUAAAUGCAUGUGUGGGUAUAUAGACAAAGUUGUGUCUCUAGUGAGUCUCUAGUUGAUUAGCUUGUUGAUCAAGGAUGGUUAUGGUUUCCUAGCCAUAGACAAGUGUUGUCACUUGAUGACGGGAUCACAUCAUUAGGAGAAUGAUGUGAUGGACAAGACCCAAACUAUGAACGUAGCAUAUGAUUGUGUCAUUUUGUUGUUAUUAUUUUCUGCAUGUCAAGUAUCCAUUCCUAUGACCAUGAGAUCAUGUAACUCACUGACACCGGAGGAAUGCCUUGUGUGUAUCAAACGUCGCAACGUUACUGGGUGGCUAUAAAGGUACUCUACACGCAUCUCCGAAGGUGUCCGUUGAGUUAGCAUGGAUUAAGACUGGGAUUUAUCACUUCGUGUGACAGAGAGAUAUCUCGGGGCGGCCCACUCGGUAAUACAACAUCACAUCUAAGCCUUGCAAGCGAUGUGACUAAAGAGUUAGUCACGAGAUCUUGUAUUACGGAACGAGUAAAGAGACUUGCCAGUAACGAGAUUGAAAUAGGUAUGGAGAUACCGACGAUCGAAUCUCGGGCAAGUAACAUACCGAAGGACAAAAGGAUUGGUAUACAGGAUUAUAUGAAUCCUUGACAAAGAGGUUCAACCGAUAAGAUCUUCGCAGAAUAUGUAGGAUCCAAUAUGGCCAUCCAGGUCCUGCUAUUGGAUAUUGACCGGAGAGUGUCUCAGGUCAUGUCUGCAUAGUUCUUGAACCCGCAUGGUCUGCACACUUAAGGUUCGGUGACGUUUCGGUAUAGUUGAGUUAUAGGUGCUGGUGAACGAAGUUUUGUUCGGAGUCCCAAAUGAGAUCUCGGACGUCACGAGGAGUUCCAGAAUGGUCCGGAAACAAAGAUUGAUAUAUAAGAAGUUGGUAUUUGGAUUGCGGAAGAAUUUUGGGCAUUGCCGGUAGUGUGCCGGGAGUGACGAAUGGGUACCGGGGGCACACUAGGUGGGCCCACCACUCCCCAAGAGGGCCACGUGGACUUGAUGGUGACGCAAUAGCUCUUAGUGGUCUGACUAGUCAACCAAAUAAAGCCCAUGAGGUAAAAGUGGAAAAAGUCAAAAGAGAUGGACAACUUGGGGAGGAGUCCUACUCCAAGUAGGAUUGGAGGAGAACUCCUCUCUAGGUUCGGCCGAGCCCAAGGGGGUUUCCCUUGGUGCUCAAGGCUAGCCCCUCCUUCCUCCUAUAUAUACUAGAGGUUUUAAGGGUUUUAAGGCAGAAUUUCAGCCACGUGCAACCCUCUCCUCUAGUUUGUAGUUCCUCCUCUAGAUCGGAUUUCUGCGGUGUUUAGGCGAAGCCCUAAAGGAAUAGAUCACCACCAUCACUAGCGCGUCGUCACGCUGCUGGAGAACUCACCUACUUCCCCGUCUCUCUUUCUGGAUCAAGAAGGCGUAGAUCGUCAUCGAGCUGUACUUGUGCUGAACGCGGAGGUGUUGUCCGUUCGGUGCUAGAUCGGGACGGAUCGUGGGACGGCAGAGAUUUGGAUCACGAAGACGUUCCACUACAUCAACCGCGUUUCUUAGCGCUUCCUGCGUUAGAGAUCUACAAGGGUAUGUAGAUCCGAUCUCCCUCUCGUAGAUGAUCAUCACCAUGAUAGGUCUUCGUGUGCGUAGGAUUUUUUUCCCAUGCACCGUUCCCCAACAUGGUGGUCACCUUGGUUGGCCCUCUUGCCAACCACCCGGACGUCCUCUCCUGCAUCAUCGUCAGUUGGCAAUUCAACUGUGAGUAUGUUACUGUUUGGAGCAUCGUCGGCUACGGCGCUCCAAUUCCACGCUUGGUUUUCUUCAAACACGACGUCGCAUGAAAUCCUUAGACGCUUUGUUUGUGGAUCGUAGAAGCGGUAUGCCUUGGUGCGGGAACUCCUCUUGUAUCCGAUGAACACCAUCUUGGUACUACGAUCGGCGAGCUUUCAGGGAUGCGGCUCCGCCGUCUUCACAUCUGCCACGCACCGGAACGUCCGUAGGUGCGACACAUUUGACUUACGUCCGUAAAUUGCUUCAUACGGAGUCUUGUCGAUCACCGCCUUUGUUGGAGCCCGGUUGAGAAGAUAGAUUGCCGUCGAGACAGCUUCUCCCCAAAAAGUCCCCGACAGGUUCUUGCUCUUGAGUAAACUCCGUGCCAUGUCAACGACGAUUUGAUUGCACCUCUCAACGACCCAGUUUUGUUGUGACAUGUAAAGUACCGUGAGGAACCUUUUAUGCCAAUCUUCUCACAGUAGUCGUUGAACUCAUCGUUCGAUGUAAAAUCUCCGUCGCGAUCUGUCCAUACAACGCGAACCUUCAACUUGUCUUCCAUCUCCGUUGCAGCCUUCAGCUUCUUGAACGCUUCAAACGCCUCAUUUUUAGAUCGUAGGAGAAUGACCCACAUAUAUCUCGAGUAUUCGUAUACCACAAGGAAGAAAUACUUCUUUCCCGCGUGAGUUGCCGGGGUGAUAGGGCCACAUAGAUUACCAUGGAGCAGCUCGAGUGCAUCAUUGACAUUUCUGUCUACACAAGCACUUAAAUGACUAAGCAUACGAGUACUUUGUUCCAAAUGUCUGCUAACAUAAUCAUUGAAACUCUGUUGUUUGGCAACAAAGUUGUCAAAUUCAUCAAAGCAUAGGCUAGCAGGUUUAUCAAAAGGAAUAUCACUCUCAUCAAACCUACGCAGAGAAUUUACUUCCACUACCUGUAUCGGGUUAUCGAGACCAUGGAUCUCUUCGAUAGGUGGCAAAUUUUUGACAUCUUCAGAUCUAAUGCAUUUCUCUUGCAUAGAUUUCUUGGCUUCUUGCAUAUCUUCGGGACUGAGGAAUAGGAUACCUCUUUUCUUCGGAGUUGGCUUAGGAGGUGGUUCGGGAAUAGUCCAAGCAUUAUCGUUGAUCAAGAUGUUAUUUAGUAGAGUCUCAGCUUGUUCUACAGUUCGUUCCCUAAAAACACAUCCGGCACAACUAUCUAGGUGGUCUUUAGAAGCAUCGGUAAGUCCGUUAUAGAAGAUAUCAAGUAUCUCGUUCUUCUUAAGAGGGUGAUCAGGCAAAGCAUUCUGUAGCUGGACGAGCCUCCCCCAAGCUUGUGGGAGACUCUCUUCUUUGAGUUGAGCAAAGUUGUAUAUUUCCUGCAAGGCAGCUUGCUUCUUAUGGGCAGGGAAAUAUUUCUCACAGAAGUAAUAGACCAUAUCCUGGGGACUACUCACACAUCCAGGAGCAAGAGAAGAGAACCAGGCUUUAGCGUCAUCCUUUAGAGAGAAAGGAAACAACUUAAGGAUAUAGUAGUGGCGGAUCUUCUCCUCACUAGUGAAAAGGGUGGCUAUAUCGUGUAGUUUGGUAAGAUGGGCUACGACCGUCUCAGACUCAUAACCGUGGAAAGGAUCAGAUUCGACUAGAGAGAUUAUCUCAGGAUCGACAGAGAAUUCAUAAUCCUUAUCGGUGAUAAAGAUAGGUGAAGUGGCAAACUUCGGGUUGUAUUUCAUCCUAGCUUUAAGAGAUUUUUCCUUCCACUUGAGAAGUAAUUUCUCAGCGUCAUAGGCAUCCUUACACGCAAGAAAAUCCUCAGCUAUCUCUCCCUCCAUAACGUAACCCUCAGGUAUAUCAGGCAAUUCAUAUCUAGGAGAGCUAGAUCUAACAGGAGCAAAAGCAGUUUCUGUCUCAAUAGUAUCAGCAGUUUCAGAAGCAUCACGAGCAUUGGCAGUAACUCUAGCAAUAUGAGCAUCAAGGAAUACCCCUAGUGGCACAUCAGGCAAAGUAGUAUCUCUAGCAGUAUCAAGCAUAGCAUCAUCAGGCAAAAUAGCAUCUCUAGCAGUAUCAGGCAUAGCAUCUCUAGCAGUAUCAGGCAUAGCAUCAUCAAGCAUAGGCGACAUAUCAAGAUUUCUAGCAGGAGGUGAUGUCGCAAACUUACUCAUAACUGAAGGUGAAUCAUGUGCAGAUCUAGAUGGCAGUUCCUUACCUCCCCUCAUAGUUGAGGGCAAGACUUUGGUUUUAAGAUCUUUUAGAUUCUUCAUAGUGAUCAGCAGAUAUAAAUCCCAAGUGACUCAGAGAAUAUAGCAAUCCCUUCCCCGGCAACGGCGCCAAAAAAAUGUUGCUCCUAGCAGUCCCCGGCAAUGACACUAGAAGAAUGUUGUUGACGUGUUCCUGACUUGAUGCCGUCGCGACAACAGAGCCAGAACUGCUCCCAGUUUCUCAACAAUUAGCAAUUGUCUUGCAAUGGCCCACCAGCGCGUGGGUUCGCGGCAGUUUUUGAGGGUAGAGUAUUCAACCCAAAUUUGUUGGUUCGCCAGACGGGAAGUGAAAGGAUACUCUCAAGUAUUAGCAGCUGAAUGUGUCAGAUUCAACCGCACCUGAAAGAUUAGUACCUGCAAGCAAAGAAUAAGUAGCAAAGUAGUAUGAUAGCAACGGUGCAAGAAACGAUAUGUUGACGGCAGACUAUUCCUAACUGUUGUAUCAAUGGCGCCAGUAAGUUGCCCGUGGACGGGAAAUAGUCUUUUCCCGACAACGGCGAGCGAAAAAGUAUUGUAGCGGGUAGCAGCAGCGUAACGAGUAACAGCAGUGGCAAGGAACAACAGUAGUGACAACAGUAGCAAGUAGCAACAGUAGCAAGUAGCAGCAGUAGCAAGCAACAGUAGUAACAGCAGCAGAGCAAAACAAGUAAGAGCAGCAAUGGGACAAACUCGUAGGCAAUGGGUCGGUGAUUCGUUUGGAUGACAUUCAUCAUGCAACAGUUAUAACACAGAGAGAUAUGUGGCUAGUUCCGUUCGUCAAUGUGAUGUAGGCAUGCAUUCCGUGUGUAGUCAUACGUGCUUAGGGAAAAGAACUUGCAUGACAUAUGUUGUCCAUCCCUCCCGUGGCAGCGGGGUCCAAAAGGAUACUACGGGAUAUUAAGGUUCUCCUUUUAAUAAAGAACCGGAACAACGCAUUAGCACUUGGUGAACACAUGAACUCCUCAAACUAUGGUCAUCACCGGGAGUGGUUCCGGUUAUUGUCACUCCGGGGUUGCCAGGUCAUAACACAUAGUAGGUAACUACAACUUGCAAGAUCGGAUCUAAAACACACAUAUAUUGGUGACAACAUAAUUAUUUUAGAUCUGAAAUCAUGGCACUCGGGCCCUAGUGUCAAGCAUUAAGCAUGGCAAAGUAGUAGCAACAUCAAUCUCAGAACAUAGUGAAUACUAGUGAUCAAUCCCCGUCAAAACUAACUUGAUUACAUGAUAGAUCUCAUCCUACUCAUCACAGCCGAGCGAGCCUAUGAAUAGAUUACUCACGAACGAUGAAGAGCUUCAUGGAAUUGGAGAGGGAAGAAGGUUGAUGAUGACGAUGGCGACGAUUUCCCCUCUCCGGAGCCCAAAACGGACUCCGGAUCUGCCCUCCAGAUGAAGAACAGGAUGUGGCGGCUCCUCCGUUGUGACAGCCCGAUGCCGACGUUCCAGAAGCUUCCCCUUUUCUUCCGUUUCCGUCGUGUGGGUAUUUUCAGUUGCCGCUUCAUCAUCGCAUCAUGCGCAUCAUCUGCACUGCAUCGACAUCUUCGUUGCCGCCAAUUUUCAAACUUGCAUUCGUUAGUAGUUGCCGGUUCUCGUCGUCGUCCGUUCUGAGUCCGACCGCACACGCACGCGCCCGCGGCACCGUCGAAACCCUGUUUUAAAGUGCGUUUAAAACUUUCUCUGGUCGGGUUGAGAUUUAACGUGCGGUCGUGAUUUGCUAUAGCGAGGCCGCCCGUCGAAUUUCGUCGCGAUCGGAGACCGUCUGGUACCCGAACGGUCGCCCGUAGCGGCACCAUCUUCGGUUAUUCGUCGGACGUCUGUCGGUGUUUUUAAAUUCGUGCCGCGUCGCCCGCUCUCCCCCUCGUCUCCGGUAAACCCCUCUGCAUGGCCGCGUACCCAUACCCGCGUUCGAAAUCGUCCGAAUCCGACCCCGCGGUUGGAUCCGGAUCACGAUUCCGGUUAACCGAGCCCCCCAUUUGUCUCUAAAUACCCCCCGGUGCAUAUUUGGACAACCUCUCUCUCUCUCCCUCGUUUUCCGUGCAAACCCUAGACCCGCCUCGUAAUCCGCGCCCCAGCUAGUCUCUACCCACCUCCUGAGCCCCAGAUCUGAUCCAGCCUAGCGCACCCGAUCUGGACCGUCGGAUCUCGGAUCCAACGGCCCAGGGCGCCUCCCUCCUCCUGCCCGAGAUGCCUCCCAUGGCAGCCGCCUCCUUGCCGAGCAGCCCACGCGCCUUCNNNNNNNNNNNNNNNNNNNNNNNNNNNNNNNNNNNNNNNNNNNNNNNNNNNNNNNNNNNNNNNNNNNNNNNNNNNNNNNNNNNNNNNNNNNNNNNNNNNNNNNNGCGGUGCCCCCGGCCCAGCUGCGCGCCCGUUCGCCUACAGUGACGGCCCACCUCUCCACCGCAGCGCCGCGUGGGCCUGCUCUUCCCCAACCCCCAAGCCCAUCUGCAGGCCGGCCUCCUAGGCCGUGGUGAGCGCCCUGCCUUUUUCCCUCGCCCCAGCGUGUUUUAGUUUUAUGCCGCAUGUCCAGUUUCGGCCCGGUAGGCAGCCCAGGCCCGUUAGUUUUUUUUUAGGUUUUCAGUUUUUCUUUUUCAGGAAAUCACUAGAUUUUUUAAACGUCCGUAGUUAUUAAACCGUAAGUCAGAACGACGCGUGUUAUAUAUCGUUUUGGGGUAGCUUCGCGAGUAGAACACGAUUAUCCAACAUGCAUAUUUGUUUAAAGCUGUUUAGAGUGCCUAAUGCCUCGUUUUACGUGCUGUUUAACUAGGAUCCGUUCCGUAGUUAAUUCUCGUGCGUGUCCGGACUGCCCGUAUGCCAUAGAUUUAAUGUCCAUGUUUUAGGGACCAUAUUUCUACGUAUUUAGAGCGGUCACUCGUAUUUUUCCGUGAAGGGUUUUGCCGGUAGCUUAUUUUCCCGUUUAGAGGUAUUAUCUCGCAUUAAUGUGUGGCUUUAUUUUGAGUUGCACACCUAGAACAUGAGAGGUAUUAUCUCGCAUUAAUGACUGCUUUAUUUAUGACGAGGUGUUAUUUUCACUAAGUCUGAAAUAGUGCGUGAGAUGCCAUUUUGUGUCUUCUUUUCCUAGUGCUCCUUGCUGCCAUGCUAGUUGUUGUUAGCUGUUCGUAGUAGUGCGGCUUGCCCUCUUUCAUGCCAUGCCUUGCUUGAGCUCAUCGGAGUUGUGUAUCCGUAGUUGUGGGGCGAAGAAAAUACUAUGUGGCUGAUUUUGACAGAUUGUAGUCAUUUCUUGUUUUGCUCGUAGUUUUUGAACCGUAGCUCCGUUUUGAUCGUGUCCUACAUGUAACUUGCUUAGAACCUCGUGUAGUUUCAUUUUUCUCUGGCUGUUUGUAUGUGUUGAAGUGCUCGUAGCCGCCAUUGCACACAUUUUGCAUUCAUGCCAUCAUAUCUUGCGGUGCCUGUAUCUUUUGAUCCGUAGCUCCGUUGGAGAUGUUCUUUACGUGUAGAUUGCUUGCCUUGACGCGUAGAAUCACGUGAACCUAUUUGUUUUGCUGUUUAACAACCAAUUAUAUGCAUUAGAUCAGAUCUGAACAGAAUUGUAAAUUAACAUGUGAGGUCGUCUCGGAGAUGCUAUAGGACAUUUCCGACCUCAUUUAAAAUGUCUAGGUAGGUAGUUUAAUUCCCGCUUCACCUCUUGCAUGUUUAACAACAUUAACAUUGCCGUGUAAAUAACCGGGAGUGAACUAAAUAACUAACAUGGAGUUUCGUCAAUAUGCAACUCGUGCAUAUUGAACUUCACUUAAUGUGUAGUGUUUGAUUGUGUGAUUUGUCAUACCGUGACUUGCAUGUAUUCAGUAGCUCAUGCAUCAUAUGUGUUGUGCAUCAUGUGGUGAAUAUCAUGUGUUGAUGCUUGUUUCCGGUUUCCCCGUCUCGAUAGAGUUCCGCAAGCGUGUCGGUUGUGAGGACCCGUUCGACUACAUCGGUUCGUCUGCUUCACGGAGGCAUUCUUCGUCCAAGCGGGAUCUCAGGCAAGAUGAUCAUUUCCCCAGAUACCAUUACUAUCAUUGCCAUGCUAGUUAUUUCGUUGCUACCGACUAUGUCUCGUUGCCUACCACCUGUUAAAUAUCAGCCUAUCAACAAUGCCAUGAUUACCCUCAACCUGUUCGACCUAGCAAACCACUGAUUGGCUAUGUUACUGCUAGCUUAACCCUGUUGUUAGCGUUGCUAGUUGCAGGUGCAGUUGCUACCAUGUGAAAACAUGGGUACCUUGUUAUAUCACCAUAGUUAUGCUAUUUAAUUUAAUGCACCUAUAUACUUGGUAAAAGGUGGAAGGCUCGGCCUUUCUAGCCUGGUGUUUUGUUCCACCUUUGCCCCCUUAGUUUCGGCUACCGGUGUUAUGUUCCAUAAACAAGCGCUCCUAACACGAUCGGGGUUGUUAUGGGGACCCCCUUGAUAAUUCGUUUUAGAUUAAAGCUGGUCUGGCAAGGCCCAACUUUGGUACUACAUUUGCCUAAUCACUAAUAAACUGCAUAGGGAGUAAUUAACCCGAGGAAAUUUAAUCAACCCCCGGGCCAGUGAUCCUCAUGAGUGUUGGUCCAAACUAGAGCCGUUUGCGGGGCCAACCCGGGGUAACUCGGGAGAUUUCUAUCAGGCCACCGUACGCUGUGCUUAUUCGUCGUGUCCCGAGAACGAGGUACGCGACUCCUAUCGGGAUCGUCGACACGUCGGGCGGCCUUGCUGGAUUAGUUUUACCUUUGACGAGAUAUCUUGUGCAUCGGGAUUCCGGUGAUACUUUGGGUAAUCUCAGAGUUGAGGUUUUCCACUAGGGAAUCCGACGAGAUCGCGAGCUUCGUGAUCGAGGAUUUCUAUGCGGCUUGUGGUAAUUUGUGAUGGACUAGUUGGAGCAUCCCUGCAGGGUUAAAUCUUUCGGAAAGCCGUGCCCGCGGUUAUGUGGCAACGUGGAAGCUUUGUUUAACACUGGUUCUAGAUAACUUGAAGUUAACUUAAUUAAAACAUGCCAACUGUGUGCGUAACCGUGACUGUCUCUUUCGUGAGUUCCUUCUCCGAUCGAGGACACGGAGGGGUUAUGUCUGAUGUAGGUAGGUGUUCAGGAUCAUUCAUUUGAUCAUCUGUAGUUCACGUCCGCUAUGCGUUGAUCUUCCCCCUCUUACUUCUUGUACUCGUAAGUUAGCCACCAAAUAUACGCUUAGUCGCUGCUGCAACCUCACCACUUAACCUUACUUCACCCAUUAAGCUUUGCUAGUCUUGAUAGCUUUGGAAAUGAGAUUGCUGAGUCCCCUGUGGCUCACAGAUUACUACAACACCAGUUGCAGGUACAGGUAAAAGUUACUUGACGCGAGCGCGUUGAUUGUUCAUUUGGAGUUUCUUCUUCUUCUUCCUCUUCGUCGAUCUAGGAUGGGUUCCAGGCCGGCAGCCUGGGAUAGCAAGGAUGGACGUCGUUCUUCUUUUGUUGUUUGUUUUCGUCCGUAGUCGGACCCUGCUCUUACUCUUGUUGAUUAUGUAUUGUACUGAUGUGACUCUGAUGUAGCUUGUGGCGAGUGUAAGCCAAUUCUUUAUAUAUCUCAUCUUUUCAGUACAUGUACUUGUAACGAUAUCCAUUCUUGCGACACGACGAGAUGCGCUUCUAUCCCUGACGAGGCCUUCGUGCCAAAUUGAGGAUAGGGUCGCAUCUUGGGCGUGACAUCCGUAUCGCAAACGCGAUGAAAUCUUCUCUUCUGAUUUUUUUUCGGGACGAAAGUGAAUUUAUAGAGCUGGAGUUGGGUGCGGCAGACCCACGUGGGCCCCACAAGCUUGGUUGCCGCGGCCAGGGGGGAGGCCGCGGCAAAAGGGCUUGUGGCCCACCCCCUCCGGUGGAUCUUUGCGCAGGUAAUUUUCAUAUUUUCCAGAAAUAUUCUCCGUAAAUUUUCGGGACGUUCCGAAAACUUUAAUUUCUGCACAAAAACAACACCAUGGCAAUUCUGCUGAAAACAGCAUCAGUCCGGGUUAGUUCCAUUCAAUUCAUGCAAAUUAGAGUCCAAAACAAGGGAAAAAGAGUUUGGAAAAGUAGAUACGAUGGAGACGUAUCAGGGUGUAAUGUGAAUGGCAUCGGAUCACGACUUAAACAGGCGCGGCGACCAUGAGAAGGGAUGGGAAGUUGACUUCAAUGAGGUGCAGUGGCCAGAGUAGGCUUCUCCAAUGCUGCAUCUUCAUUGAAGUAGCAACAUCUGCUGGCCAAAUAGCGUUCCUCUGACCGGCUUCAGUUCCGUGGAGUCACAUCUGUUGUGGAGCAACGAUAGCACACAUAAAUGCGCGACAACUGCUCCACAUGGAGAGGGUUUUUCAGAUCGGAGGGCUUUUGGGUGGGGCCGGGAUGUAGGACACAAUGGUGGAUCUAGUGCUAUCGGUCAGGUGGGCCAACAGUGUAAUUAUGCAUGUAUUUUAGUUGUUAUUUUAUUUUAUUUUUAUUUUUUGCUAUGAUAUAAAUGUCAAUUUCUAAUCUCAGGGUGGGCCGUGGACCAUCAUCCCCACCCCUACCUCCGCCACUCGUUGGACAUGUGUGUGGCAGUGCUCCAUGCGCCCACAAAAUCUGGGUGCAUUGAAAAUUAGACACGUGGACUUGUUUGACGACCGAUGAUGAAGCACGAUGGAUGAAAUUAGACCACUUUGGAGAUGCCUUCACCCCGUAACUAAUACUCCCUCCGUUCGAAAAUACUUGUCCUAAAAAUAUAUAAAAUGAAUGUAUCUAUAACUAAAAUAAGUCUAGAUACAUUCAUUUGUAGGACAAGUAUUUCCGGACAGAGGGAGUAGUUGAUUGUUGUCACGUUUGCUUCUAAAGGUACCUCAUCGAGAUCCUCUAUGCUAAAACUACCAAAAAUGCUCUCUAUACCACUUUACUAGUUUUAUUUCCAGUAAAGUCAUUGUGUCGCAGCUAGUAGUUCCCCUAUCCUGUAAAUUGUGGUUUCACAAACUUUAAAGUUAUUGCUCAAAUUAUUCUGAGUAAUUGCUCACAUUUGAACACAACAAAGAGUAUUUGAAUGAAUUACAUCACAAUUCAACUACAAGCAUAAAUUCAAUCCAUUGAAUCCACCGGUCAUAACCACAAUUUUUGCCAAAGGCCACGAGAUGAGCAAGUUCAUUCCAAAAAUAUACCAACACACGAUAGAUCAAAUGCCAUCAUAAUUCAAAGAGGCGAACUCACCACCACAGCCACCCCUAACCACUCAGCCUGGACGUUCAUGUAUUUUGGUUAUUUCGGUUCGGUUAGUUCGGGUUAUGGGUAAUUCAGGUAUUCCAAAAAUGUGAAUCAAAUUUUUUUCUGCCAAAAAAAAAACCCGAACCCUAGUUACCCUAAAUUUUGAUUCGGAUAAGUCGGGUACCCAAAAUACCCAAAAUAUACGGAGCACACAUCAACUUUUGGUAUGGAUAAUUUGGAUAGUGUGGGUAUUUUGGAUAGUAUGGACAUCUUAUAGUUAGUACGGGUAACAUGUUCAUGUAAUAAUAGCGUGAAUAAUUUGGCUAGUAUGAAUAAUUUGGGUAUGGGUAUUUCGUGUUUUUUAAACUGGAACCCAAACCCAAACCCGAGAACCGAAUAGGCAGGAAAUGAGAACCGAACGCUAACCCGAUACCCGAAUUAGCUGACAAUUUUGGUACUUCGGUAUGGUUAGCGUUUGGGUAACGGGUUAGGGUACCCAAAUGCCCAGACUGAGUUGCCGAAGCUUUCAGCACCCCUGCCAGCGCUUGCACGAAGCGCCUUAGCCUUGAUGUCUCCACAAGUAAGCUCGCAAAAUCUUCUCGUGAUAUCGUCAAUCCUACUAGGAUUCAUCAACAUGAUAUCACGGUCCUCAUACAUCCUCUUCUCCUUUUGCUCCUCGACCGCCAUUGUUAGUUUUUGCAUCUCAAUGUCAAGCAAUUUUUUCUUCUCCAUAAUCAUCUUUCUAUCCUUUGGUCGUAGCCUAUGCAUUCCAUGUGUCCUCCUCUAUGUUCUUCAUCUCAUAUAAACAAUUCGUCUUCUUCCCUUUUCACAUCCACCAUUCCGCCGGUUAUCAAGGAAGGGCUAUCCUGACAUCGACUAAUGGGGCGACAACGUCAAAUUAGACGGGAAUCGUUGAGGUGGGAAGGAGGGUGAGUGUGAGUUUUAGACUAUAGAGCAACCCAUGCCAAAAUUUGAUUGGGGGGGGGGGGGCUAAUUUUGGCGAUUUAAAACUGAAAAUUAGUAAAGUUUUCGUUUUAGUGGGUCUCUUAGUUGGGUGUGUUGGGCUUACGUGAGCAUUUUAUUCCCCAAAUAUAAAUUUUUAUGAUCUGGUAGAGAUGCCCUAAGUUGUGAUAUUGUAACAUUAUUUACUCUAUUAAAAAAAUCCUACAAGUCAUACCGAUAUAUGAGGAUGGCGUCUAGUCAACUGGGUAGACAAGUCGUAGAUGGACUAAUUGACAGAACACGGGAGCAAAAAAAAAUUUGACGCAAAUUUACAUGAUUUGAUAUAAAAAGAAAAGCAGGUCAUUUGACAUAACCUAACAUGUUUCUCAUCAAGUGGGUCCAACUUGUCAGUCUAUGAAAAUAAUGAAAUUUAGCAUAAAUAUGCCACAAGGUAAGAGCAACUAAAAUAUACUAGUACAAUAUAGUGAACAUAGACUACAUAGUUAUGAAGCACUGUAGUACUCCCUCCGUUCCUAAAUAUAAGUUUUUUAAGAGCUUUCAUUAGAGGGACUACAUAUAAAUGUAUAUAGACAUACUUUAGAUUAUAGAUUCACUCAUUUUGCUCCAUAUCUAGCCCUCUAGUGGAGUAUUUAGGAACGGAGGGAGUAGAUAACAAACAAGCAGGACGGCAGUGAGGCAUGGCUUAGCUCAGCUAGGUAGAAUUCCCGGUCGUACGGCAGUGCGGCUUAGCUUAGCUCAACUAGGUAGAUUUCCUUGUACGGCAGUGUGGCUUGGCAAUUUUCCCCGGUAACAGCUGUGGAGUCCAUCGAUCGUGACUGCGCUUCUACCAUAAGCUAAUUUAUUUACAUCUCUCCUUCCGGUCAAACAAAAAAAUGACACUAACAAACAAGUAGAUAAAAAAACAACAAAAGCGGUAGAAUUAGGUGACCACAUACACCGUCAGUCAUCCCCCGUUGAGCUUCAGCGCGCGUGUCAUUCUUCUCCGGUGGCGAAUUUCCACGGCCCGGUCCCACGUGAAAGCUCCUUCACGUGUUUGACUCCAGCCGCAACAUCCAUGCUCAGCCAUCCAUACUUCUCUGCCGCUUCAAGCGCUCGCACUGCCAUUUUUUUCAACAAGACGGCGGCGGCGUUGAACGGAAGAGCGUAGUAGUACGAUUCGCCCGUCAGCUACCCGUAGCUAUCGGACAGUGUACGUGGACUCCUGCUUCGUCCUCGCACGGGCUGCUAUACUGCCUCAUCGCCACUAAUUACCCUUUGAUUGUUCCACAGACCAUAGAGGAGAAGACCGGGCCGAGCAUGGUGGGCUGCGCCGUUGCCCAUGGCCGUUGUUUCUCCGUCGAUGUUUGGAUUCCCUUUUGUCGCGAUGACCGUUGAGGAAGAUAAACGUCCGUCGUAAAGUUUUGUUGGUUGCUAAAUCGGGGGCUGCGCUGAAGACUUCAUAGUUUUUUACUCCCUCUGUUUUUAAAUAUAAGUCUUUUAAAAAAAAUUAUUAGAAGACAACAUACGAAGCAAAAUGAGUAAAAUCUACUUCAUCCGUCUCAAAAUAAGUGUCGCCGCUUUAAUAUAAAAAAUUUGUCACUUAUUUUAAAAUAGAGGAAGUAUAUUAUAAAGUACGUCUACAUAUAUUCGUCUAUAGUCCUUUAAUGAAACAUCUAAAAAGACUUAUAUUUAGGAACGGAGGAUUAUUUUGAAGAAAAAGAACGUCCAUCAUAGUUUAAGUUCUGAUGAUCGGAUUUAGUUUUGGAUCUAUUUUAGAAUUUUCGACCAUGCGCAUUGAAUGGUAGGAGACGUUUCCGUCGACGACUAGACGCUUACAUUAGUUUCGUAAAUUUCAAGAUGAUAUAUCAAUUCAGUCUUUCGAAAGUAUUCGUAUAGAUUAAUAUGUGUGUGUGUUUUUAUAAGGUUGAAUGUAUGCACGUGUAUAUGAACGGUUAUGUGUGUAUUAGUAUAUUAAAAGAAAAACAUGCUCGCAAGUAAAUGUUUCCCGCGGCAUUUCCAGGCGCCACUGGCCGGUCCGUUGACGCGGGUGCGGCUAUCCGCUGUCACCCAGCGGCCAUCUUUCCCGCUACACUUGUCUUUGAAAGGAACCCGCCCGCCCUCCCGAGACUUUUUUGCGCCGUGGAACGUUCCACCGCGAGCUUAGUCACGGGCGAGCGUGCGUGCCGGCCGCCUAUAAGAAUCCGCCGGCUCCGUCCCCCAAAUUAUACCGAGCUUUCUUCCUUGCCCAUCGCCGGUUCCCUUGGCUCACACCCGCCAACGUUCGUCAGUCGGUCAGUGCCGGCCGGGUCGGGUCCAUGGCGGAGAAGAAGGUUUCUUGCUUACAGUCUACCGAAUUGGGAUUUCUCUCCUCUGAUUUCAAUUACGGCUCUUGAUUGCUGAUCUUGCUUUCUUGUUUGGCGGCCGCGGAAUUCAGGUUGUGCUGAAGCUGGACCUGCACGACGACAGGAAGAAGCAGAAGGCCAUCCAGGUCGUCUCCGGUCUCCAGGGUACUCUACUCCCCUGCUUCUCCUUAUUCCCCAGUUCCGUCGUAGUAAUCGUGGAGGGGGCUGGCCAGGAUCUUCAUCGCCUCGCACCAGUCUGUCAUCAUGCGGCUCACCGCCAACUGUUGCUCUUCCUCAGGCAUCGACCAGAUCACCGUGGACAUGAAGGACCAGAAGAUGACGGUGAUCGGCACCGUCGACCCCGUCCACCUCGUCGAAAGGCUGCGCAGCAAGUUCUUCGGCACGGCGCAGAUGGUCUCCGUCGGCCCGGCCAAGGAGGAGAAGAAGGACGCCGCCAAGAAAGAAGACGAAAAGAAGGAGGCCGACAAGAAGGACGCGGGCAAGCCGCCGGCGUGCCCGCCGUACUGGUACGCGCUGCCGCCGCCGUACCACCCGUACCAUCACCCCUGCAGCGCCGGGGAGGACCCCAACUCGUGCGUCAUCUGCUAAAAUCGGCGCGCGCCUCUGAAUAUUUUGUAGCUGGCCGUGUGCUGCGCUGCCGAUCGAUCAUGCCUGCCACGGUGAUCGACGACAGCGUGCGCCAUACAUAAGGGUUUUGCGCCGGGGUUCCCUGGACCCGGCGUUUGUGCAUCUGCAGAGCUUAUAAAGUGCAGAUAUGGAAUGGAAUCACAGUGUGUCGAAAGGUCAAAUACAACUGCUUACUUGGAUUUUUCAGAGAAAGUUCAAGGAUUGGUCAUCAAUCGUGAUAAGGACAUGCUGAAAUAAAUAAACCGUAGCCCGUAGGUGCAGCAGAUUGAGCGAGCCAGGCACAAUGAGAUUGAUAAAAAAUCCAGGCGGCUUGCUAGAUGGGUCUCGCGUGCAUCUCCUACAUUUACCAACGGAAACUCUGAAGCUGUCUGGUGGUGCUUCACCUGAGAGUCGCUUUCAGUCAGCCGCCAGCGAUCUACCCCUCCAUUCCUAAAUAUAAAACCUUUAAUUAUUUUAUUAUAAACUACAUAUGAAAUAAAAUGAGUGAAUCUACACUAUAAAAUAUGUCUAUAUACAUCUGUAUGUAGUUCAUAAUAAAAUCCUAAAAUAUUUUAUAUUUAGGAAACGUAGGGAGUAAAUGAAAACGCAAACAUGUUUUCGAGCUUUUGGACCAGCUUUAAUGAUCCGCUUGUGUUUUCUUCGACAGCGAGUAAGCCCCAUUGGCACUUCCCUCACAAGUCCUAACACAUGAUUACAACAUAAUACGUACACACUAGUGGUACAUUAUUAACAGUCCAUCUCAUAAGACAGGCAUUGUUAACUGCACGUCUUAAUCUUUGCCCUAACUACAUGGAGCUUUCAUUGAGAAGCAACAUCUUGUGCGUUCUACCCACGGCUGCGAAGCCGUCGCAUUUUAUCCUCUCAUUAAUGUAUUUGUUUGACUUUGGCUUUGUGAUAACUUUACACCUUUUACGGGUUUUUUUUGACAGAAACUUCUCCUCCCUUAUUGAGAUGCUAAAACAGUGGUAUCAUUUACAAGUAAUGAGAGUACAUGAGGAGGUGCUAAAUCCAGCCAACAACUAGGAGGAAAAAUUUUAACUAGCCUAGCAAGUUCAUGGCCUACUUUAUUACUCUCUCUAAAACAAUGAUCAUAAAUAACAUGGUUGAACGCAGAUGACAUAAAGAAACAAUCGUCAAUAAUUGCUAAAGCAACCGAAGAAGAAUUGCCAUCUUUUAGGGCUUCCACAAUCUCCAAACUAUCCGAGCUUAGCACAAUCCUGCUACAUCCAACAGUUCUCGCAAUAUUCAAUCCAAACCUGAUAGCUAGAGCUUCUGUUGUGAAUGAAUCAAAACAAAUAUAUAUUCUUUCAUUCGCCGCCGCAAUGAAUUAUCCGCUCUGAUCGCGAAUGAUUGCCGCUACAAGCACCUUGUCUGAACCACACUCUUAAAUCACGUAAUAAGGUGUUUGUCCAAAAAAUAAAGAAAAAUAUUUACUCUCUUUGAAAAAAUCAUACUCUAAUCACGAGGUAAGGAGUACUUCUUUUUGUGAGGAAUGAGGACGAAUAAAAAUCAUACCAACAAGUUGUACCCACAUGCAAAAUAAAUAGUACUCCCUCCGGCCCAUUUUAGUCUGCAUAUUAGUUUUGUCUGAAGUCAAAGUAUCUCUACUUUGAGCAAACUUAUAGAAAAAAUAUCAAUAUUCAUCAUGGCAAAUUAAUAUUUUUAGAUUCUUUACAAAAUGUAGUUUCAUAUUGUAUAUAUUUGAUAUUGUAGAUAUUGGUAUUUUUUAAUAUAAAUUUAGUCAAACUUUAUAAAGUUUGACUUGAACGAAAUCUCAUAUACGGAGUAAAAAGGACCGGAGGGAGUACUACUCUCGAACAAUCUGCAAACAUGAGCUGGAUCAGUUAUCCAUAGAUUACUACCUUGUCUGUAUUUUGAUGUGACUUUAUUUCUGCGGUUGGAAUUUCGUUUACUUUUGGUUUUCCCCUAUAGUUUAGUGUCGUUUUAAAGGAUGCUAUGUCUGUAUCUGACGAAUACUUUGCUUCAUUAAUAAAAAUGGAGCAGUGGGAAACCCUUUUUAUUCAAAAAAAAAACUCUCCAAGAAGGCAACAAAUAUGUGUCUGAGUUUUCCACACUCAAUUAGCUGUUGCUUAAUCCUAACAAGUUUAGACGAAAAUGGUAAAAACUAUGAAUAUGUCGCUGAGGCAACAGCUGAUGUGUGAAACGUAGCAAAAAUAGUUAUGUGGAGUAAAAUAAGUCACGGGGUAUCAUCUAAAGGUUAAAUGUAAAUAAGAAAAAAGAUAGAAACAUUGGAUUCAGAUUAGCAAAUUCCAACGAAAUCUCAACACGAGUCCCUCAUUUUACUUUUCCUUCGAUGUGCCCAAUUCUCUCCCAAUAUUUGUUUACUUGCACAAUCUAAGAGCAACUCUAGCAGACCCGGAAAACACGUUUGCGGUUCACGAAGAUCGCGUUUGCGGGUCGAAAACAUGCGCGGCCGAACAGAACCCGUAUCAAAACAUGCAUAAUUUGAAAAAACGCUUUCACGAGAGAAAUUGCACUGCUGCCACUGGAGGGCUUCGAGCUCCUCGGCGUGGUGCCGACGCUCCGCCUCCUCGUGCACGCUCCGCUCGGCGAUGGCGGCAGCAACGGCGUCGAAGUCCAUGACUUAGUCCUCGGGCCCGACCACUCCGCGGCGGCCGAGCGGAGCGGGCUCCUCGGGCUCCUCCUUCACCGGGACGAAGACGAACGACGCCGGCUCCUCCUCGUCCUCCGACCACUCCCUCUUCACGGGGAGAAAGCCCGCACCGGAGGACGAGGAGGAUCCGGCGUACGAAGAUCUCGCGGAGGAGAAGGACGCGCUACGCCGGUCGUACUCCUCCGUCUCGCGGCGGUUGAAGCUCGCCGGCGGCGACAUCCCGCGGUUGGUCCAUCUCCGGGCGCCGCGCUUCCUCGCCCCGGCCGCUUGGACGCNNNNNNNNNNNNNNNNNNNNNNNNNNNNNNNNNNNNNNNNNNNNNNNNNNNNNNNNNNNNNNNNNNNNNNNNCGCCGGCGGCGAGAAAUGUGGAGAGGGGAAAGGGGAAUCGGGUGGCUCGCGGCGGAGGAGGAUAGGGUUUGGACUCGCAAAAUGAUCGCGAAACCGCAAUUAUACUGCUCCGUGCGCGCGGUUUGCGAGCUACGGCAAAAAAAAUUACGGACCGGACGAAUAUGCAGACUCUGUUCUGACCGAAAAAUUGAGCCGAGCCUGCAUACUCGCCGGAAUUUUUACGGACUAGACGUUUUGCGGGGUUUGCUAGAGUUGCUCUAAAGGCACCAGCCUAAGAAAAAUCUACUCGUGCAACAUACUUAGCUAUCAGUGACAACUGCAGAUUUGUCCUCGCAUGGACCGAUGUUGUUGCAUUGCAUGCAUCACCAAGAAUUCUCCUCCCAUUAUUCUACAAACCUCACCCGUCGCUACUUUCUCGGUGAAAAAGAACGGAGGAGUUGAACGUUGAAACUUUCCCGCGGAGCAUGCACUAUUGAUUGGGGGCGCCCUAAGAAUAAUGCAGCAUACUGCCACACACUCCUUUUCCAUAAUAAACCUUGCUUGCCAAGGUAACGCCUCGGCGUCCACGUCCUGACAGGACGAAUCGCUAUCGUUUCUAUAUUUCUUUUUUGUCCGGCAACACCACUCACGCACGCAUGGAUUUGGAUUGGAUUGGGUUGGGUUAGCCUUUAGAGUUGCUUUCAGUGAGUGGUCUCGAUGAGAACGCAAAAGGUAUAGAGAUUUUUAAGAGCAUCUUCAAUAUAAGUGUCCACGUCAACGAUCAAUAGCACAUUACUUUAAUGAGUAUACAAGUUCUUUAAUAAAGUGUAUGUUAAUCGUAUGUAAAACAACUAAGGGGGCCACUAAAUAUUGAAGAAAUAACAAUGCUUGUCUCGGAGCUUGUGUGUGAACCGUUGCUUCAAGUUCAUACGAUGUUAUUCUCUCUUUUCUUUUAUUAUGCAUCAUGUCAUCAAAAUCAUCUAUGUGACAAUUUUAUCAACGAUGAUCAUACGAUCAUUGGAGAUGCGCUAAUACCAUGAUUAGGAUGGUGUAAUACAUUGUUAAUCGUCCAUCUCGCAAAGUAUAUGUUGUUAACUGCGGGUCUUAAUCGCUGCCCUAACUGCAUCGAGUUUUGAAGAACACCAUACGACUUCUGUGUUCUAUCGCCGGCUGUGAAUCCAGGCACAUUUCAUCCGUCCAUCAUCCGAAUAUCCAGUAUAUUUCAUUUGUUUACAUCUUCACUGUUGAUUCUUAUGAUAGCUCUAAAUCAACCCCAGCUAUUUUUUUUCUUAUGCUAAGAAGCCAGAUCCACACCUCGCGAUGGUGUGGCACAGUGGCAGCUGACUGGGUGGACAAGUCGCGUGUUCGUUCUGUGCGUAUUUGGCUUGGUAUGAGAGCGGCCGCGCUGUGUGGGGUGUGGUUAUGUUGAGUAUAUUAGCAAUUUUUCAAUUAAUUUAAUCUACAGAUAAAUCAUGAGCAUGAUAUUAACAUAAUUAAUCACAUAUUGAUUAUCAUCCAAGUAAGCACACACUAUGCAUAUCCUCUAUUCUUAAAUAGCUAUAAUCCACUCGUUAAUUUUCUUCUCCAUGCAACAAAGCCACAUCAUCAAGUCACGCAUGGAGUCAUAAGUUGCUUGUUCCUUUAAUCUCUCCAUGCAAUGCAAAGCAUACCACCUCAUGGAUUAUUUUUUCCCCAGAGAAUUAAGUCAUGUAAGAAAGUUUUAUAUUUGUUUUUGGAUUAACUUUAGUCUUCUAUCACUUAUUCAUAUAUUUUUAACAAGAUUUCCGCCGCAACGCAUGGGGUAUCGUCUAGUAAUAGAAACAUCUAUUCGUAUAGCUAGUCAUAUAAGAAAGUUUUAUAUUUGUUUUUGCAUUAAUUUUAGUGUUCUACCACUUACUCAUACAUUUUUAACAAGGUUUUCGCCCCAACGCGCGGGGCAUCGUCUAGUAAUAGAAACAUAUAUGCAUAUAGCUAAUACUGGUAACACAUAAAUAAACACGAGCAGGAUAAACGAAUUAUACCCUCCAGUAGGCCAGAACGAAGCGACGGUGGCGAUAUUGGUGUCUUCGACAACCUUCUUUUUGGCUUCAAGUUUCUUGCCAGCGAGUCGUUCGCUUCGUAUUGCAGACUCAUGGUGACGGCGAAGGCAAAAUCGACGUUGACAAACGGCGGCGAGCAGUCAUGUAGGAGACACUCCCAAAAACUUUAUCGCCCCUCUUUCAUCCAGGAUCUCGAGAGGCGAGGUUUCAAAGGGCUCUUCUUUUGUCAAACCUUGUACACAAUAGACUGGAUGGGAUCACCGACGGCAGCAGCAGCAACAAAAGGAACGACAAUGGAUGAGAUGUGCGUGGAGGCUAGGCUUGCUACUAUAUAGACGCGGUCGGGUUGGAGGGUAUCGGCUGUACCGAACGGGUCUGUUAAAGACUCUCCAUUUCUUACUAUAAAAAAUAAGUGCAUAGGUGUGAGCUCGGAUCGCCUCAUUCCCAGAACCCCCACCUUUGUCAUGCAUGCACCAGGAUGAGGUGUGGCGAGACAGGCAGUGGAGGAGGAGCGUGCGGUAACCAUGAUAAUUCAAGCUCGAGCCCGGACUCACAUGAGUCCGGUGAACAGUAACGUGAUUAUCGACAGAAAAAAAAGUUCAAAAAAUUCCAUUUUUUGUGUUGUAAGAUGUUUAUCCGUGUGAACUCCGUGCAAAUUUUUGUGAAGUUUGGACAUUCGAGAAGCUCAUGGCAAAAAACACAAAAUCAGGUAUGAACAGUGCGAUUUUCAAAGGUUCUCGCGCAUUCGAAAUUUUUCUUUUUUGCCAGGGCUCCUCAAAUGCCCAAGUUCACAAAAAUUUAGACGAAGUUCAUGCACCGAAGAAUCUUGCAGCACAAAAAAUAAACUUUUUGUAUACUUCAAACCGCAUUAUUGUUCAUGACCGGGCUCAUCUGAGCCUUGGAGCCAAAUCCCUGCUCUCUCUCCACUCAUAUUCUAAAUCUCCAAUAGCAUGUGAAAGAGAAUUUUUUAUAAGGAGAUCCAACCCCUCCUCUACCAGUGGAGUGUGACUAAACUUUCCACCAAAUCCCUUGUCAUGACAUCUACAUGGGCCCUUUGAGAUUUUCUAAAAUUGUUAGAUGGGGCCCAUGCCCACUCUGUAUUUUGAAAAUCCCCCAUCACAUCUCAAGGGACCAUUGUGUUGUCCUCGGUUCCAAACCCUUUUUUUGUAUACUAAUAUUCUUAUUGGAGACCUGUUAAGGAUUAACAAUCACCUAGAAGAAGUAGUUACACUCCUUCACAACUGAACAACGAAUUAGACCUUAAAUUGUCAGUUUGGUAUAAAGAGUUUCAGCAAUUGUCUUACCAGUAUUAGGAUGUCGAAGGUUGACCCCUUGGAUGGAGCAUAUUAGUCACACUUCUGGCCAAUUCAUGACCUUACUCAAUAUUACUCCAUUCUCAUAGACUGAUUAGGUGCGUGUUUACCUCCUUCUCCCCCACCAUGAAAGCCAACAUGUGUCAACAUUGUAUUAAGCUUAUCAUGUCAUUGAUUACGUGUUUGUUUGAGACCCUAAAGAUUUUAGUAACUUACACAUCUUUCUUUCCUGAUCAUCUAUCACAAAGUAAUGUGACUGUUGCAUGUACAUUUCCUCGUCUAGCUCUCUAUUUAGAAAAAUCAUCAUAACAUCUAUCAGGUCGAUGAGAAGACCAUGUGAGGCUAUUAACGAGAGUAAUACUUGGAUGGUGGUCAGUCUGGCUACCUGUGAAUAAGUAUCAAAGAGAUAUUCUUCUUCUUUCCAUGAAUAACGUUUGGUUGCCGAGCCUUGUACUUUUUAAUUGUAUCAUCAGGCCUAAAGUUUUUUUGAACACCGACUCAUAUCUCAUUGGUUUGCAACCAUAUGGACGUUGAGUGAUUUCCAUUGCCCGUUAGCCAAGAUGGAGUUCAUCCCUCUAUGGACGGCUCUUUCUGGUAGUCAACAUGUCGAGGUGCAUAUGCUUCUGCAAUAAAAGUUGGAGUAUCAUCCACGAGGUACACGAAGAAAUUUACAAUCCGCAGUCUCUUGCCCCUACCAAGAGUUUCCUCAUCAUCUUCCUUAGGAUUCUCAUAAAUAUUCCAAAGGAAUGGCAGGCUCGGGAGUCUCUUCAAAUUCUUAUCUAGCAGUGCUUCACAUAUCUCUCAUAGGAAAAAUAUUCUCAAAGAAUGUAGCCUCUUUACACUCCAUAAUUGUAAUGACCUUCACAUCACAUACCUCAAAUUUCACUACUAGAAAUCUACAGCCAACAUUGUUCUUUUAGUGUAGCCAAAAUUUCGCCAAACAACCAAGUACGCAAGUAUGAGAGUGUCAUUGCUCUCUUCUACCAUUGCUCAUAUGGAGUUAUCUCAUUAUCUUUUGUCGGAAACUUUUUCAAGAUAUGAGAUGAGUAUCCUGUGGGUGAAAUGAUGAUACCAUGCCAAAUAAGUAUCAAAUUUUGUGGUAACCCUUCCAACUUUUUAGCACAUGUCAUGUGGAUGAAAUGAUGAUACUAUGCCAAGUUUCAGCAUUUUCACAGUUCAUUUGUAGCGCUUUUCAAUUUCAGGGUCAUUUAGCUCAAAAAAAUCAUUUAAUGCAUGAAAAAUAGCAAAUGAGGUGAGAAAGGGUUGAAAAUUUAUGAGGUGGCUUUGAAUGAUGCUUAUUCAGGGCACAAUAGUCUGGAGUUGAAAUAAGAUUAAAAAAUGAAAUGGCUUUGUAAGAGACGAGAAUUCGUCCAGAACCGUGAUACUCCGAAAGAGAUAGUCCAGUUUCUACACAAAGUGCAUCUUGUUUUUGCCGUAAUCCUUUCAAAUUUUUAGCACAUGUCAUGUGGGAGAAAUGACGAUACUAUGCGAAAUUUCAGCCUUUUCCAAGUUGAUUUGUAGCGCUUUAUAAUUUCAGGGUCAUGUAGCUCAAAAAAUUCAUUUAAUGCAUGAAAAAUAGCAAAUGAGGUGAGAAAGGGUUGAAAAUUUAUGAGGUGGCUUUGAAUGAUGCGUAUUGAGGCCAGAAAAAGUAUGAAGUUGAAAUAAGAUUAAAAAAAUGAAAUGGCUUUGUAAGAGAUGAGUAUUCGUCCAGAAACCUCAUACUUCAAAAGAUAAUAGUCGAGUUUGUACACGAAGUGCAUCCUAUUUUUGUUGUAGCCCUUCCAACUUUUUAGCACAUGCCAUGUGCGUGAAAUUAUGAUACCAUGCCAAGUUUUAGCCUUUUUCGAGUUGAUUUAUAGCGCUUUUCAAUUUCAGGAUCACCUAGCUCAAAAAAAUCAUUUAAUGGAUGGAAAAUAGCAAAUGAGGUGAGAAAUGGUUAAAAAAUGAUGACGUAACUUUAAAUGAUGCAUAUUGAGGGCACAAAAAGUCUGAAGUUAAAAUAAGAUUAAGAAAAUGAAAUGGCUUUGUAAGAGAUUAGUAUUCGUCGAGAACCUUGAUAUUUCGAAAGAGAUAGUCGAGUUUAUACACGAAGUGCAUCCAGUUUUUGCCGUAAUCCUUUCAACUUUUAAGCACAUGCCAUGUGGUUGAAAUGAUGAUAUCAUGCUAAGUUUCAGCCUUUAGAGAGUUGAUUUGUACCACUUUUUAAUUUUAGGGUCAUUAGCUCAAAAAAUGCCAAGUUUCAUGCAUUUAAUGAUUUUUAUUUAGGUAAAUAAUCAUACCAUGCCCAUCCAAGCCACAUCCUAAAAUCUCAACAGUUUCUAACUUCAGUUGUUAUUUUUCAUGCAUUUAACAAUUUAUUUAGGUAAAUGAUUCUUAAAUUAAAAAGCACUACAAAUGAACUCUAAAAAGGUUGAAACUUAGCAUGGUAUCAUUAUUUCACACAUAUAGCAUGUGCUAAAAAGUUCAGAGGAUUACGACAAAAACUGAAUGCACUUCGUGUACAAACUUGGCCGACUACUUCAGAGUAUGAGGGUUUCGGACGAAAACUCAUAUGUUACACGGACAUUUCAUUUUUUUUAACUUGUUUCAACUAUAGACUUUUUUUCAUUCAAUAUGCAUAAUUUCAAGCCACAUCCUCAAAUUUCAACAGUUUCUAACUUCAGUUGUUAUUUUUCAUGCAUUGAAUGAUUUUUUUAGGUAAAUGACCCUGAAAUUAAAAAACACUACAAAUGAACUCUAAAAAGGUUGAAACUUUGCAUGGUAUCAUACAUCACAAUGCCCCAAAAAUCUUGCUCACAUCAUAUUUAAACAGGGACAUAAAUAAAAAUACUCAUCCAAGCUAGAGAUCCCCAAGCAGUACAUAAUAUAUAAUAUCUAGAAAUAGAAGUGUUCGCCGUUGCGAACACUACUCGUCUGAAUCAGAAUAUCCUCAAAUUGGUGGUGGUGGUGCUUGAUGUACGAGGUGACGCUAGACAUAGUUCACGAUUCGAAUCCUGCAGUACAACUCGUAUGCAACGUACACAUCUUUUGCUGUAUACUCUGUUGGAAAUAUGCCCUAGAGGCAAUAAUAAAUUAGUUAUUAUUAUAUUUCUUAGUUCAUGAUAAUCGUUUAUUAUCCAUGCUAUAAUUGUAUUGAUUGGAAACACAAUACUUGUGUGGAUACAUAGACAAAACACUGUCCCUAGUAAGCCUCUAGUUGACUAGCUCGUUGAUCAAAGAUGGUCAAGGUUUCCUCGCCAUAGGCAAGUGUUGUCACUUAAUAACGGGAUCACAUCAUUAGGAGAAUCAUGUGAUGGACUAGACCCAAACUAAUAGACGUAGCAUGUUGAUCGUGUCAUUUUGUUGCUACUGUUUUUCUGCGUGUCAAGUAUUUGUUCCUAUGACCAUGAGAUCAUAUAACUCACUAACACCGGAGGAAUACUUUGUGUGUAUCAAACGUCGCAACGUAACUGGGUGACUAUAAAGAUGCUCUACAGGUAUCUCCGAAGGUGUUCGUUGAGUUAGUAUGGAUCAAGACUGGGAUUUGUCACUCCGUGUGACGGAGAGGUAUCUCGGGGCCCACUCGGUAAUACAACAUCACACACAAGCCUUGCAAGCAAUGUGACUUAGUGUAAGUUGCGGGAUCUUGUAUUACGGAACGAGUAAAGAGACUUGCCGGUAAACGAGAUUGAAAUAGGUAUGCGGAUACUGACGAUCGAAUCUCGGGCAAGUAACAUACCGAAGGACAAAGGGAAUGACAUACGGGAUUAUAUGAAUCCUUGGCACUGAGGUUCAAACGAUAAGAUCUUCGUAGAAUAUGUAGGAUCCAAUAUGGGCAUCCAGGUCCCGCUAUUGGAUAUUGACCGAGGAGUCUCUCGGGUCAUGUCUACAUAGUUCUCGAACCCGCAGGGUCCGCACACUUAAGGUUCGACGUUGUUUUAUGCGUAUUUGAGUUAUAUGGUUGGUUACCGAAUGUUGUUCGGAGUCCCGGAUGAGAUCACGGAUGUCACGAGGGUUUCCGGAAUGGUCCGGAAACGAAGAUUGAUAUAUAGGAUGACCUCAUUUGAUUACCGGAAGGUUUUCGGAGUUACCGGGAAUGUACCGGGAAUGACGAAUGGGUUCCGGGAGUUCACCGGGGGGGCAACCCACCCCGGGGAAGCCCAUAGGCAUUGGGGGUGCCGCACCAACCCUUAGUGGGCUGGUGGGACAACCCAAAAGAGCCCUAUGCGCAUUGGAAGAAAAAUCAAAGAGAAAAGGAAAAAAAAGAAGGAGGUGGGAAAGGGAAGAAUGACUCCACCUUCCAAACCAAGUAGAAUUCGGUUUGGGAGGGGGAGACCUUCCCCCUUGGCUCGGCCGACCCCCUUGGGAGUCCUUGGACCCCAAGGCAAGUCUCCCCCCUCCUCCUCCUAUGUAUAGUGGGGUUUUAGGGCUUAUUUGAGACAACUUUUGCCACGGCAGCCCGACCACAUAUCUCCACGGUUUUACCUCUAGAUCGCGUUUCUGCGGAGCUCGGGCGGAGCCCUGCUGAGACGAGAUCAUCACCAACCUCCGGAGCGCCGUCACGCUGCCGGAGAACUCUUCUACCUCUCUGUCUCUCUUGCUGGAUCAAGAAGUCCGAGAUCAUUGUCGAGCUGUACGUGUGCUGAACGCGGAGGUGUCGUCCGUUCGGCACUAGAUCGUGGGACUGAUCGCGGGACGGUUCGCGGGGCGGAUCGAGGGAUGUGAGGACGUUCCACUACAUCAACCGCGUUCACUAACGCUUCUGCUGUACGGUCUACAAGGGUACGUAGAUCACACAUCCCCUCUCGUAGAUGGACAUCACCAUGAUAGGUCUUCGUGCGCGUAGGAAUUUUUUUGUUUCCCAUGCGACGUUCCCCAACAGUGGUAUCAUGAGCUAGGUCAUGCGUAGAUGUCUUCUCGAGUAGAACACAAAAGUUUUUGUGGGCGGUGAUGUGCGUUUUGCUGCCCUCCUUAGUCUUUUCUUGAUUCCGCGGUAUUGUUGGAUCGAAGCGGCUCGGACCGACAUUACUCGUACGCUUAUGAGAGACUGGUUUCAUCGCUACGAGUAACUCCGUUGCUCAAAGAUGACUGGCGGGUGUCAGUUUCUCCAACUUUAGUUGAAUCGGAUUUGACCGAGGAGGUCCUUGGAUGAGGUUAAAUAGCAACUCAUAUAUCUCCAUUGUGGUGUUUGCGUAAGUAAGAUGCGAUCCUACUAGAUACCCAUGGUCACCACGUAAAACAUGCAACAACAAAAUUAGAGGACGUCUAACUUGUUUUUGCAGGGUAUGCUUGUGAUGUGAUAUGGCCAACGAUGUGAUGUGAUAUAUUGGAUGUAUGAUAUGAUCAUGUUGUAAUAGAUAAUAUCAACUUGCACGUCUAUGGAACGGCAACCGGCAGGAGCCAUAGGGUUGUCUUUAUAACUAACGUUUGUGCUUGCAGAUGCGUUUACUAUUUUGCUAGGAUGUAGCUUUAGUAGUAAUAGCAUGAGUAGCACGACAACCCCGAUGGCGACACGUUGAAGGAGAUCAUGAUGAUGGAGAUCAUGGUGUGACGCCGGUGACAAGAAGAUCGUGCCGGUGCUUUGGUGAUGGAGAUCAAGAAGCACAUGAUGAUGGCCAUAUCAUGUCACUUAUGAAUUGCAUGUGAUGUUAAUCCUUUCAUGCACCUUAUUUUGCUUAGAACGACGGUAGCAUUAUGAGGUGAUCUCUCACUAAAAUUUCAAUACGAAAUUGUGUUCUCCCCGACUGUGCACCGUUGCGACAGUUCUUCGUUUCGAGACACCACGUGAUGAUCGGGUGUGAUAGACUCAACGUUCACAUACAACGGGUGCAAAACAGUUGCACACGCGGAACACUCGGGUUAAGCUUGACGAGCCUAGCAUGUGCAGACAUGGCCUCGGAACACAUGAGACCGAAUGGUCGAGCAUGAAUCGUAUAGUUGAUAUGAUUAGCAUAGAGAUGCUUACCACUGAAACUAUUCUCGACUCACGUGAUGAUCGGACUUGAGAUAGUGGAUUUGGAUCAUGUACCACUCAAAUGACUAGAGAGAUGUACUUUUUGAGUGGGAGUUCUUAAGUAAUAUGAUUAAUUGAAAUAAUUGUCAUAAACAUAGUCUAAUGGUCUUUGCGAAUUACGAUGAAGCUUGCGCUAUAGCUCUACUGUUUUUAUAUGUUCCUAGAGAAAAUUUAGUUGAAAGUUGAUAGUAGCAAACUUUGCAGACUGAGUCUGUAAAACCGAGGAUUGUCCUCGUUGCUGCACAGAAGGCUUAUAUCCUUAAUGCACCACUCGGUGUGCUGCACCUCGAGCGUCGUCUGUAGAUGUUGUGAACAUCCGACAUACACGUUUCUGAUGACUACACGAUAGUUCAGUACAAAAUACUUAAUGACUUAGAAGCAAGGCGCCGAAGACGUUUUGAAACGUCACGGAACAUAAGAGAUGUUCUAAAGAGAUGAAAUUGUGAUUUCGUGCUUGUGCCCUUGUUAAGAGGUAUGAGACCUCCGACAAGAUUCUUUGUCCACAAAGUAAAGGAGAAAAGAUCAAUCGUUGAGCGUGUGCUCAGAUUGUCUGAGUACGACAAUCACUUGAAUCAAGUGGGAGUUAAUCUUCCAGAUGAGAUAGUGAUGGUUCUCCAAAGUCACUGCCACCAAGCUGUGAGAGCUUCGUGAUGAAUUAUAACAUAUCAAGGAUAGAUACAAUGAUCCUUGAGCGAUUCGCGAUGUUUGACACGACGAAAGUAGAAAUCAAGAAGGAGCAUCAAUAGUUGAUGGUUUGUAAAACCACUAAAGUUUCAAGAAAGGCAAGGGCUAGAAGGGAUACUUCGUGAAAUGGCAAAACAGUUGCUGCACUAAUGAAGAGACCCAAGAUUAAACCCAAACCCGAGACUAAGUGCUUCUGUAAUGAGGGGAACAGUCACUGAGGCGGAGCAACUCUAUAUACUUGGUAGAUAAGAAGGCUGGCAAAAGUCGAAAGAAGUGUAUUUGAUAUACAUGAUGUUGAUGUGUACUUUACUAGUACUCCUAGUAGCAUGAGGGUAUUGUAUACCGGUUCGGUUGCUAAGUGAUUAGUAACACGAAAUGAAAGCUACGGCAUAAACGGAGACUAGCUAAAGGCGAGGUGACGAUACGUGUUGGAAGUGUUUCCAAGGUUGAUAUGAUCAAAACGUCGCACGCUCCCUCUACCAUCGGGAUUUGUGUUAAACCUAAAUAAUUGUUAUUUGGUGCUUGCGUUAAGCAUGAACAUGAUUGGAUCGUGUUUAUUGCAAUAUGAUUAUUCAUUUAAAGAGAAUAAUGGUUACUCUAUUUGCUUGAAUAAUCACCUUCAAUGGUUUAUUGAAUCUCGAUCGUAGUGUUACACAUGUUCAUAAUAUUGGUGACAAAAGAUACGAGGUAAUGAUGAUAGUACUACUUACUUGUGGCACUGCCGCUUGAGUCAUGUUGGUAUAAAUUGCAUGAAAAGGCUCCAAGCUGAUGGAUCUUUAUACUCACUUGAUUUUGAAUCACUAGUGACAUGCAAAUCAUACCACAUGAGCAAGGCCUUGUUUUCAUUGAGAUGAAACAAGAUAGUAACUUGUUGGAAGUGAUACAUUUUGAUGUAUGCAGUCCAAUGGGUGUUGAGGCACGCAGUGGAUAUCAUUAUGUUCUUACUUCAAUGACGAUUUGAGUAGAUACAAGAGUAUUUACUUAAUGAAUCACAAGUCUGAAAUAUUGAAAGGUUCAAUUCUGUUUCGGAGUGAAGUUCGUCGUAACAAGAGGAUAAACUGUCUACGAUAUGAUCACAGAAAUGAAUAUCUGAGUUACGAGUUUUGGUACGCAGUUAAGACAAUGUGGAAAUUGUUUCGCAGUUCAUGCCACCUAGAACAUCAUAGUGUGAUGAUGUGUCUGAAUGUCAUAGCCACGCACUAUUUGGUAUGGUGCAUGCUAUGAUGUCUCUUAUCGAAUUACCACUAACGUUUAUGGGUUAUGCAUUAGAGACAACCGCAUUCACUUUAAAUAGGGCACCGCGUAUUUCCGUUGAGAUGACACAGUAUAGACUUAGGUUUAGAGAAAUCUAAACUGUCGUUUCUUGAAAGUUUGGGGCUUCGACACUUAUGUGAAAAAGUUUCAGUCUGAUAAGCUCGAAUCCAAAGCGGAUAAAUGCAUCUUCAUAGGAUAUCCAAAACAGUUGGGUACAUCUCCUAUCUCAAAUCCGAAAGCAAAGUGUUUGUUUCUGGAAACGGAUCCUUUCUCGAGGAAAGGUUUCUCUCGAAAGAAUUGAGUGGGAGGGUAGUAGAACUUGAUGAGGUUAUUGAACCAUCACUUCAACAAGUGUGUAGCAGGGCGCAGGAAGUUGUUCCUGUGGCGCCUACACCAAUUGAAGUGGAAGCUGAUGAUGGUGAUCAUCAAGCAUCGGAUCAAGUUACUACAAGCCUCGUAGGUUGACAAGGUCGCGUACUACUACAGAGUGGUACGGUAACCCUGUCUUGGAGGUCAUGUUGUUGAGCAAUAGUGAACCUACGAGUUAUGGAGAAAGCAAUGGUGGGCCCGAAUUCCGACAAAUGGCUGGAAGCCAUGAAAUCCGAGAGAGGAUCCAUGUAUGAAAACAAAGUGUAGACUUUGGAAGGACUACUUGAUGGUCAUAAGACUAUUGAGUAAAGAUGGAUCUUUGAAAGGAAGACAGACGAUGAUGGUGAUAAGUCACUAUUAAGAAAAGCUCGACUUGUCGCAAAGAUGUUUUCGACAAGAUCAAACUGUUGACUAUGAUGAGUCUUUCUCCCUCGUAGCGAUGCUAAAAGUCUGUUAGAAUUAUGUUAGUAGUUGCUGCAUUAUUUAUGAAAUAUUGCACGUAGGAUGUCAAAACAUUGUUUCCUCGACGGUUUCCUUGAGCAAACAUUGUAUGUGAUACAACCAGAAAGUUUUGUCGAUCCUAAAGAUACUAGCAAGUAUGCAAGCUCCAGUGAUCCUUCAAUGGACUGGUGCAAGCAUCUCGGAGUUGGAAUAUACACUUUGAUGAGAUGAUCAAAGAUUUUGGGUUUGUACAAGGUUUAUGAGAAACUUGUAUUUCCAAAGAAGUGAGUGGGAGCACUAUAGAAUUUCUGAUAAGUAUAUGUGGUAGACAUAUUGUUGAUCAGAAGUAAUGUAGAACUUCUGUAAAGCAUAUAAGGUUGUUUGAAAGGAGUUUUCAAAGGAAUACCUGGAUUGCGCUACUUGAACGUUGAGCAUCAAAGAUCUAUGGAGAUAGAUCAAAAGUGCUUAAUGAAAGUUUCAAUAAGAUGCAUGCCUUGACAAGUUUUUGAAGGAGUUCAAAAUAGAUCAGCAAAGAAGGAGUUCUUGGUUGCGUUGUAAGGUGUAAAUUUUAGUAAGACUCAAAAUCCGACCACGGCAGAAUAAAGAGAAUAGACGAAGGUCGUCUUCUAUGCCUUAGCCGUAGAAUCUAAAGUAUGCCAUGCUGUGUACCGCACCUGAUGUGUGCCUUGACUCAAAGUCUGUUGAGAGGUACAGAGAGUGAUCCAUGAUUGAAUCACUAGCAGCGGUCAAAAUUUAUCCUUAGUAACUAAUGGACUAAGGAAUUUUUCUCAAUUAUGGAGGUGGUUAAAGAGUUCGUCGUAAAGGGUUACGUCGAUGCAAGCUUUGACACUAAUCCGAAUGACUAUGAGUAGCGAAACGGGUUCAUAUAGUAGAGUAGAUAUUUGGAGCAUUUCCGAAUAGCACGUAGUAGCAGCAUCUAUAAGAUGACGCUAAGAUUUGUAAAGAACGCACGGAUCUGAAAGUUUCAGAGCCUUUGACUAAAACCUCUCUCACGAGCAAGACGUGAUCAGACCCCAUAACUAUAUGGGUGUUGGAUUCGUUGGAAUCACAUGGUGAUGUGAACUGGAUUUUUGACUCUAGUGCAAGUGGGAGACUGUUGGAAAUAUGCCCUAGAGGCAAUAAUAAAUUAGUUAUUAUUAUAUUUCUUAGUUCAUGAUAAUCGCUUAUUAUCCAUGCUAUAAUUGUAUUGAUUGGAAACACAAUACUUGUGUGGAUACAUAGACAAAACACUGUCCCUAGUAAGACUCUAGUUGACUAGCUCAUUGAUCAAAGAUGGUCAAGGUUUACUAGCCAUAGGCAAGUGUUGUCACUUGAUAACGGGAUCACAUCAUUAGGAGAAUCAUGUGAUGGACUAGACCCAAACUAAUAGACGUAGCAUGUUGAUCGUGUCAUUUUGUUGCUACUGUUUUCUGCGUGUCAAGUAUUUGUUCCUAUGACCAUGAGAUCAUAUAACUCACUAAUUCCGGAGGAAUACUUUGUGUGUAUCAAACGUCGCAACGUAACUGGGUGACUAUAAAGAUGCUCUACAGGUAUCUCCGAAGGUGUUCGUUGAGUUAGUAUGGAUCAAGACUGGGAUUUGUCACUCCGUGUGACGGAGAGGUAUCUCGGGGCCCACUCGGUAAUACAACAUCACACACAAGCCUUGCAAGCAAUGUGACUUAGUGUAAGUUGCGGGAUCUUGUAUUACGGAACGAGUAAAGAGACUUGCCGGUAAACGAGAUUGAAAUAGGUAUGCGGAUACUGACGAUCGAAUCUCGGGCAAGUAACAUACCGAAGGACAAAGGGAAUGACAUACGGGAUUAUAUGAAUCCUUGGCACUGAGGUUCAAACGAUAAGAUCUUCGUAGAAUAUGUAGGAUCCAAUAUGGGCAUCCAGGUCCCGCUAUUGGAUAUUGACCGAGGAGUCUCUCGGGUCAUGUCUACAUAGUUCUCGAACCCGCAGGGUCUGCACACUUAAGGUUCGACGUUGUUUUAUGCGUAUUUGAGUUAUAUGGUUGGUUACCGAAUGUUGUUCGGAGUCCCGGAUGAGAUCACGGACGUCACGAGGGUUUCCGGAAUGGUCCGGAAACGAAGAUUGAUAUAUAGGAUGACCUCAUUUGAUUACCGGAAGGUUUUCGGAGUUACCGGGAAUGUACCGGGAAUGACGAAUGGGUUCCGGGAGUUCACCGAGGGGGCAACCCACCCCGGGGAAGCCCAUAGGCAUUGGGGGUGCCGCACCAGCCCUUAGUGGGCUGGUGGGACAGCCCAAAAGAGCCCUAUGCGCAUUGGAAGAAAAAUCAAAGAGAAAAGGAAAAAAAAGAAGGAGGUGGGAAAGGGAAGAAGGACUCCACCUUCCAAACCAAGUAGAAUUCGGUUUGGGAGGGGGAGACCUUCCCCCUUGGCUCGGCCGACCCCCUUGGGAGUCCUUGGACCCCAAGGCAAGUCUCCCCCCUCCUCCUCCUAUGUAUAGUGGGGUUUUAGGGCUGAUUUGAGACAACUUAUGCCACGGCAGCCCGACCACAUAUCUCCACGGUUUUACCUCUAGAUCGCGUUUCUGCGGAGCUCGGGCGGAGCCCUGCUGAGACGAGAUCAUCACCAACCUCCGGAGCGCCGUCACGCUGCCGGAGAACUCUUCUACCUCUCCAUCUCUCUUGCUGGAUUAAGAAGGCCGAGAUCAUCGUCGAGUUGUACGUGUGCUGAACGCGGAGGUGCCGUCCGUUCGGCACUAGAUCGUGGGACUGAUCGCGGGACGGUUCGCGGGGCGGAUCGAGGGACGUGAGGACGUUGCAGUACAUCAACCGCGUUCACUAACGCUUCUGUUGUAUGGUCUACAAGGGUACGUAGAUCACACAUCCCCUCUCGUAGAUGGACAUCACCAUGAUAGGUCUUCGUGCGCGUAGGAAAUUUUUUGUUUCCCAUGGGACGUUCCCCAACAUACUCAAUGUUGAUACCGUCAAGUGGGGUCGUCUCUCACUCUUUGUGCUGAUCCGAGGGAAAUUUGGUGUUCAUAUCAACGUACUCCUCGUCGAUCAUGACGACUGUCAUAUGAGUCAUCGAAGUCCUCAUAUGUUCAAGCCUAAAUAUGUCUUGGAUAUCAAUGUGGCAGUUAGCUAGUAUCUCAAUACCGAAGCUUUGCCUCAUCUUGAGCUUGUCAUUCCUUAUAUCAAAGCUAACAAAACAUAUGCCGCUACGAAGGAAGUCCAUGAGUACUAGACAGUGCUUGUCACUACUGCAUCAGCAAUAAAUUAAAAUAAAAUAAAUGUUAUAUACUGCAGCAAAACAAGUAUAUUUCGGCAGAAGUAUAAUAAUUAAGAAUCAUAACAAGUAUAUUUUGGCACAAGUAUAAUAUGGAACUAUAAAGGAAAAUUCGCUCACUUCAACAAAAGAGGAAUCAAAAGAAGCCCUAGAUGUUUUUAUCCUGUGCACUUUUCAUAUAUGAAUCAAAAGAAUAAAUAUAUGCAACAAGGAAAAUUCUUUCACUACAACUAAAGAGGAAUAAAUAUUUCCCAUAGGAUUCAAAUGAAACGUGUUGCUAUCCUAUGCAUUUUUCAUAUCCUAUGAAUUGAUCAAGAAACCUAAAUUAACUAUGACAUAUAUGUUCUCCCAGAGUUUUGCCAAUAUGCAACUAGGAAAAUUGUUUCACUACAACUAAAGAGAUAUUGAUCUUUAGGAUUCAAAUGGAACAUGUUGCUAUCCUAUACAAUUUUCAUAACCUUUGAUCAAAGAAAAGCCUCAAAACUUACCUCAUCCAUUGGAAGACCAUGACGUUUCUAUUGAAACAAAGUUGGAUGACGACAACAUCUUCUAGAUUGGCCGUGUACUCGAGAUCAAGCCCAUGAACUUGUCUUUCUCAUCCGCCACUUCAAGCCCUUCCUCGAAAUAGGAAAGAAAACGCGGCACCAUGGCGCUGUCGUUCGUGUAGACGACAUUGAGUUUGGUCGUGCCAUGUGCGAGCACCUUCCCAUAGCGAGUGAUUGGAUCAUCCAUGGUGAAAGAUAUGGGGAAGAAGAGAGGAGAGAGCAGAGGAGACGAGAAUGGCCGUGGUUACUGUAGCCCUCGCGGUCUGUACCACUCAUCCCGUUUUUCAUCGCGCGAAACGACGCGGUAUGCGAACGGUUUAGACCUUAAGUUUCGGUUUGAGACACCAAUCGGGACUAAAGGGCCUCGCUCCAGGAGAACGGUUGCCACCACCCCUUUAGUCCCAGUUCGUGGCUCAACCCAGAACUAAAGGCCCUUAACGAAUUGGGACAAAAGCCAUUUGGCCUCCAGCCGCUCGAACCGGGACUAAUGGUCACAUUAGUCCUGAUUCAAAACCAAACCAGGACUAAGUGGUCAAACGAAAGACCUGUUUUCUACAAGUGAGGAGUUCUUAUGGAAGCGUGAGGUCGAGCAGAAGAAGAAUAAGAAAGAUGAGGCCGGUCCCUCGACGGUUAUCGCCGUCGAGUCCUUUGAGGAGGUCUGUGACGACUCGGACCGGGAUGCGUUCUGGGUGUAGUUCAUGACCUCCGAUAACGAGGUGCAGUUCGAGAGCUCCGAUGACGCGGAGUAGUUUUAUCUUCGGUGUAGUUCAAGUCAAUGUAGUUUGAACUAGUACUAGUAGUAGAUGAAUGUAGUACCUCAGAACUAGUAAUAGUUGAAUUAGUAGCAGUUGAGUUUGCUAUGGUUUUAUUAACUAGAAUUAUGUAGUGAAUUUGCUAUGUUUGAAGUAUAGGUUUGAAAUAAAAUAGUAGUUGAAGAAUAUAAUUUUACAUCUUUAUUUGCAUUUUUUAUUGAAGUUGCUCUUUACAUCUUCAUUUUGCAUCAUGUGUUAAAGUUGGUUCUUUUUUAAAGAUGUACGUAAAAACAUUUUUUAAUGAUAUAAAUUAUACAACACCUAGGUUUAUGUUUUUAAAUUUGCAUCUUCUAUUCGAGAUGCUCUAUGUAUACGAGGAAAAAGGAUCGAUGCAGGAAGCAUCAGUUCAGUUGUGGUUAGCAACUAAUAUCGUCUUCCCUCUUUCUAUUUUUUCUGGCGGGUGGAGCACCGGCAUGGCCACUUGCCGUCGCUGUUGUAACAGUAAUGGCGAUGGGGCAUGCAUCCGCAGGCAGGAGGGACAAGGGACGAGCUCCGGACUUCUACUAUAAGCAACCGCCAACCAGCGACAGGACAGGCUUCCGAUUAAAAUCAGUCCUCAGUGUGCUCGCAAUCAAGCAACCACGGCCGAACGUGUACCAAGGCUCCGGCGGCGGCGGGUCGUUGGCCGGCCGACCCGUUGACGCGACGACCGCCUCCCCUCCCAUCAACACGACGAUCCCCAAGGCCACGCGGCUCCGCUCAGCACCAAUAAACAAGCCCCUGAACCCUGGUUUGGUUAACCAUGGGUGCGGCUAUCCGCCGGCCUCCGGUGUCACCCAGCGCCAUCUUUCCCGCUAAACUUGUCUUUGAAAGGAACCCGCCCGUGACUUUUUGCGCCGUGCCUGCCGGCCCCGCCCCGGCCGCCUAUAAGAAUCCGGAUGAAUCCGUCGGCUCUGUCUCCCAAAUUAUACCGACCUUUCUGCCUUGCCCAUCGCCGAUCAAGACGAAGCGCCGCACGCCGGUUCCCUUGGCUCACACCCGCCAACGUUCGUCAGUCGGUCAGUGCCGGCCGGGUCGGGUCCAUGGCGGAGAAGAAGGUUUCUUGCUUACAGUCGAGCGAAUUGGGAUUUCUCUCUCUCUCUUCUGACUUCAAUUACGACUCUGCUCAUGUUUGUUCAUCUUGUUUUCUUCUUUGAUGGCUCGGGAAUUCAGGUCGUGGUGAAGCUGGACCUGCACGACGACAGGCACAAGCAGAAGGCCAUCCAGGUCGUCUCCGGUCUCCACGGUACUCUACUCCCCUGCUUCACCUUCUUCCCCAGUUCCGUGGUGAUCGUGGAGGGGACUGGUCAUGGCCAGGAUUUCCAUUGUAGCCCAAUCAUGCGGCUCACCGAUCCAUAUCUCAAUCUGACACUCACGACGUCGACGACUGUUGCUUCCUCAGGAAUAGACGACAUCGCGGUGGACAUGAAGGACCAGAAGAUGACGGUGAUCGGCACCGUCGACCCCGUCCACCUCGUCGAAAGGCUGCGCAGCAAGUUCUUCGCCACGGCGCAGAUGGUCUCCGUCGGCCCGGCCAAGGAGGAGAAGAAGGACGCCGCCAAGAAAGAAGACGAAAAGAAGGAGGCCGACAAGAAGGACCCGGACAAGCCGCCGGCGUGCCCGCCGUACUGCUGGUAUGGGCUGCCGCCGCCGUACCACUGCCCCUGCAGCGCCGAGGAGGACCCCAACUCGUGCGUCAUCUGCUAAAAUCAGCGCGCGCCGCCGAUUCCCUCCUCUGUAUAUUUUGUAGCUGGCCGUGUGCUGCGCUGCCGAUCGAUCAUGCCUUCGACGGUGAUCGACGGCGCACGCUAUACAUAAGGUCAUGUAUCCGGUUAGUCCCUUACCCGGCAGGUGUGCAUCGGCUGCGU
RNAcentral lists this long non-coding RNA (103156 nucleotides) under Hordeum vulgare. Its description in RNAcentral is "long non-coding RNA (HVUL_LNC005906)". The stretch from base 77208 to 77331 matches the Rfam family "MIR1120/MIR1122 microRNA precursor family". Lineage: Eukaryota; Viridiplantae; Streptophyta; Magnoliopsida; Poales; Poaceae. The record is from RNAcentral.